GGAAAUCAAAAUAUGGCAUGAAUAUAACAAUUGCCACCAAUGUGCUUCAAGAAAGAACUUAUUUGUCUUUUAUUCCCAUGUUUGAACUAGUACAGGUCGAGGUUACACAUGAUGGUGCACAUCACUUUAUUUAUCAUCGUUACAUUAUGCUCCAUUUACUAACAAUGAUGAUUCACCCGUCUAGUAUUACAUCUCUUCAUUUCAUCUGCCACUGAUACUUAUAACGUCGCUCCCAGAUGGUUGUUGUUGUGGAUAUUGUUUGUAUGGGGAAGGUUCUUGUGAUUGCUGGGGUGGGUAUGGUAUUGGAAAUUGUUGUUGGGAAAAUUGUUGUGGUGGUUGCUGGGGGAAUUGUUGUUGGGGUAAUUGUUGUUGUUCGAGGUAUUUUUGUGGUUGGGAGAAUUGUUGUUGCGGUAAUUGUUGUUGUUGGGGGAAUUGUUGUUGUUGGGGGGAUUUCUGUUGGGGGAAUUAUUGUUGGGGAAAUUGUUGUUGCGGGAAUGGUUGUUUGGGGAAUUGUUGUUGCGGGAAUUGCUGUUUUUGGGGAAAUUGUUGUUAUUGGGGGGAUUGUUGCUCGGGGAAUUGUUGUNNNNNNNNNNNNNNNNNNNNNNNNNNNNNNNNNNNNNNNNNNNNNNNNNNNNNNNNNNNNNNNNNNNNNNNNNNNNNNNNNNNNNNNNNNNNNNNNNNNNNNNNNNNNNNNNNNNNNNNNNNNNNNNNNNNNNNNNNNNNNNNNNNNNNNNNNNNNNNNNNNNNNNNNNNNNNNNNNNNNNNNNNNNNNNNNNNNNNNNNNNNNNNNNNNNNNNNNNNNNNNNNNNNNNNNNNNNNNNNNNNNNNNNNNNNNNNNNNNNNNNNNNNNNNNNNNNNNNNNNNNNNNNNNNNNNNNNNNNNNNNNNNNNNNNNNNNNNNNNNNNNNNNNNNNNNNNNNNNNNNNNNNNNNNNNNNNNNNNNNNNNNNNNNNNNNNNNNNNNNNNNNNNNNNNNNNNNNNNNNNNNNNNNNNNNNNNNNNNNNNNNNNNNNNNNNNNNNNNNNNNNNNNNNNNNNNNNNNNNNNNNNNNNNNNNNNNNNNNNNNNNNNNNNNNNNNNNNNNNNNNNNNNNNNNNNNNNNNNNNNNNNNNNNNNNNNNNNNNNNNNNNNNNNNNNNNNNNNNNNNNNNNNNNNNNNNNUCUAUUGUGGGAAUUGCUAUUGGGGAAAUUGUUGUUGGGGGAAUUGUUGUUGUUGCGGGAAUUGCUGCUGUUGAGGGAAUUGUUGCUGGGGGAGUUAUUGUGGUUGGGGGAUUUGUUGUUGGGGGAAUUGUUGUGAUUGCUGGGGGGAUUUGAUGUUGUUGGGGGAGUUGUUGUUGGGGGAUUUGUUGUGGUUGAGGGAAUUGUUGUGGUUGGGGGAAUUGUUGUUGUUGUGUAUGCAAUUCCUUGCCUAUAGGGCUUAGUUGCCUAGUGGCACUGGCGUUGUUCAUUGUCAUGGCAAGGAGGACAAAUAUGAUGAAGGUCUUCAUGUUUGAUUUGUAUUUACUAUUGCUCACUUGUCUUUGAUGUUUUAGCUCCAGGUGCUUGAAGGUUGGAUGAUGGAAGAGACCCACAUGGUGUAGUAGCAUUUAUAGCUGGCAUCGCACAUUUUCUUUUCAUCUUCACACUCUUUUCUUGAAAAAGUGCUCUUAAGCUUAUCGACCUCAUAAUUUGGUAUGUUGUGUUUGAUGGCACUACAUACUAGCGUGAUUUUGGAUUGUUCAUCAUAGCUGAUUGUUCUUGCUCAUAUCAUCUCGGUGUAUCAAAUGCUUGAUAACGACGAAUGACUCAUCGUAUUCACUUUACACUUCAAACAUUGAUCUAGAUUUUAUCCAUCUUUCUGAUUUAGCUUGUGAUGUUCUGCAUGUUGUUAGGUGUAUCCAGAUUGGCAUAACUUAAGGGAACUAAGUUUGUAAUCUUCACACUCGCUUCUUGAAAAAGUGUUCUUAAGCUUAUCAAUUACCUAAUAAUUUGGUAUGUUGUGUUUCAUGGCACUACUUACUAGUGUGAUUUUGGAUUGUUCUUCAUAAUUGAUUGUUCUUGCACAUAUCAUCUAGGUGUAUGGAAUGCUUGAUAACGACAAAUGACUCAACGUAUUCACUUGACACUUCAAACAUUGAUCUAGAUUAUGUCCCUCGCUCCAAUUUAGUUUGUCAUGUUCUACAUGUUGAUAGGCGUAUCCUGAUUGGCAUACUUAAGGGAACAAAGUUUGUAAUCUUGUGUGAGUCCUUGAGAUAGAUCACACUAUUAAUGUGAAGAUUGUUCUAGACACUAUUUUUUCUGAACUAACUUUAUAUAUUUUGCACAAUAUAUUUGUAUGAUGGAUAAGCAUCCAUGAAUCAUCAUACUACCUUUUCGUAUGGAGCGGUUGUAUUGUCAUAUGAGUUACUAAUACAAAAACAAUUAUUAGGGCUUUGCGCAGCUUGAUUGAUUCACUCCACAUAGACAUGAACAUUUCUUUUGUAUUUCAUUCGUUAGUUAAUCUAAGUUUUUACAUAUUGUUUCAAAUUGUUCAGAUAGUUUCGUGGUUUCUUUUAUUGAAUUUAUAACCACCAGUAUAGGAAGCUAUUAGUACUAUGAUUGUUGAUACUGAUGCAGAACAAAAAGGGAAGAGAAAGCGAUAAACAGUUGAUUUUGUCUGGUAAUUAUAUAAGUGUCUUUUUUUCUAUUUUCUUGUAAGCAUGGAACGUACAAAAAAGAAAUGAAAUUAGUUCUCCUUCUACACGAUACGUGAAUAAACUAAUUUAGGACCUAUCAUGGCUAACUAAAUGGGAAGCAGCCUGUCGCCAUCAUGCAGCAAAAACAAGCCAUAAUGCCGUACACUUGGCUCAUGCAACAUGCACACGUGAACAAAAGAAGAGCCUAGCUAUUGGUAUAUUUAAAUUUGUUUUCCUUCUCUUAUCCUUGGCGAUAUCAUUCAUACAUAUGUUUGCACCAAAUUAAUUGACUUGUCAAUGUCAUGGACCAGCUAGCAUACUGCUGGUUUUGUUUGUGUGGCUUUAGGUUUUGCGAAUCCUCUACAUAUGUUUUUUUUCAUUCUUUUGCCUUCUACCACUUAUUUUCAGAUUGAUGGAAAGCGAAGUUUCUGAAACAUGGUUACCGAAAAAGGCUUUCGGCCUGCUUUCUGAAACAUGAUUACAUCCUCCUCCAUGCAGCUUUGUGGAGGCUAAUUAUAAUUGGAACUCCUAUUAAUCACACUGGAUGUCAUGCCAGAUUCAUGCAAAAUUUGCCGGAUCGAUUGACCAGGAUUUGACCCUUGGAUUUUUAAUCAUUUACUCCCUCCGUCCGGAAAUACUUGACAUUGAAAUCGAUAAAAAGAGAUGUAUCUAGAACUAAAAUACGUCUAGAUGCAUCCCCUUUUUUCCAUUUUGAUGACAAGUAUUUGCGGAAGGAGUGAGUACGUAGUAAUUUUUGUUGUACAUGGAUUAGUCAAGGUAUAGUCGAUCCACCAUCAUCACUGUGAAUCAGUAUUAUGGAGUCAGAACAUGUCUUUGUCAGAGAACGAAGUAGGAGUAACAAAUGAGACAGGAAAAAGCAAAAGAGACCUCACUCUCACACACUCACUAUCCACCUGCCUCAUGUUAAUGUUGUGUUGAAAUACCUAACUAGCUAGCUAGCAUAUCAUAGGUUGUCCUUCUCUAAAAAAACUAUAGAAAGUUCUUUGCAUGUAGUUAAUUAAGCAAGUGUAAUUUUAAAAGAAAAACUAUUCUGAAGUUGUUGGUCUGUUUGCUGUUGCUAUUGUUUUUGUUGUUCUCGAUACAGGAUUUCGCACUGUUUAUAAAUAAAGCAACAUCCAAAGAUGUACAAGGCCAACUGAUACAAUAUGGUGAGGUAGCCCUUACAAAGCCGAUCUUGAGAUAUCGGACACAAGGAAAAAGCACGCGACUACGCUGCCAGCAACAAGCACCGGAAGAACUAAACAUCCUCACGCUACGAACUAGCACACCAAAGCUCCACGAGAACGCCCCCAAGAGGGAGAACAGCAUAGAGCGUCGCCGCUUCCAAGUCCAUACCGGACAAAGGUCUACACCCGGAGCCCUGACACUGAGAUAAGAAGCACAACGACGUCUUCAAGAAGAGUGUGGCACCCAUGAGUGUCGUCGGCAGCGGCGCCCAGGCAUAGAGCUUUCGCUAGGUAACUCACCUGUGCCACCAUGAGGUCCUCAAGAGUAGCGCCGCGAUGUUCGAUCCCCAGAUCUUGAUUAGGAUGCUGCCCCUCCGAGAGAGAGGGCACGUCUGAGCUACUAACCGCAAUACCUACCGUUGCCCACACAACCCGGGAGGGGAGCCACCAUCACCGGAAUAAUGCCCGCCAAAGAGCAACCAUGCGGCCCGCCAUCAGGGGCCGCCAACCCAGUAUCCCUGUCGCGAGAUACCAUACGCCACUCACAUCACAUAGCAACCAACCACGGUAAGAAGAGCGACAAGACUCCAUCUACUCCUAGCCUAGCCUCUGUCCCAAUGUUUGGUUAUGCGCCUCCACCGUAGGACGCACCCAUACAUGCAUCCCCAGCCAAUGCUCUGUGGACUAGGGGGGCCACUGGCAAGCCAGCCUCGAGCCCCUGGUUAGGCGAUCUCACACGACGCCAUGUUCGUGUUCUCCGACACUGAUCCGCUCAUGAAUGCAACGCUAACACAACCAUCACCACCGAUCACCACCCAAGCUGGCUCACUUCACAAUGCACACAUCAUGGUAGGUAAAGCCUGACAUCAGUCACCUAGCCAGUGACUGCCGACGGCCAUCAUCGAGGCCAGCUCAGACGCCAAGUCUGCGAACUGAGGAACUGGUCCGCAAGCCGGCAUAAUGUAUCCCUGACAACCACAGCCAUGAACCAUCACCGACGCUACAACGUGUGGAGGUGCCUCCCCCAACCUAGCUUCAAGCAUCCAGCUUGGCUUGAUCGGCAGUGACCUAGAGCCAAGAAACACUACUCCAUGACGACUAAGCAUCGAACCUCAUGUGAUGAGAAACCAACCCUGACAAGGACGACCAUAUCAAAAUCCAUGCCCGGUAGCUAGUCUGCCGACGUACGCACCCAGACAAGGCGGGCGCCGCCCCAUCAAGAGGGGNNNNNNNNNNNNNNNNNNNNNNNNNNNNNNNNNNNNNNNNNNNNNNNNNNNNNNNNNNNNNNNNNNNNNNNNNNNNNNNNNNNNNNNNNNNNNNNNNNNNNNNNNNNNNNNNNNNNNNNNNNNNNNNNNNNNNNNNNNNNNNNNNNNNNNNNNNNNNNNNNNNNNNNNNNNNNNNNNNNNNNNNNNNNNNNNNNNNNNNNNNNNNNNNNNNNNNNNNNNNNNNNNNNNNNNNNNNNNNNNNNNNNNNNNNNNNNNNNNNNNNNNNNNNNNNNNNNNNNNNNNNNNNNNNNNNNNNNNNNCAACUCCGGUCACUGGGCAGCUGCACCAAUGCCAACCCCGCCUCUCCAUUGACACCCCCCGCCUAGAUCCACCGCUGCCAGCCAAAACCAUGGCCACCACCCACCGCCCCUUGUCAUGCCUCCACGCGCGUGAGAGGGACUGUCGAAACCCACCAUCGCCAGCUGUCACACUCAGCAGAGAGAGAACCGCCACCAUCACCCGGUGCCGCUUGUCACAACCUGGCAGCCAGAUCCACACUGCCACAACCAUCACAAGCCCGCCUACACAGUAGGAUUUGCUAGCUUUUACAAUGUCUGCACAAUUCUUCUUUCCUGUUUUCUCCAAGAUGUUGUUUUUGAAAUUUGCGUGCAGGUUUAAGGAAAGGAGGAGAUCACUAUCACCACCACCUCGUGGAAGGGGACGUCAGCAUUAGUCAUCUUUACCAUCAUCCAUCGCCAUCCCAUUGUAAUACCAAACCCUUCUGGAUCCAUACAUGUAUUAUCUGUGUGUUUCAUACAUGUUUACCACCACUGUUUCCACUAUUCGCACGAUGUUUGUCGUCUCCAUGUGUGAUUUGUUUCCUCAGUUCUCAGGGAUAUGUACGAACCAUGGUAUUAUAGGAGCUGAAAUGUUAAUUAGGGAAUGGGAUUCUCUAUGUUUAUUUUAAAAGAAUUCAUGAAUUUUGUGAAGGGGCCCCACUGAUCAUUUCCAUCGCGAGGCCACGAGGCAUAUUAUCGAGGUUGUAAAGUUUAGGAUGUUGAGGUCACUUGAGGUGAGAGUAAAAGACUCUCUACCUCACCUUUGCAACUGAUAGGGGCAUAAUAGAGAGCCCUCGAUAAGGCAACUUCCAUGGGGAAACCCUUAAUUACCGUAGUGAGAACUAGAGUGGGGAAGCUACAGUGAUGGCCUGCGGGGUAUGAAGUACACCUCGAGUAGAACAUAUUUUGCACCCGGAUAUGCCCAAUGAAAAAUAUUAAGAGUGACUCAAGUAUCUAGCUAAGAAUUGUGAAGUGGCAUAUGAUACCUUAGACACACUGCAAUGGGAAUUAUGGUGUCCCUGAGAACGUUUCAAUCCUCCACCGUUUAACAUCUUUAUUCGUUCUGCUAUGCUCUUUUAGUUCUUUUGCUAUAUUUACUUUUGUUCGCACUAAACUUAGAAGUCAAUAUAAUCUUCGCCGUUCACUUUUCUUUGUGUCGAAAACUAAGAUGCAGGCACAUUACAAUAAGUGUCUCUUACGGACAAAGUCCAAUUCAUGUAUUCCCUGUGGGAUUUAUACUCAUACUUAAAUAGGUGGAAAAAAACCAUGUGCACUUGCAGAUCAUCAAGCUUUUUCUGGCCCUAGGUGCGGAGUGCUUUUGGGCCUGUAUUACGUUUUAUUUUAUUUUGUGUUUAUGGGUGAUAAUGUGCGCCUCCACAAAUUGUUGUUUGACCGCGGCAAUGGUGGACUCCCUACGUAGGUGUGUAUCGAGUGGAGGGUUGAGGAAGCCCAUUAUGAUUUCAGUUGAUCGUAUGCAAAUUAAGAUUUUUGACUCAAGUUGAGGGGGUCAUUUUCCUUCAAAUUUAGAACCUUGUUUGAUGGGUCAUGAUUUGUGAGAGGAUACUUUUUGUCCUGCUAAGAUUGUUAUUGGAGAUAAUUGGUAGUUAAACUCAUUUUGUGAGUGGAACAUCAAAGGCGAAAAGUGCAUAAGUAAUCAAUUAUUCUCACUAUAAAUGAACAAUGAAAUCUGGGAUGGAGUUUGUCGAAAACAGAAACACCUAGUUUGAUUUAGAUCCAUGUCAGAUAAGAUGGUUGCAAACUCAUGUGGCUCACCAUUGAAGUGUUAAAUUGCAAUUACUCCUUACUUCCUAAUUAAUAGUACUUCAAUUUGAACCAAGUUUCACACACGUGAAGUAUGUUAUAUUGUUCAUAAUACUACACUUUAUAAAUAAGUAGAUAGCGCAUAACAUUGAGGUUGUAGCUAGGGAUGAAAAUCGAAAUAUGGCAUGAAUGUAACAAUUGCCAGCAAUAUGCUUUAGAAAAGAAGUUAUUUGUCUUUUAUUCCCAUGUUUGAACUAGUAUAGGCCGGGGUUACACAUGAUGGUCACAUCACUUUAUUUAUGAUUGUUACAUUAAAUGCUCCAUUGACUAACAACGAUGAUUCACCCGUCUCGUAUUACAUCUCUUCAUUUCAGUCCACCGAUACUUAUAACGUCGCUCCCAGUUGGUUGUUGGUGUGGGGAAGGUUGUUAUGAUUGCUCGGGGAAUGGUUGCUGGUGUGGGUAUGGUAUGGGAAAUUGUUGUUCGAGAAUUGUUGUUUCUGUUGCUAGGGAAAUCAUUGUUGUUGCGAUAAGUAUAUGUUCUUCCAUGAUCUAGAAAAUAAAAGACCUUGCUCUUACCGUCUCUGCAUGUCUGUCAUCAAACAUCAGUAAACUUGUUAAAAUUAAGUGAAAUGGUUCAACUUUUGGAUUACAGUUCUUGACGCCUUGAAGCGAAUUUGAUGAGUCGGGUCACUCUACGAAUUUCACUUCGUCUUAUCACUUUAGAAAACACAACAAAGUUGUUUCCAGAAAAAAAAAUCCAUGUGCAAAGCUUUACUAAUUAUCUUGUACAAACUUCAUAUACUUAGCUCUACACAAACUGUAGAAAGUUCCAAACCUCUGCCGCAAAAAAGAAUGAAACCUUGAUAAGGAUUUGACAUGUAAAGUGAAAAAGGUGAGUCAGUUUUUCCUCAAAAUAAAAUACCAAGCACCAUGCUUUCGUGACAAAUAUACGAUCUUUUGCACAGCUGACCAAACAUCUUUUGAUGAUCAAUACUAUAUUAAACUUGUGGCUAGUGCAACUUGAAAGAAUAUACAAAAUGAUCCAUUUCACAAGCAUGCAUGCAAAAAAAUUGGAAAAUGAAUGAAAAAAUUAACCUCUAGCUGGAAUUUUAUUCAAUCAUCCCAUCAAAGCUGGUACAACAACACUGACUGCAAGAUGUCCACAACCCAACACGUCCAAAACAAAAAUAGAAAAAAAAUGCAAAGACGGCAAGAGGUUAUGCCAUAAAUGGACUUGUGCCGCAUACUCAUCACAAGUACAAAACACAAAUAGAAACAUCAAAGACAUGUAGCAGUAGUCAAGAGAAAUUCACCAUAAAGACACAUCCCCAUCCUUUCCCUUACCGCCAUUGCACCGGCUAGCGCCAAUGAACAUCUCGAUGGCAGCAGGAUCAAUGCCAGUGAAAGGGUUUCACUGACUUCAUCUUGCUGAGGAAGUCCAUGAAAGGAAUCGACAUGAAAGAAAGUGUUUAGUUAGUUCAAAUAUGGAUAUAUAUCCUUAGAGCAUCCUAAUGAAUGAGAAAACCUAUCUUAGUCAUUCAUCAACAAAAGCCAUGUCAAUGCGCUUGGAUGGAUCACACAUUCAGGAACAAAAGGCCAAGGGGGUGACAUAUAUAUACAGUUUAUUUGCUUGGUAACUUUGGUUUAGCACUGUCUUUUUUCCUUAUCCUUGUCCAUUUUAUCCGUGCAGAAAAGAGCCAAACGAGGAAGCAAAGGGAAGUGUUUGAUUAGUUCUCCAUGAAACAAGAAUAAAUGAAUUUCGGACAAAGUAUGGUUGAGCUACGAAAUCCAAAGAUCAACCUAACUGAAUCGGGAAACCUGUCUCCAUCAUGCAGCAGACAAAAGCCAUACUGCUGAUACACUUGGCCCAUGCAACAUGCAUGCAUGAUCAUAAGGAGAACAACCAUUAUUCUCUAAUUUAAACGAUUAUCCGCCUCGCAGUAAACAAGGUCCAGAUAUAAUGUUCAUGCUCAACGCAGGCACUAAAUAACAAUUAUUCAGGUUCAUCACUAAUCCUGAUGGUAAUCGAAGAACGAGCGUGUCGAUGGCGAUAACAUCAACCUUGGAACCAUUUCCCACACGCAUCGUCAUUUCGUUCUUCGCCAGCCUCUGUCUAUUUCGUGGGUCCUGCUUUGUGUUGCAAAUGUGAGCAACCGAACCGGUAUCAAAUACCGAGGCACUACAAGAAGAGUUGGUAAGGUACACAUCGAUAACAUAUAUAUCAUAUAUAUCUUGUUUGGCGUUGGCCCCUUCUUGUCGGCCAGGCUUGGGGCAAUUCCGCUUCCACUGGCUAGUCUCGUUGCAAUAGAAGGACUCAACUUCCAACUUGGGCCCAGCCUUUGGUUUAUUCAAGGGAGGGUCAACUACUUUGCCACUCUUCUUGGAGUUACCAUUCUUUCCCUAGCCAUUCUUCUUGAAACUAGUGGUUUUAUUGACCAUCAACACUUGAUGCUCUUUCUGGAUGUCUAACUCAGCGACUUUCAGCAUCGCAAACAGCUCGGAGACUGACUUGUUCAUCCCUUGCAUGUUAUAGUUUAGCACAAAGCUCUUGUAGCUAGGUGGUAGUGAUUGAAGAACUUUGUCAGUGAUCGCUUCUGGUGGGAGCACAACUCCCAACUCAGCCAGACGGUUGUAAUACCCAGACAUUCUAAGUAUGUGUUCACUGACAGACCCGUUCUCCUCCAUCUUGCAAGCAAAGAACUUAUCAGAGGUCUCAUACCUCUCGAUCCGGGCAUUCCUUUCAAAAAAGAACAUCAACUCCUGGAACAUCUCAUAUGCCCCAUGACGUUCAAAACGUCUUUGAAGUCCCAGUUCUAAGCCAUACAACAUAGCACACUGAACUACUAAGUAGUCAUCCACAUGCACUUGACAGGCGUUCAUAACAUCCAUAGACGCCGGAGGGGGUUGCACACCAAGCGAUGCAUCAAGGACAUAAGCCUUUUGGGAAGCCGUGAGGAUAAUCGUCAGAUUACAGGCCCUGUCUACAAAGAUACUUCCAUCAUCUUUCAGCUCGGCUUUCUCUAGGAACGCAUUGAAAUUCAGGGAAGCUAUUGUGCGAGCCAUUGAUGUACAACAUAAAUUUGCAAAGUUAACUUAGACUAUUGUUCAUGAUAAAUGAGUUCAAAUAAUCAUAUUACUUAAACGACCCACUCAAAUUGACAUCCCUCUGGCCAUCCGAGUGUAAUAUGAUGCAAAUUCAUCAACCCAAGUCCGAUCAUCAUGUGAGAUGAGGUGGUUUCAAUGGUGAACAUCUCCAUGUUGAUCGUAUCUACUAUAUGGCUCAUGUUCGACCUUUCGGUCUCUUGUGUCCCGAGGCCAUGUCUGUACAUGCUAGGUUGGUCCAGUUUAACCCAAGUGUUUUGCAUGUGCAAAACUGGCUUGCACCCGUUGUAUGCGAAUGUAGAGUCUAUCACACCCUAUCAUCACAUGGUGCUUCGAAACGACAAUCUUUAGCAAUAGUGCACACUCGGGAGAACACAAUUUUAUCUUGAAAUUUUAGUGAGGGAUAACCUUAUAAUGCUACCAUCAUCAUAAGCAAAAUAAGAUGCAUAAAAGGAUUAACAUCACAUGCAAAUCAUAAGUAACAUGAUAUGACCACCAACUUGUCCUUUUUAUCUCCAUCUCCAAAGCACCGGCAUGAUCUCCAUCGUCACCGACAUCACACCAUGAUUUCCAUCAUCAUGAUAUCCAUCAUCAUGUUGCCAUCGAUGUUGUCACGCCAACCAUGCUUCUACUACUAUUUCUACCGUUUAGUGAUAAAGUAAAGCAUUACAUAGCGCUUAAUGAUUGACACACAGGUCAUACAAUAAUUUAAGACAACCCUAUGGCUCCUGCCGGUUGUCGUAUUCAUCGACAUGCAAGUCAACACAAACUAUUACAAGCAUGAUCAUCUCAUACAUCAAAUAUGUUCUAUCAUGUCUUUGGCCAUAUCACAUCACAACAUACCCUGCAAAAACAAGUUAGAUGUCGUCUAAUUUGUUGUUGCAUGUUAUACAUGGCUGCUAUGUGUAUCUAACAAGAAUGGUUCUUACCUAUGCCAAACCACAACGGUGAUAUGGAAGUUGCUAUUUAACCUUCUACAAGGACUGCCUUCAUCGAAUUCGAUUCAACUAAGGUGCGAGAGACAGACAUCAGCCAGCCAUCUUAUGCAACAAAGUCACAUGUCUGUCGAAUGAACCGGUCUCAUGUACGUGGACAUGUAAAGUUGGUCCGGGCCGCUUCAUCCCACAAUGCCGCUAAAUCAAGAAAAGACCAAGGAAGGAAGCAAUCUGAAUAUCAACACCGAUAAACUCCUUUGUGUUCUACUCGUGAUGUCAUCUGCUCAUAGACCUAGCUCUGGUACCACUGUUGUUGAACGUUGCAUGGGAAACAAAAAAAAUUCCUACACUCACCAAGAUCAAUCUAGGAGAUGAACAUCUACGAGAGGAGUGAUUGCAUCUACAUACCCUUGUAGAUCACUAACACUACAGGAAACAGGUAAUUUGCCGUCCGUGGAUCACAGACGGCAAAGACGUAAAUCCAGACGGCAAAGAGUUUGCCGUCAGGAAGUAGACGGCAAAGUCAGACGGCAAAGAUAAAUCGGCAAAGAAUACUCUGCCGUCUGCUAUUUUUUCUAGAUGACGGCAAAAACUUUGCCGACAGUCUAUACUGUUUGCCGUCAGCCAGCAAAAUCAAACGACAAAAAAUGGCAACAGACGGAACGGACGGACUGACGAACGGCGUUAGUGCUUUGCUGUCAGCCAGAAUCCAUCUUUGCCGUCAUCCUCAAAAAUCACAAACGGCAAAUAAUUUUUUUAUUUAAAAAAUGUAUUGUACAAAUAAUUGCACAGGCGACCAGGAACAAACUGAUGAAGAACUUCACAGUAUCCAUCAACACUGCUGUUCUAAGAAUCAAAUACGAACGAACGGAUUUCACAAGACAAAACAAAACUACUCUAUUUAACAAGAUAAAUGGAUUACACACGAACAGACUACACUAUGUUACAAUAGAUCAGUUGGAUCUAUACACCCACGCCUCGCUGGAGCAGCAGUUGCGCCUCUCUCCCUUCUCCUUCCUUUCAUCCUGCAUAUGAAGUUAAGAACACACAAACGUCCGAGGAGGCCAAGACGUCAGCUGCCGUGCCGGAGCUCGCCACCCUCAUCCGGGCGCUGGAUCCACUUGACCCCGCCAACUCUGUCAGCGCCAAGCCCCGCCGCCGGCAAAGGAGAGUAGAGGAGGCGGGGGCCCGUGGCGUGCGAAGGCGGGGGAGAAGGAGAGUACUCGGAGGCGGGCGGCUGCUGGUACUCGGAGGCGGGCGGCGUGUGAAGCCAGGCCUCGCGGAUGGGGAGGUGGGGCUGACCGGGCGGCGGCCGUUAGGCGGGGCCAGUUGGCGCAGGGUCGUCGAUGAGGAGGUGGGGCCGACAAGGCGGCGGCGGCGAGGCAGGGCCAUGCAGCGCGGGGUCGCGGAUGGGGAGGCGGGGCCGACCGGGCGGCGGCGGCGAGGCAAGACCAAUCGGCGGCGAUGCAGCACCGAUAGCAGAGAAGACGAGAUCGAGGGGGAGAGAUGGUGUCGGAGUGGGGGAGAGGUGGGUUCGAUGGAUGGGUGGGUGGGGGCAUGGGGAUAAGGUACAUGGGGAUGUGGUGGGAUGGGUGGGUGGGGUCGGGCGUGGUAGAUGGAAAGAGAGGCACCGCAGGUCAGAUCGUGCCAUGUCAUCGAUCCGUGGAUGGAUCCGCGAGGUGUGCUUCUUUGCUUUGCCAUCUGCAAAUACAAACUACAGACGGCAAAAUUCUUUGUCGUGUGCCUUUUUUAUUACAGACGGCAAAAUAUGAUCUUUGUCGUUUGUGUUUAUUUGUACAGACGGCAAAGACAUAUUUUGCAGUCUGUAAUAAAAAACACAGACGACAAAGAUCUUUGCCGUCUAUAGUUUGUUUUGUAGAUGGAAAAGUGAGCUCUUUGCCGUCUAAUUUUUUUCUACAAACGACAAAGUAUAUUUUGCCGAUAGUUUCUCUUUGUUGUCUGUUGAUGACGGCAAACCCUUUCUUUGCCGUGUGCCCCGAAAAAAUGCUGAUGGCAAAGACAAUACUGACGGCAAAUCUCCUGUUUCCCGUAGUGUAAUAGGAAGCGCUAAGAAACAUGGUUGAUGUAGUCAAACAUCUUCACGAUCCAAUCACGAUCCGUCCCACAAACUCCCGAUCUAGUGCCAAAUGGACGGCACCACUGCAUUCAACACGCGCACGACUUGAUGAUGCCUUCACCUCCUCGAUCCAGUGAGCAAUAGAGAAGUAGUAGUUUGAGUAGUCCGAUAGCAUGACAGCGUGGCGGCGGUGGUGGUGAAGGAAUUUCAGCAGAGCUUCGCUAAGCACUACGCGGAAGGAGAAGGACUACGAGGGAGAGGACAGACAGCGCCACGACACAGAUGGGUGUGUCUGCCCUACCUCUACCCCUACAUAUAUAGGGGAAAGCGAGGAGGUGGGAAUGCCCUAUGGGUUCCCUUAGGGGGCACGCCGGCCACCACAGAUGGUGGCGCCCCUAGGGAAACCCGAGGGUGGCUUGCCCCCCAAGCUAGGUGGAGGCAUCCCUAGGGGGUUGCCCCAACCCUUGUGUCAUCAUGGGAUUGGGUGUGGGGGCGCACAACCCCUUAGUGGGCUGGUGUGCUCCCUCCCCUUGGCCCAUGAGGCCCCCCAACACUUAUUGGGGCACCCUGAAACCCAUGUCCGUACUCCGUUGCUUCCAUCGGUACCCCUGGAACAAUUUCAGACUCCGAUACCCUUCGUCCUAUAUAUCAAUCUUCACCUCCAGACCAUUCUGGAGUUCCUCGUCAUGUUGGGGAUCUCAUACGGGACUCCGAACAACCUUCGGUAACCACCAUAAUGACUCAACUAUACUUAUAUCGUCACCAAACAUUAAGUGUGUAGACCCUCCGAGUUCGAGAACUAUGCAGACAUGACCGAGACACCUCUAUGGUCAAUGACCAAUAGCAUGACCUGGAUGCCCAUAUUGGUUCCUACAUAUUGUACGAAGAUCUUUAUUAGUCGAACCUCGAUGUCAAGGAUUCAGUCAAUCCCGUAUGGAGUUCCCUUUAUCCAUCGGUAUGUUAUUUGCCUGAGAUUCGAUCGUCGGUAUAUCCAUACCUAGUUCAAUCUGGUUACCGGCAAGUCUCUUUAUUCCGUAAUACAAGAUCCCGUGCCUAACUUCUUAGUCAUGUUUCUUGCAAGCUUAUUGUGAUGUUGUAUUACCAAGUGGGCCCUAAGAUACCUAUCCAUCAUAUGGAGUGAGAAAUCCCAGUCUCGAUCCAUGCCAACUGAACAGACACCCUUGGAGACACCUGUAGAGCAUCUUUAUAGUCACUUAGUUACAUUGCAACGUUUGAUACACACAAGGUACUCCUCCGGUGUAAGUGAGUUGUAUGAUCUCUUGGUCAUAGGAAUGGAUACUUGACAUGCAGAAUGAUAGCAAUAAACUUGACACGAUCAUAUGCUACAUUCAUAGUUUGGGUCUUGUCAAUCACAUCAUUCUCCUAAUGAUGUUAUCAUGUUAUCAAAUGACAACUCAUGUCCAUGUCCCGGAAACCAUGGCCAUCUUUGAUAACCGAGCUAGUCUGGUAGAGGCUCACUAUGGACACGUUGUUUGCCUAUGUACCCACACAUGUAUUUGAGUUUCCAAUCAAUACAAUUAUAGCAUGGAUAAUAAAUGAUUAUCAUGAACAAGGAAAUAUAAUAAUAACCAUUUUAUUAUUGCUUCCAGGGCGUAUUUCCAACACUUUCGAUGAUUUGUGAGUAGUUUACGACAACCCUUCGAGUCUAUAGCUAGAAUCUAGAUGGCUUCUUCUCUCUCUUUGAUCUUCAAUCCAAAGUUCUUCUCAAUGUUCUUGGAGUUCUAUCCAAUGUAAUCUUCUUUUGCGGUGUGUUUGCUGGGAUCUGAUAAAUUAUGAGAUUAUGAUCAGAUGAUUCAUGAGAAUAUUUGAGUCUUCUCUGAACUCUUUUAUGCGUGAUUAUUUUAGCUUUGUAUUUCUCUCCAAUCUAUCGAUUUGGUUUGGCCAACUAGAUUUGUUUAUCUUGCAAUGGGAGAGGUGCUUUGUGAUUGGUUAAAUCCUGUGUUGCUCAAUCCUAGUGACAGAAACGGACAUGGCACAUAUUUGUAUUGUUGACAUUAAGGAUAAAAAGAUGGGGGUUAAUCAUAUUGCUUGAAUUUACUUUGUCUACAUCAUGUCAUCUUGCUUAAGGCAUAACUCUAUUUUAUACCUAAAACUCUAGAUGCAUGCUGUAUAGCAGUCGAUGAGUGAAGUAUAGUAAUAGAUCACUACAAAAAAAGACACUUUUGGGCCGAUCAAAUUUUUUUUGUGUCAUACAUAUGACACUUCUAUGACGAUAAUUGUGACAAAACCCGGUAUCAUCAUAGAUGGUGGGCUCCUACUUCUAUGACAAAAAAUCAUGACAGCAAAUGGGCUUUUCAUCCUGGGCGGCCGGAGACGCAGCUACAUGACAUUCUUUGGGCCGUCCAUGACGGAAAAAACCAUGGUAGAAGCGAGGGCGGGGAAAAAUUCGGGGAGUUCCCGGUUACGGUGGGAGGUCGGAGGCCGAGCGAUGUGCGUUUCUCUUGUACACGUAUGCGCAUGUGUGCGAGGGGUUGGCUCUAACUGAACCCGAGCGAGGCGUUGGCUCUAACUGAACCCGAGCGAUUGCACUACAAGCUACACUUUACUGAACCCGAGGGAUCGAUCGAUGGUUGUUAACUGAACCCGACCGAGCGAUUGCUUCACUACUGCUGCUAACUGAAGUCGAUCGAUUGGAUGAACAGUGAGUGUUGCAGGGGGGGUGGAUGAACAGUGAGCGGUGGUGUUGCCUUUGGAUGAACAGGACCCCGUUGUGUGGAGGGCUGGAUGAACAAUAGACGAUGGAGGGGUGCCCAUGGAGGGGUGGAUGAACAGGACCCCAUGGUGUGGAGGGCUGGAUGUACAGUAGACGGUGGAGGGGUACCCGUGGAGGGGUGGAUGAAUAGGACCCCGUGGUGUGGAGGGCUGGAUGAACAGUAGAUGGUGGAGGGGUGACCGUGGAGGGGUGGUGGAACAGUAGCCGGUGGAGUAGCGCACGGUGGAGGCUGGAUGAACAGGAGCCCGUGGAGGCCGGAGGAGGUCGACGGUAGCCCGUGGAGGCUGGAGGAGGUCGACGGUGGAGAUGACCAGUAUCCCGUGGAGUCCCAUUUUGCGGUACGCCACACCCCUCCCGAUGAACAGGAUCCCCUUUUCUACUGUAGCGCUCCAACACAAGUCUAUUUUGUCCGUUUUGCGAUACGCCACAACCCUCCCGAUCAACAGGACCCCCGUUUCGACCUUAGGAGGUUCAUUUCCUCCGUUUUGCGGUACGCCACACCCCUCCCGAUCAAUAGGACCCCCGUUUUAACCAUAGGAGGUCCGUUUCCUCCGUUUUGCGGUACGCCAGACCCCUCCCGAUGAACAAGAUCUCGUUUCGAACGUGUCCGGUCGAACACAAGGCCGUUUCCAUCGUUCUGCGGUAUGCCAGGCCUCGUUUCCAUCUCCUGUUCCGUCCAAGCCCUCUCGAUGAACACGACCACACAUUCCGUUCUGACCGAGCUGGUGGGCUCCCUAUGAACACGAUGACGACGCUAUUUCUCCGUUCCGACCCAGCCAAUGUACACGAGCCCUGGACGUACGUAUAUAUGCGCGAGUAGGCAUUCGAGACCCCGCCCGUAUGUACACAUACGUGGCCGUAUUUUAUUUCUUACACCCCGGCCGCUGUACGUACGUGUACAUGCUAUGUGCGCGCCUCUACUACGACACGUGCGCGCCUCUACAUCCACCAAUAUAUAUGUACAUACACAUUCGCGACCAGAAUGACAAUGCUACAUACGCUUUGACCAGGUGGGUCCGGACUGUCAGGCACUUCCUUGCGUGCAAAGAUGUAGCUGGUGGGUCCCAACAGUCAGGGGGAAACAUUUUUUCGUGAAAUACGGUGGCCUGUCCGGUGGGUCCUUGCUGUCAGGUGGAGGAAUAAUUAUUUUGCACUUAAUAAGGAGGCACUUCCUUGCUGCGGCCGUGGACCCAGCUGUCAGCCUCUCCACGUACAGUUCACGUCCGAUGGAAGCCGUUCCUUGACCAUGUUGACCACGCCGCGCCGAGAGCACCAGGGCGGUGGACGACGGCGAGGCCUAGGAAGGGGACGACGCGGAGCCGGGGAAGACGCGGCAGUGGAUGCCCACGCGUAGAGAAGUAUGAGGGUUCACUCGUUCGCUGCGGUGUGAGGUUGCCGUCGCCGCAGAAUAACAGGGGGUGUGGGUGAGUAGAGGGAUGGCCUGGCCAGCAGUGGGAGUAGUAGGGGGCGGUGAGGCAUCCGCGGCAUCACAGCCGGCCACGGGAGGCAGGAGCAUGCGGCACGACCGACGCUGCUUUGGGCGGCUGGAGCACGAAGACCAGAGGUUGAAGAAGCACUACGACCGUUGGAUGGACAUCGUACGGUCACUGGAGCUAGAAUCGUUCAUAUUGACUAAGUUGACAAAGCCCUCCGUCCCCGUAAACUUAGUAGGCCCACAAGUCAGCCUCCCACCAAGGUGAGUCCCAGCUAGCAGGGUGAGUAUUCAUUUUUUGUGCGUAAUAAGGAGCAUUUCCAGUGGGUCCGAGCUGACAGCGAGCGGAACGUUUUUUUCGCGAAAUAUAGAGACCGUUCCGGUGGGUCCCAGCUAUCAGGUGGAGGAAUCAUUAUUUUGCGCAUAAUAAGGAGGCAUUUUCCUAUGUGGGCCCCUACUGUCAGCCUCUUCCGAUGGCUGUUGUUUGUUGACCAUGUUGACCUCGCCGCGUCGAGAGCACAAACGUGGUGGACGAGGGCGAGGCCCAGGAAGAGAACCACGCGGAGCCGGCAAAGCCACCACAGCGGAUGCCCACGCUGAGGGGAGAACGAGCGCUUAUUGGUCGGCUGCGGGGUGAGGCUGACAUCGUCGGAAAAUAACAAGAUGUGUGGGUGGUUGCAGGGAUGGCCUGGCGGCAGGAUAGUCAGCCACGGGAGGAGGGACCAGGUAGUCCCACUGGCGCUGGUUUGGGCGGCUGGGGCAAGAAGAUCAGAGAUUGAAAAAGUAUGACGGCCGUUGGAUGGAAAUCCAACAGUCACUGCUGUGUGUUGACUAAGUUGACAAAGCCUUGCGUACGCGUCAAAAAAAAUUUAGGACAGUGUCAUCGUCAACCUGGUCAUUGACAAAGCCAUAUUCUUUUUAUUAGCAUUACAGACCAUAUAUUCUGGGCACUGCUCAAAAAUUGAACGAAAUUUUGCAUAUUUCGGUGGGGUCCGAAGUCUUUUAAUCACGAAAUUUCGAGUCAUGUUAAAAAUAAUUUUCAAAAAAUUAUAUCAAUAUAAAAUUCAAAAAACAAUUCUCCGCAAAAAAAAUGAAUGAAAUUUAGAAUAUUAACUAGCAAGAUGCCCGUUCGUUGCACAGAACAUGAAGAUGCAUUUGUGUGAGUAGUUUAUCUUGUGGGAGAAAAGAUGGUAUUUUAAUGUAAUUGCCAGUUGGCUUUGGUUUUUAUAAUAGUAGAGAGUCGAGAAAUCCUGAAAAAAAUAAUAUUUUAAUGCAAUUGCCGGUUUGCUUUGGUUUAAAAAUUUACAAGCUUAUAGCCCAUUUUCUGGGGAAGCCCAUUUCUUACUACUUACAUCCCUCCUCGUCUUGAAAGAUUUGCAGCCCAGCAGGGCUGAGAAAAGCAAGUAGGCCGCGCUUUGUUAUUCUUCAAAAAAAGAACUGGGCUAGCCAAUUUCAGAAAGAAAAAAUAUAUCAACUGGGCUCGUCAUGUGUUUAAUAAAAGUGUAAGCAUGGUCUAGACGGGGCACAGCCCCCGCACAACACGCAGUUGAGCUCCGUCUCUGAAACUGAAAAACAACUGGGAGAGCUGCUGGGUCCCUGGUGUUAUCCGCUCGUUGUGUAAUUUUCUCGUUUAUUGACUACAUUGACAAUGGCCUGGAACCUAGUUGUCAAACAAUUAGGAGGAAGUAUUUUUUUGGCUUGUAAUAACGAGGCACCUGCUUGCGAAAUGCAAUGACCCUGGUGGGUCCCUACUGUCAGCCUCUCCACGUACAGUCAUCUCUUGAUUCCUCUUGGUUGUUGACCAUGUUGACAACACCAGACGGCGGCGGGCACAGCGAGCUAACCAAGGCGAAGAACGAUGGCAAGGCCUCAGACGGGAACGAACAGCAGCAAUGGAAGAUGCGACAGUGUAGUGGCAAGUGGAGGGGAGUACGAGGGCAACAACAUGCAAGUCAAGCAUACAAAUGGUACAAAAAGCCCAAGGAUUAAUUGUUCAUCAAAUUUUUAGACAAAACCCAGAUUGAACAUGACAGUAACAUCUAACCCAACAACUCUUUUUUGCAGUCACAAACAAAUGGAUCAGUCUGAUCCAUAAAAUCAACAUCCUGUGCAAUUUUUUUUAUUUCAGGAUGUCUACAACUUAUUGUAAAUAGAAGCCGAGAACUUUUAGAAGCCCAUUUGUCCACCUGAAACUUCUUUUUUUGCUGUUCAAUAUGUUCGUCCGUGAGAAAUCUCUUGCUGUAAAAAUUAAGCCUCAUGGACAAUAGUAACCUCGCAUUCAACAGGAAGAAUGUGACAAAGCUUCUGUUUGCCUGGUUGGAUGCAUAUCGUCCCAUCAUUAUUGUCCUCAAACGAAUGUCAUGAGAACUGAGAAAAUCCUUGUGCUUAUUACGCCAACCAUUGGUUACAUGUUUUUAUCCAUGUGGUUCUGCCUAAGUAGACAUGAAGAUUGAAAACAGUUAAGGUCUGAAAAAAGAGUAAGUCGAAAUAAUGGCAGCUAAACAGUUAAUUCUAGUACAAUAUAUACGACUUUCAAUAUGCAUGAAAUCGUCACCUCUAUGUAUAAAUUCUCCAGAGAUCAAAAGCAUAGCAGCAAGCCAAUAAUUAUGUCCAAAUCAAAACUAUACAUACUAAUAUAUAUGAUCUUGACAGAAUCCAGCAGUAUUGAUAGGCUGUCAAUGGACGAACUCUUCAUUGAGCAUAUAACAUAAUAUUAGUACCCAAAGUGUACUCCAAGAUUAUAUAAAACUUAUGCGCACAAAUGAAAAAUGCAGCAUAUGAUUACAAAUGUGUAGAUGAUAAUAUACGGUACCUGAAAAAGUGAGGAUCCAAACACCCACUCCUUGUCAUUAUUAAACGGGUCAUGAAUUACACCCAAGGUCUCCAGUUUGGGCGCAGAGACGAUAGUUAUUUCUGAAGGUGUAUAACAAUUACGAAGGAGCAACCUUUCAAGUGAAGGGGCAUCUUCGAUGAUGAGUCGUUGUCCUUUAAAACAAAUUCCAAUGCUUUUAAGGUGAGGCGACUUUAUUUGGAGACAACUGAUACCGAUUUCUAUUCCCAAAACAAUCAGCAAGCGUUCCAGGGCAGGGAAACUAGAGUGGAUGAUGUUGUGCAGUGAGGCCACUGACAGAUAAACCACCACAAGCGAAAGUUCUUUUAUUAGUGGGAGUCGAAGCAUUUGUACCAGAUCGUCUGGUAGAUGGCAUCGGGCAAAGGUGGCGGUGUGGAGAGAGGAGGAAAACUGCAAGAUGGAGAACGGUGGUGUGGGCACAAAUUCUUGGUAUGUUCGUGGUAUGAAACUUUCAUGGUAAUGGUAGAACUAAAACUGCUGGAGUUUUACGAAUUUAGGGGAUGUCAGCCAAGCAUCCACCUUGCCGGGUAUGGACAGCAUGUAGCUUGUCGGGAUGCCGAUGCAUUGAACGGGGCCUUGCUGGUGAGAAGAGACGAUGGCUCUGAGGAGAUCAAAUUCAGGAAGGACAGAUAUCUGACGACAUUCGAGAUUGAGGGGCGCGGUGCGCCAUAGAAGGUGCCACCAAGUUGUGAGGACUUGUGUGCGGCAGCAAUCCUUGGUGGGGAGAAGCGAGAUGAUCUCCUCAAGGAUGACGCCCGGGAGAUCGCUGAUGCGGUCCAUCGGAGAGUCUACAGGUUCCUCAGAUCCGGGUGGGGGGGGGGCUCGCCGCUUCUCCCCGGCGCUAACGGGUGCGGGAUCUACAACCGGCGUUGCUGCUAGCGGGAGCCUCGUCUUCUUGGCGCUGGGGCCAGCCAACUCCAUUUUCCUUGUGGGCGUCGCGCCGAGCUCACGGGUUUGAGCAGAGUAGCCAGAGACGAGCCUAGUGGUAGUGCGAGUGGGGAAGAAGGAGGGCUGGGGAUUUCUGUAGGAGUGGAAGAAGAGGAGCAGGCGUUUUCUGUACGAGUGAGGAAGAAGGUGAGCGGGGUUUUCUGGACGAGUGAGGAAGAUUGGGGAGCGGGGGGAAUUGGGUGGGGAGACGAAGCGGGAGAGCGAGCUGUUCGUGUUUAUAAGGCCCGCUACACUAACUACUCGCUUUUUUCCAAGGCCCGCUCUCUUCUUUUGUGUUGCUGCAUUGGAGCUGGCGCAUGGGCUUGGCUGACUGGCCAUGCAUGUAGGAUGCAUGUGCCCGCCGACCACUGCAUGCAUCUGGUUUGUUACUAGGCCUAUUUAAUAGGGUGGUAAUGGAGUAAAUUAAGGAGAUUUAUUUUCUCUGUGUGCGUCCACCAAAUUAGAGGAUGCGGUACUGGAUGCAGACACUCAGAUUAAACUAACAUUUAGAAGAAAAAAAGUUCAGCAUGUCUAUGCAUCUCAAUGAUUCACCAUACUAUAACCAAUAUACAAAGCUGUGAGAAGGUGUGGAAAUAAAGAAAAUCGGUUGAUGCUUCUCUGAGCAAAGGGCCUCCCCGCGCACGCGUUAAUUUCCUGGGCAUGCUUGUUUCUUCUCAAUGUUGCGAGCACUUUGAGCAUGUUGGCAACUCCACAGUUAGCUAGCUGCCUCAUCUUGCAAUUGAUGCUGACACAUUUGCAAAAAACACAUGAGGCAAUAGAGAUGACUCAACAUGGGUCCAUAUUGUGCAGUUCCCCUGAUAUCAUAUUCAUUGUCCUGAAUCUGAAAAGAUAGGAAAACAGUAGCUAUACUUAAACGGGGUUGCAAAAAAGUAGCACAUAUCAAUAGCUCGACAUGACAAAACACGAUCAUCUGGAUGAAGGGGAUACUGACCUGCCUGAGGAAGAUUACAUAUAAUUUCAUAAGUCCUUGGUUGAUUUCCACCUUGGGCUGCACUGCUUGUUUGCUCCUCCACACAUGUCAGGAUCGUUCCGCACUGCAUUCAGCAAGUCAACGUACGAAUAAGCUAAUUUCAUCUUGCGGUAGUCAUUGUACCUAGUUACGAAUGUAGGAAUACCUGGAGUACCAUGAGGUUAGCUGACAGCAGGUAGAUGCAGCCAUAUAAAUUUUGUGCGGUGCUACCAAAAUUGAGGUUUGUAUCCCUUCCCGUUAUGAGAAUUCUUCUUGAAGUUGGUAGAAUGUGACGGCUUGUUCUUUGCAUCAAACUUGCCUUUCCCCUGAGAUUUGUUCUUGUUGUUUUGGGGCUGGUUGGGCUGGAAGUUCUUCUCGUGUACCAUGUGGGCACUAGAAGCUCCCUUAGCGACCCGAGCACGUGUGUCAUUUGCUCUCGCCUUCUCCUCAAAAUGAAGAGUGCUAAUGAGAUCCAAAAAGGAAAACUCAUGUCUCUUGUUUUUCAGAGAAGUAGCAAAAUCGUUCCACGAAGGUGGAAGCUUGGCAAUGAUGUUCCCAGCAAAAAAUUUGUCUGGCAACACACACUUAAAGUACUCAAGUUCCUUAGAGAGAGACUGUAUCUCAUGACUCUGCUGAACAACAGAGCGCUCAUCAGUCAUCUUGUAGUCACAUAAUUGCUCCAUGAUGUACAACUCGUUGCCAGCGCCAGAGGGCCCAAACGUGGCCUCGAGCGGAGCCCACAUGUCUUUGCCGCUGUCAAACGACCGAUAGAAUUGAAAACAGGGAUGAAGUGUGUGGCUGCGCGAUCGAUAAAGAGUGCCAUAAUAUUUGUGUUUGCCCACGUCAAAGAUACAGGGCGGCUGGCCUACUGGAAUUUGAGAGGGCAGAGGUGACUUCUCCGUGGCAUGGAUACCUACCUACAACGUUCGACUAUCGGUGUGUGUGGGUGGGGGGGUAGAGACCGGUCAACUAGUAUAUGUGUGGGGAAGGAGAAAGACCUAGCUAUGUAUUGAGGGAGAUCAAUCGACAUCCGUGUAUAUGUGUAGUAGAGGAAUAACGUUGGGAAAAAGACAAAGGUAGAGCGUCGGAGGGUUGGUGGUGGAGUGGCGUCUCACAAAUGGUGGGAGAGGCCUGCUAGACAAACGGAGGGUAUGAGUGCAAUAUCAAUAAGACAGGGCGGGGGAUGUCUGUCUGUCUAUGCAUGUGCGUGUGAGAGACGGGUCGGGAGGUAUUCAAGGAUGAUGAGGGGAGAAGAUAUGGUUGUGGUAAGCAUGCGUAACUACACAGGAAGAUCAACUGUCGUGUGUCCGAGAAAAGGAGUGACAUAACUAGCGAGGUAAGUGUGUCGGUGCUUGGUGAAAACAAAUUAUAGUUGACCCGGCUAUAUGUAGGGAGAGCAGUUCAUAUACACGCUUGCAUGUGUUAGAAGCAAAUAAGGUUCGGAGAGGCAGACAGGGGGAGAGGGUGUGGCUAGGAGGUGGUGCGAGAGGCCUACCUUGUCGAGGGGGGAGGAGUGUGCGAGCAUGUGAUAAAUGAAAAGAGGGGCGGGAGUGUGCACCUGUGUGGAAUCGUAUUGGACAUAUGGGGGCAUGGACGGUGAGAAGAGAAGAGGGGAAGUAUAUAUGUCUUUGUUGUAGGCACACUUGGCUAGAGAGGUAUAUCGACCGGUGUGUGCUAGAAAGGAGCCGGGGGCCUACAGACACCGCUAGUGGACAACCUAAAGAGAAAUAAUGAACGUGCGCGAUGGAGGGGACGCUAAGGGUGUGUGAGGGGGCGGGCGCGUGCAUGCACGAUAGAAAGUUAGCGCUAGCUAGCUACAAAUAGAAGAGGAUCAUGAAGGUGUAAAAGACGAACAAAGAUCAUAAUUCAUUAUAAAAAAGUGGAUAUGGAUACUUGAAGAAUAUAUCAUAAUGUAGAACAUUGAUUAUAAUUUGGGCUAAUGUGUGGCUUUUGUAACUCAGGUCUAAAUACUCGGGUCGAUAUAUGUAGGGAGAUCAGUUCAUAUACACGCCUGCAUGUGUUAGAAGCAAAUAAGGUCCGGAGAGGCAGACAGGGGGAGAGUGUGUGGCUAGGAGGUGGUGCGAGAGGCCUACCAUGUCGAGGGGGGAGGAGUGUGCGAGCAUGUGACUAAUGAAAAGAGGGGCGGGAGUGUGCACCUGCGUGGAAUCGUAUUGGACAUGUGGGGGCAUGGACGGUGAGAAGAGAAGAGGGGAAGUAUAUAUGUGUUUGUUGUAGGCACAUUUGGCUAGGGAGGUAUAUCGACCGUGUGUGCCAGAAAGAAGGAAACGGGGGCCUACACACACCGCUGGUGGACGACCUAAAGAGAAAUAAUGAACGUGCACGAUGGAGGGGACGCUAAGGGUGUGUGAGGGGGGCGGGCGUGUGCAUGCAUGAUAGAAAGUUAGCGCUAGCUAGCUACAAAUAUAAGAGGAUCGUGAAGGUGUAAAAGACGAACAAAGAUCAUAAUUCAUUAUAAAAAGAUGGAUACAGAUACUUGAAGAAGAUAUCAUAAUGUACAACAUUGAUUAUAAUUUGGGCUAAUGUGUGGCUUUUGCAAGUCAGGUCUAAAUACUUGUCAUAAUGUAGGGGGCGGGGCACUAUACUUUGUGUGAUAAACACGGUGUACGUAUGGAAGAUGGUUUAGAUUAUGAAUAUAUAGUUAGUACAUCAAAUGUACUAUUAUUUGGAAUCAACAUCAAGUGUAUUCAAAAAAUAGAAUUCGAGUUCAUGUAGUACACAUAGUUCAUAUCUAUCUCUAUAGUAAUGAUGUGGUGUGUUAUUAAGGUAAUACACAAAUGAUGGUUCAAGUUGGCAACAAUCAUGAUUGCAGAUACUUAUUGAAAUAGAGAACGAAUUCAAAUUUAGUUCGAAUUGCAGCGGUAGUAUAGACAUUUGGAAUGCACUAAAAUGUUGGUAUGAGUAGGUUACAUGCAUUAUCCAGCAAGCGAACAAAAUUAAUCGGACAUAACAUCGAUUCAUACUCCCUCCUUCCAUCUAUAUAGGGCGUAAUGAGAUUUUUAAGACCGCCUUUGACUAUUGACAGGAUUAAUAGUACAUGACAUGCACAAUGUGAAAAUUAUAUCAUUGAAAGAACCUUUCACCGACGAAUUUAACGGUGUGCUUUGUGUAAGUUGCAUGUCAUAUAUCAUUGUUCUAAUAUUUGGUCAAAGUUAGCAUCGAAAAACGCAUUAGGCCCUAUAUAGAUGGAAGGAGGGAGUAGCUUUGAAUAGGAUUUGUAUAGUAAGACGGGGCAAGACUCUCUCUUUGUGUGGUGUGAAUAGUUUUUUUUUCAUUUUCUUUUUGGUUGAGGGAAGUGCGAAUUGAUUUGGUACGUACAAGUACAAUAUUACUAAACGUUAGGCUUGUCCCUAAAAUUCAACUCGCGUCUUGUUAUAUCUCGAAAAUUCAAAUAUCGUGCUCUCAAAACUAGCGCUUUCACAACCCGCGCCUUGCUAUCCCGAAAUUAUAACGCGUGCAAAAACUCCCUCCAGCUGCCAAAUCCCGACACACGAAAUCCCCCUUCUAAACCUGAGCCAAAAGGGCCACUAGUUCAAAUCGGUGGGGAGUACUUUUGUAACACACCCUACAUUUUGGACAAGCGCGUCCCUAAGUCAUGCUUCACCCCCUCCCAUCACCCCCUUUUCGCCAUUCGAAAUCCCAGGCCCCAUAACCUCUCCGCUUCAGCCGCGAAACCCCACACUCCUCCGUCCGCCACGUCACCGCUGCCCAGCCGGAGCCUCUUCCCCGAUGACAUUGUCCACCGCAACAGCUCGACGUGCCUCGUCCACCUCCCCGGAUGAGGAUCCGACGUCCAUCUCGCCGUCCCGCUGGUUCAGCCGCCCCGUCCUCCACCUCCAGGGAGAUGCUCCAACGAUCGCCUCGUCUAUCGUGGCUGCUCCAUCCCCACAGUGCCGCCUUAACCUGCUCCAUCGGAACCGCAGCAUCCUCACCGACUCCUCGGACGAAGCCGAGGCCUACUCGGCAACACCAAAGAGGUUGUACACUGAUUGCAUCGCACCUUCUCCUUAACUCGACCUCCCGGCGCCGACAGUGCUCCAUCCAGCACCCCCAUGGAGCGGCUAUCUUGAAGCCGGCGCCGCGGGCGACAUCUCCACGGCGGCUCUCCCCCAGUGCAAGGCCCCUUCGGCGGCUGCGUCCAUACCAGCCGGAUCUGCUGCUGCUGCUCCGGCUCUCACUUGCUCGCUCGCGCUGCCGCUGCUCCGACUCUCGCUCCAUCGCUUGCUCGCCCAGCUGCUGCUGCUGCUCCCCCCUUGCUCAUGUUGCUGCUCUGCUCCGAUUAAGACACACUUCAGUCGACUGAAUCGACUUUUGGGUCAGUCGAUUUUCAGGGGUUGGAGGGGCUCGCCAGAGUUAAGGAAGAACCACCCGCAGCGGGGACGGGGGCCGCCGGAGAGGUACCCCACUAUCUUUCUUAGGGUUCAGGGCGGGGGGUGGGGACCUAUAGGGUUGGCCAAGGCGGCGGUGGCGAGUUGCUUCGGGGCGGCGAGGCGACGCUGGGGCCGGCGGUUCGGCCGGUGGUGGCUGGUGGCUCAGGGGGGGGUGCAGGUUGAAGAUGAACUGCAGGCCCUCCCUAAACUACAUGUCAAGUGCCUCUCUGCUACCAUUGCGUUCAGUUUCGACAGUAGCAUUCAGAUUCCACAAUAAAUUUCAGUUUUGACAGUUAAGUUCAGAGUCAACAGUUUUUACCUCAUCUGUUGUAGUUAGGUGGUUUUUGGUGAUGUUAAUUUUACAUCCAUUUUUCAUCAUCUACUGGAGAUGCUAUUAGAAUCCCACUUGAGAUUGACGAUGUCUGUUUUGUGCUGCUUCAGCAUUGACGUCCUAUGGCUAACCGGAGCUGCUCCAACAACAGAACGAUCCAUCACAAUAGAGCAGUGCCCUGGACACCGUCUAUAGAUUCCUCAGAUCUUCCUCCACACCUCCGAUAGCCACCUCUGCCUCAACUGCUUCAGUGACCGACCCAAUGAUGCUGAGGUCGACACGGCUACGGCAAAGAGGUUGUACACUUGUUGCAUCACUUAUUACUAUACAUUCACGUCGAUCCAUUAGGGCUAUUUUGAUUCAAAGGAAAAACAUAGCAAUAGGGAAUUUUCCAAUGGCACUCUACUAUUCAAUUAUUCAUGCAUUUUGUUGAAAGUAAUGAAGCAAAACAUCCACCUAGACCUACUUUUCAAAAUCCUAUGCAUGAAAACAAGACCAAGUGCAUUAGUGCCAGAAUAACAUUCUAACUGUACACGCUUUCAUAUGGUUUCACUUUAUUUUGGCGAGGUUUCUUUGCAUUCCUCUGCUCUUCCAAUUCUUGUAAACCAAACACCCAAGUUGACAGAAAUCCUGUGUUUACAAAUGCUCCAUUUACCAUGUGCAUUUUCCUGUCCUAUUCCGGUGUUUUUCCUAUCCCUGCACUUUAAGAAUCAUGCAAGCUAAAUCAGCUCUUGCAGAAUUACUUCAGUUACAGGUACGUGUCGAAGGGAACUUUGUGUGGUUUGUCCUGCUCCUGCCGCGAUGUCGUCCACCUCACCUGAGCUGCUCCAUCGACAGAGGCAUCCGCCAAACCAUACAUCACGACCCCUGUCCGUCUUUCGCCGCCUCAAAUCUCCUUCCCUGCCGCUGGCACCCACCACAACGACAUCAGCAUCAUCGACUCAGCAGAUGAACCUGAGGAGUACACGGGUCCACAAGAGAGGUCGCACUCUUUUGUUUCUGCUUAUGUUAUGCAUUUCUUAAACUUACCUGCUACUUUAUCGUCCUGUUCAGCUCUUGGACUCCCAAGUCAGGUCCAAAUUAAUACUCAAACUUGAGUUCUAAAUUAGUUGUGGGGCAAAUAUCGAGGCAACAAUCAAUAGUAUGUCCGUCUAAUAUCUGGUUCACCUAGGGUAUGCUAUGUUGUUCAUCUUGGGUGGGAAAUAAAUAGUAAAGCAAUCAUCAUUUGUCUUUUUAUUAAUUUAAAGCAAUCAUCAACCUGCUAUCAUUAUUUUUGGAUCCAUCCACUGGUUAUUACAAUCACUCUAAAUUUCUGCAUGCUCUCCUUACAUAAUCUCACCAUAGUUUUUCAUAUGCAUGUCAAAUAUUGUACACAGUCAUGUUGAACAUGUAGAGAAAUAGAGAAGAGUUUUACGCGGCAAUACAAUGUCAUGCAGACAUCGGUCCAUUGUGGGUUCAAUGGCAAACCCUCCCCACCCCUCUCCAGAUUGUAAUCCAGAGGAAGAUAUCUGUUCUGAGGCGGAUUCGGACGCCGCUGACCACUCCUAUUUACCCCCCAAGGUGUUUGCUCUACCUUGGCAUGAUAAAGUUAGUCAUAUCAUGCAUAUGUUGCCUUGCAGUGCCUACUUUUGACAUCAUAUAUGUCAUCUGCUUAGUUUAGACAUGUUCGGUAAUGCCACCUGUUUAGUUUCUAUAUCAUAUAUGGGAAUUAUGCAGUCUCAUGUCUUUUAGCCAGCCAUAAUAUAUGUGAAAUGUGCAAUGCCAUCGUGUUUAACCAGGAAUCAUAUAUUUGAAUGAUAUCUUGCCCAUCCUUUUCUUCAUUACAUUUCCAUUUGUCGACAAUGUUUGUACAUUAAACUACUCUUCCUGUGAACCAGCCAUUUGGGUGGGAGAUGGCAACAUCUGGUGUGAAAACAAGGCCUUCAGAGCAAACAGUGCUACCUGUCGAAGCAGAUCUCUUAUUGGGUCCGAUAGCUCCUCAGAGAUGGAUUUAGAGACAGAUGACCAGUCCUAUUCCCCCACUGAGGUGUAUGCUCUAACUUGGCAUGGUUAUACUGCUCAUAUCAUGCAUAUGGUGUCUUGCAUUGCAUAGUUUAGACAUCCUAUACACAAUAUUCAACACAAUGUUCUUAGUUCAGACAUCAUAUCGAAUGCCCUCUGUUUAGCAUAUAGAUCACAUAGUGAAUUAAAUGAUGCGAUCCUGAUUACUUAGAUAACAUGUAGGUGAAUUAUGUCAUGCGAUCCUAUUUAGUUAUUCGUCAUAUCUUUGAAUUAUGUUAUGCUAUGCUAUCCAGUUUAGAUAGACAUCAUAUAUGUGAAAUCAUGUCAUGCUAUCCAUUUUAGUUAAACAAUAUACAUGUCAACUUUUUCAUGCCCUCUAUUUUCCACACUAUCUAUUGCAUCUGUCUCUCAUACAAUGUCUGUACAUUCAACUAUGUUUCCUGUUUAUCAGCCAUUUGAAUUGGAGUGGGUGAUGCCAGUAUAUAGCGGACUAAAAACACGGUCUUCAAAUAAAACAAUGCUACCUCUUAGUGGAGAUAGCACCCCGGUUGUACAUGCACAAGAACCAGCCCUACCACACAUAACCCAAACUCUCGCAGAUUGUACCCCUACUGCGAUGGACAGAGAACCAGCUUCACCCAAUCUAACCCCAACCCCAGCCGAUAGUAACCCAGUUCCUGUUGACACAGCACCAUCUCCACCACAGAGCUCCCAAACAAGAGCAGUUAGUAAGGCAGCUCCAGUGCCCAAAGGGCCACUACUAUCAUGGCGAACCCCAACUCCACCAGUUAGUACGCCUAUUCCCGUGGAGGAAGCACAACCAGCUAGCCGUAGUUUAGCAUCUAUCGCAUUUGAUGUUGUUAAAUCGUAUGUGUGUAUCUUCCCAUCUUGGAAAUAUUAUACUGAAGAUGAAGGAAAAUGCCAGUUGUAGGUGUUUGUCCUGGAGUUAUGUGUAAGUAAUGUUAUUCAUGGCAGUUACUUUGCUUCGUCCCAUACAUACUACCUCCAUGAUGGUUAUAAUACAACAAAUUUUCCCAUUUUUCUCUAUAGAGAAGGACCGAUUUGGAAACUCAGGAUGAGGUAACCUGUGCUAAUACCUCUGCUAUCUUCAAGAAUGCUUCGUGGAAGUAUCGGAAUUACCUGAAGAAAAGGUACUUCGCCGACAAAGAAACUCAUCAAAUUCCCUUUCGUUCUCCUGAGACACAUUUACUGGACGAUGACUGGGAACGCCUUGUUUUGUACUGGUCCCGAACCAAGAAUGUGGUAAGGUCUAUGAGCUCAUUUUCUAUUUUUAAGUAUUAUAUCCUUGUGUCUUGCUGUACUCUGUUCAUGUAGAACAAGUGCCUAAACCUGAAGAACAACUGUUCUAAUUUAAGAUUCCAUUACUAUCAUAGUUCAAAAAAGCGCUAGGCAUUAAUUGUGCGUUUUGCCACCGCCUUGCGCUUUACUGGCCAAAGCACAUGCUUAUGCACAGUUAUGCACAGAUUAAGCGUAGUUAUGCGCAAUGCGUUUUGCCAACGCCUAGAGCCUAGGCGCACUGAAGCGCUCGCUUAGGCGCGCCUUUUUUAACUAUGAUCGCUUUGCUCUUGUAUCACUGUAUUUACUCAUACAAACUUAUUUUUAAAUUGAAGGAUCCAAUCGAAACUCCAAUGGCACAGCAGGUAUGUUCACGCAUGUUUCUUUAACAGGUUUGCUCUUAUCAAUAGCUCUUUUGAUUUCAAUUUCAAUUGUGUAUACAGUUGACUUUCAAUAGCAUCACAACAGAGCCAAUAGUGUUGUUGUACAUGUAGACCCGUGGUACCCAUCUAAAAUCUUGUUGUGCCGUGUAGUUUCCCAUGCUUUGUAUUCUUUCACUGCUGCUUUGUCUUGAACUGAUAUGAUUUGAACCGUGUCUCUAUUUUGAUUUGGCAAGAUAAUACAAUGACCAUAGGACAUAGAUAUAUGUUUGUUUGAUGCUUUUAUUAUGUACUAGUACUUGACAAUAGAAGACUUGGUAGUUUAUGUUGGGGAACGUAGUAAUUUCAAAAAAAUUCCUACGCACACGCAAGAUCAUGGUGAUGACAUAGCAACGAGAGGGGAGAGUGUUGUCCACGUACCCUCGUAGACACUAAGCGGAAGCGUUAGCACAACGCGGUUGAUGUAGUCGUACGUCUUCACGAUCCGAUCGAUCCAAGCACCGAACAUACGACACCUCCGAGUUCAGCACACGUUCAGCUCGAUGACGAUCCCCUUGCUCUGAUACAGCAAAGCUUCGGGGAUGAGUUCCGUCAGCACGACGGCAUGGUGACGAUGAUGAUGUUCAACCGGCGCAGGGCUUCGCCUAAACUACGUGACGAUAUGACCGAGGUGAAAUAUGGUGGAGGGGGGCACCGCACACGGCUAAGGAACGAUCCGUAGAUCAACUUAUGUGUUAUGGGGUGCCCCCUUGCCCCCGUAUAUAAAGGAGGGAGGGGGAGGUGCGGCCGGCCCCCUUGGGGUGCGCCUGGAGGAGUCCUACUCCCACCAGGAGUAGGACUCCCCCCUCUUGCCUUGGUGGAGAAGGAAAGGGGGGAGGGGAAAGAGGAAAGGGGGGUGCCGCCCCCCCCCUUCCUUGUCCUAUUCGGACUAGGGGGGGAGGGGGCGCGCGGCCUACCCUGGCCGGCCCUCCUCUUCUCCCUCAUGGCCCACUAAGGCCCAUUAACCCCCGGGAGGGUUCCGGUAACCCCCCGGUGUUCCGGUUAAAUCCUGAUUUCAUCCGGAACCUUUCCGAUGUCCAAACAUAGGCUUCGAAUAUAUCAAUCUUUAUGUCUCGACCAUUUCGAGACUCCUCGUUACGUCCGUGAUCACAUCCGGGACUCCGAACAAACUUCGGUACAUCAAAACUUAUAAACUCAUAAUAAAACUGUCAUCGUAACGUUAAGCGUGCGGACCCUACGGGUUCGAGAACUAUGUAGACAUGACCUAGAACUAUUCUCGGUCAAUAACCAAUAGCGGAACCUGGAUGCCCAUAUUGGUUCCUACAUAUUCUACGAAGAUCUUUAUUGGUCAAACCGCAUAACAACAUACGUUGUUCCCUUUAUCAUCGGUAUGUUACUUGCCCGAGAUUUGAUCGUCGGUAUCCAAUACCUAGUUCAAUCUCGUUACGGCAAGUCUCUUUAAUCAUUACGUAAUGCAUCAUCCCGUAACCAACUCAUUGGUCACAUUGCUUGCAAGGCUUGUAGUGAUGUGCAUUACCGAGAGGGCCCAGAGAUACCUCUCCGACAAUCGGAGUGACAAAACCUAAUCUCGAAAUACACCAACUCAACAUGUACCUUUGGAGACACCUGUAGUACUCCUUUAUAGUCACACAGUUACGUUGUGACGUUUGGUAGCACCCAAAGUGUUCCUCCGAUAAACGGGAGUUGCAUAAUCUCAUAGUUACAGGAACAUGUAUAAGUCAUGAAGAAAGCAAUAGCAACAUACUAAACGAUCAAGUGCUAGGCUAACGGAAUGGGUCAUGUCAAUCACAUCAUUCUCCUAAUGAUGUGAUCCCGUUAAUCAAAUGACAACUCUUUUGUCCAUGGCUAGGAAACUUAACCAUCUUUGAUUCAACGAGCUAGUCAAGUAGAGGCAUACUAGUGACAUUAUGUUUGUCUAUGUAUUCACACAUGUAUUAUGUUUCCGGUUAAUACAAUUCUAGCAUGAAUAAUAAACAUUUAUCAUGAUAUAAGGAAAUAAUUAAUAACUUUAUUAUUGCCUCUAGGGCAUAUUUCCUUCAGUCUCCCACUUGCACUAGAGUCAAUAAUCUAGUUCACAUCACCAUGUGAUUUAACACCAAUAUUCACAUCUGUAUGUGAUUAAACCCAUAGUUCACAUCUUCAUGUGACCAAAAACCCAAAGGGUUUACUAGAGUCAAUAAUCUAGUUCACAUUGCUAUGUGAUUAACACCCAAAGAGUACAAAGGUAUGAUCAUGUUUUGCUCGUGAGAGAAGCUUAGUCAACGGUUCUGUCACAUUCAGAGCCGCAUGUAUUUUGCAAAUAUUCUAUGUCUACAAUGCUCUGCACGGAGCUACUAUAGCUAAUUGCUCCCACUUUCAACAUGUAUCCAGAUUGAGACUUAUAGUCAUCUGGAUCAGUGUAAAAGCUUGCACUGUUGUAACUCUUUACGACGGGCUCUUUUAUCACCUCCAUAAUCGAGAAAUAUUUCUUUAGUCCUCACUAAGGAUAUUCUUGACCGUUGUCCAGUGAUCUACUAUUAGAUAAAAAUUGUAUUCCUUUGCCAAACUCAGAGCAAGGUAUAUAAUAGGUCUGGUUCACAGCAUAGCAUACUUUAUAGAACCUAUGACUGAGGCAUAGGGAAUGACUUUUCAUUCUCUUUCUAUUUUCUGCAAUGGUCGGGUCUUGAGUCUUACUCAACUUCACACCUUGUAACACAGGCAAGAACUCCUUCUUUGACUGUUCCAUUUUAAACUAUUUCAAAAAUUUAUCAAGGUAUGUACUCAUUGAAAAAUCUUAUCAAGCGUCUUGAUCUAUCUAUAUAGAUCUUGAUGCUCAAUGUGUAAGCAGCUUCACCGAGGUCUUGCUUUGAAAAACUCUUAUUCAAGUAUCCUUUCAUGCUAUCUAGAAUUUCCAUAUCAUUUCCAAUUAACAAUAUGUCAUCCACAUAUAAUAUUAGAAAUGCUACAGAGCUCCCACUCACUUUCUUGUAAAUACAGGCUUCUUCAAAAGUCUGUAUAAAACCAUAUGCUUUGAUCAACUCAUCAAAGCAUAUAUUCCAACUCCGAGAUGCUUGCACCAGUCCAUAGAUGGAUCGCUGGAGCUUGCACAAUUUGUUAGCACUUUUAGGAUUGACAAAACCUUUUGGUUGCAUCAUAUACAACUCUUUUUAAGAAAACCAUUAAGGAAUGCAAUUUUGACAUCCAUUUGCCAGAUUUCAUAAAAUGUGGCAAUUGCUAACAUGAUUCGGACAGACUUAAGCAUCGCUACAGUUGAGAAAAUCUCAUUGUAGUCAACACCUUGAACUUGUCAAAAACCUUUCGCAACAAGUCGAGCUUAGUAGAUAGUAACACUACUAUCAGUGUUCGUCUUCCUCUUGAAGAUCCAUUUAUUUUCUAUGGCUUGCCGAUCAUCGGGCAAGUCAAUCAAAGUCCACACUUUGUUCUUAUAUAUGGAUCCUAUCUCAAAUUUCAUGGCCUCAAGCCAUUUUGCGGAAUCUGGGCUCACCAUCGCUUCUUCAUAGUUCUUAGGUUCGUCAUGGUCUAGUAACAUAACUUCCAGAACAGGAUUACCGUACCACUUUGGUGCAGAUCUUACUCUGUAAGACCUACGAGGUUCUGUAGUAACUUAAUCUGAAGUUUCAUGAUCAUCAUCAUUAACUUCCUCACUAAUUGGUGUAGUAGUCACAGGAACAGAUUUCUGUGAUGAACUAAUUUCCAAUAAGGGAGCAGGUACAGUUACCUCAUCAAGUUCUACUUUCCUCCCACUCACUUCUUUCGAGAGAAACUUCUUCUCUAGAAAGGAUCCAUUCUUGGCAACGAAUGUUUUGCCUUCAGAUCUAUGAUUGAAGGUGUACCCAACAGUUUCCUUUGGGUAUUCUAUGAAGACGCACUUCUCCGAUUUGGGUUUGAGCUUAUCAGGAUCAAACUUUUCAUAUAAGCAUCGUAGCCCUAAACGACAACUUGGGUUUUCUUGCUAAACCACAGUUCAUAUAGUGUCGUCUCAACGGAUUUAGAUGGUGCCCUUUUAAUGUGAAUGCAGCUGUCUCUAAUGCAUAACCCCAAAACGAUAAUGGUAAAUCAAUAAGAGACAUCAUAGAUCGCACCAAAAUAAAGUGCGGUUACGACGCUCGGACACACCAUAACAUUGUGGUGUUCUAGGUGGCGUGAGCUGUGAAACUAUUCCACAUUGUUUUAAUUGAAGACCAAAAUCGUAACUCAAAUAUUCGCCUCUGCGAUCAGAUCGCAGAAACUUUAUUUUCUUGUUACGAUGAUUUUUCCACUUCACUCUGAAAUUCUUUGAACCUUUGAACUAUUUCAGACUUAUGUUUCAUCAAGUAGAUAUACUCAUAUCUGCUCAAAUCAUCUUGUGAAGGUCAGAAAAUAACGAUACUUGCCACGAGCAUCAACACUCAUUGGAUCGCAUACAUCGGUAUGUAUUAUUUCCAAUAAGUCAGUAGCUCAUUCCAUUGUUCUGGAGAACGGAGUUUUAGUCAUCUUGCCUAAAAGGCACGGUUCGCAAGCAUCAAAUGAUUCAUAACCAAGUGAUUCCGAAAAUCCAUCUUUAUGGAGUUUCUUCAUGCGCUUUACACCGAUAUGACCCAAACAGCAGUGCCACAAAUAAGUUACACUAUCAUUAUUAAGUUUGCAUCUUUUGGCAUCAAUAUUAUGAAUAUGUGUAUCACUAUGAUCGAGAUCCAACAAACUAUUGUCAUUGGGUGUAUAACCAUUGAAGGACUUAUUCAUGUAAACAGAAUAACAAUUAUUCUUUAACUUCAAAUGAAUAACUGUAUCGCAAUAAACAUGAUCAAAUCAUAUUCAUGCUCAACGCAAACGCUAAAUAACAUUUAUUUAGGUUUAACACUAAUCCCGACAGUAUAGGGAGUGUGUGAUGAUGAUCAUAUCAAUCUUGGAACUAUUUCCAACACUUAUCAUCACUUCCCCUCAACUAGUCUCUGUUUAUUCUGUAACUCCUGUUUCGAGUUACUAAUCUUAGUGACCGAACAAGUAUCAAAUACUCAGGGGCUACUAUAAACACUAGUAAGGCAUACAUCAAUAACCUGUAUAUCAAAUACACCCUUGUUCACUUUGCCAUCCUUCUUAUCCACCAAAUAUUCAGGGCAUUUCCGCUUCCAGUGACCAUUUCCUUUGCAGUGUAAGCACUCAGUUUCAGGCUUUGGUCCAGCUUUGGUCUUCUUCACGGGAGUGACAACUUGCUUGCCAUUCUGCUUGAAGUUCCCUUUCUUUCCCUUUGCCCUUUUCUUGAAACUAGUGGUCUUGUCAAUCAUCAACACUUGAUGCUCUUUCUUGAUUUCUACCUUCGUCGAUUUCAGCAUCACGAAGAGCUUGGGAAUCGUUUUCGUCAUCCCUUGCAUUAUAGUUCAUCACGAAGUUCUACUAACUUGGUGGUGGUGACUAGAGAAUUCUGUCAAUCACUAUCUUAUCUGGAAGAUUAACUCCCACUUGAUUCAAGCGAUUGUAGUACCCAGACAAUCUGAGCACAUGCUCACUAGUUGAGCGAUUCUCCUCCAUCUUUUAGCUAUAGAACUUGUUGGAGACUUCAUAGCUCUCAACUCGGGUAUUUGCUUGAAAUAUUAACUUCAACUCAUGGAAUAUCUCAUAUGGUCCAUGAUGUUCAAAACGUUUUUGAAGUCCCGAUUCUAAGCCAUAAAGCAUGGUGCACAAAACUAUCAAGUAGUAAUCAUAUUGAGCUAGCCAAACGUUCAUAACGUCUGCAUCUGCUCCUAUAAUAGGUCUGUCACCUAGCGGUGCAUUAAGGACAUAAUUCUUCUGUGCAGCAAUGAGGAUAAACCUUAGAUCACGGAUCCAAUCCGCAUCAUUGCUACUAACAUCUUUCAACACAAUUUUCUCUAGGAACAUAUAAAAAUAAACAUAUGAAAGCAACAACGCAAGCUAUUGAUCUACAACAUAAUUUCCAAAAUACUACCAGGACUAAGUUCAUGAUAAAUUUAAGUUCAAUUAAUCAUAUUACUUAAGAACUCCCACUUAGACAGACAUCUCUCUAGUCAUCUAUGUGAUCACGUGAUCCAAAUCAACUAAACCAUGUCCGAUCAUCACGUGAGAUGGAGUAGUUUCAAUGGUGAACAUCACUAUGUUGAUCAUAUCUACUAUAUGAUUCACGCUCGACCUUUCGGUCUCCGUGUUCCAAGGCCAUAUCUGUAUAUGCUAGGCUCGUCAAGUAUGACCUGAGUAUUCCGCGUGUGCAACUGUUUUGCACCCGUUGUAUUUGAACGUAGAGCCUAUCACACCCGAUCAUCACGUGGUGUCUCAGCACGAAGAACUUUCACAACGGUGCAUACUUAGGGAGAACACUUCUUGAUUAUUAGUGAGAGAUCAUCUUAAAAUGCUACCGUCAAUCAAAGCAAGAUAAGAUGCAUAAAGGAUAAACAUCACAUGCAAUCAAUAUAAGUGAUAUGAUAUGGCCAUCAUCAUCUUGUGCUUGUGAUCUCCAUCUUCGAAGCACCGUCGUGAUCACCAUCGUCACCGGCGUGACACCUUCAUCUCCAUCGUAGCAUCGUUGUCGUUACGCCAUCUAUUGCUUCUACGACUAUCGCUACCACUUAGAGAUAAAGUAAAGCAAUUACAGGGCGUUUGCAUCUCAUACAAUAAAGCGACAACCAUAUGGCUCCUGCCAGUUGCCGAUAACUUCGGUUACAAAACAUGAUCAUCUCAUACAGAUAUAAUAUAGCAUCACGUCUUGACCAUAUCACAUCACAACAUGCCCUGCAAAAACAAGUUAGACAUCCUCUACUUUGUUGUUGCAAAUUUUACGUGGCUGCUACGGGCUUUAGCAAGAACCGUUCUUACCUGCGCAUAAAAACCACAACGAUAGUUCGUCAAAUUGGUGCUGUUUUAACCUUCGCAAGGACCGGGCGUAGCCACACUCGAUUCAGCUAAAGUGAGAGAGACAGACACCCGCCAGCCACCUUUAAGCACGAGUGCUCCUAAUGGUGAAACCAGUCUCGCGUAAGCGUACGCGUAAUGUCGGUCCGGCCCGCUUCAUCUCACAAUACCGCCGAACCAAAGUAUGACAUGCUGGUAAGCAGUAUGACUUGUAUCACCCACAACUCACUUGUGUUCUACUCGUGCAUAUAACAUCAACGCAUAAAACCUAGGCUCGGAUGCCACUGUUGGGGAACGUAGUAAUUUCAAAAAAAUUCCUACACACACGCAAGAUCAUGGUGAUGACAUAGCAACAAGAGGGGAGAGUGUUGUCCACGUACCCUCUUAGACCGUAAGCGGAAGCGUUAGCACAACGCGGUUGAUGUAGUCGUACGUCUUCAUGAUCCGACCGAUCCAAGCACCGAACGUACGGCACCUCCGAGUUCAGCACACGUUCAGCUCGAUGACGAUCCCCGGGCUUCGAUCCAGCAAAGCUUCGGGGAUGAGUUCCGUCAGCACGACGGCGUGGUGACGAUGAUGAUGUUCUACUGGCGCAGGGCUUCGCCUAAACUCCGCGACGAUAUGACCGAGGUGGAAUAUGGUGGAGGGGGGCACCGCACACGGCUAAGGAACGAUUCGUAGAUCAACUUAUGUGUUAUGGGGUGCCCCCUUGCCCCCGUAUAUAAAGGAGGGAGGGGGAGGUGCGGCCGGCCCCCUUGGGGUGCGCCUGGAGGAGUCCUACUCCCACCGGGAGUAGGACUCCCCCCUCUUGCCUUGGUGGAGAAGGAAAGGGGGGAGGGGAAAGAGGAAAGGGGGGCGUCGCCCCCCUUCCUUGUCCUAUUCGGACUAGAGGGGGAGGGGGCGCGCGGCCUGCCCUGGCCGGCCCUCCUCUUCUCCCUCAUGGCCCACUAAGGCCCAUUAACCCCCGGGAGGGUUCCGGUAACCCCCCGGUGUUCCGGUAAAAUCCCGAUUUCAUCCGGAACCUUUCCGAUGUCCAAACAUAGGCUUCCAAUAUAUCAAUCUUUAUGUCUCGACCAUUUCGAGACUCCUCGUUACGUCCGUGAUCACAUCCGGGACUCCGAACAAACUUCGGUACAUCAAAACUUAUAAACUCAUAAUAAAACUGUCAUCGUAACGUUAAGCGUGCGGACCCUACGGGUUCGAGAACUAUGUAGACAUGACCUAGAACUAUUCUCGGUCAAUAACCAAUAGCGGAACCUGGAUGCCCAUAUUGGUUCCUACAUAUUCUAUGAAGAUCUUUAUCGGUCAAACCGCAUAACAACAUACGUUGUUCCCUUUGUCAUCGGUAUGUUACUUGCCCGAGAUUUGAUCGUCGGUAUCCAAUACCUAGUUCAAUCUCGUUACCAGCAAGUCUCUUUACUCGUUACAUAAUGCAUCAUCGCGUAACCAACUCAUUGGUAACAUUGAUUGCAAGGCUUGUAGUGAUGUGCAUUACCGAGAGGGCCCAGAGAUACCUCUCCGACAAUCGGAGUGACAAAACCUAAUCUCGAAAUAUGCCAACUCAACAUGUACCUUUGGAGACACCUGUAGUGGUCCUUUAUAAUCACCCAGUUACGUUGUGAUGUUUGGUAGCACCCAAAGUGUUUCUCCGAACGGGAGUUGCAUAAUCUCAUAGUUACAGGAACAUGUAUAAGUCAUGAAGAAAGCAAUAGCAACAUACUAAACGAUCAAGUGCUAGGCUAAUGGAAUGGGUCAUGUCAAUCACAUCAUUCUCCUAAUGAUGUGAUCCCGUUAAUCAAAUGACAACUCUUUUGUCCAUGGCUAGGAAACUUAACCAUCUUUGAUUCAACGAGCUAGUCAAGUAGAGGCAUACUAGUGACACUAUGUUUGUCUAUGUAUUCACACAUGUAUUAUGUUUCUGGUUAAUACAAUUCUAGCAUGAAUAAUAAACAUUUAUCAUGAUAUAAGGAAAUAAAUAAUAACUUUAUUAUUGCCUCUAGGGCAUAUUUCCUUCAGUUUAAUCCUGUCCACCUUACUAAUGAACUGGUUCACCGAAAUGAGUUUCAUAUACUAGUACAUGCUAAACUUGUUAUUUGUCUGCUUGUUUCUUGUUUUAGAAUGCUGACAGAAUAUUGGGAAAAGUGCCUUAUUAAGCAAUGGUAUAGGAGGUAAUGCAGAUAAGGUUUAGGAUAGUGACACAUCCUUGUUGGUCUCCAACAAAGCUGAUAAAACAGCUAAGGAAGACUAUCUUGAAGACAGCGAGACAACCCCAAAGUCCUGUCUUGGUUUAGUGUUCGAGUUACUGGCCACUACCGCUUGCACAAGCUAUUCAAACUCACUGUCUGAAUCAGUUCAGUUUCUUGAGUCUCAACUACAAGCUGAAAGACAUCGAUCAGCUGUGGUGCAACAAGAAGCGGAAGGAGUGCGGAAGUCCCUGGAGCAUUCAGAUGCAUACUUUCUGGUGCAACAGCAAGCGUUGGAGGAUUUUAGCGCCAAACAGGACAAAGCUAAUCAGCUUGCUAAGCUUAUUGCCACCAUAGUGGAUACCCAGGAUAACGUUUCUUGAGCUCUUCUGAAGUUGUUUCAGUUAUGCUGUUGUUUUGCUGUCGCGUUUAUUUGCACUGGUGGCCAAUUUUGACGGCCAGUGUAUGUAGUGUGCUGCUUUAUUCCCAAUAUUUGCACUGGUGGCGAACUUUGAUGCCCAGUGGAUGUAAUAUGUGUAAUAGCGGUAAUAGGCUAGCGUUAAUUGCUUGCUUAUUUAUUUCCUUAUUGUCUUGUUUUGUUGUUUGAUUGUAGUCACUGCAGUUCUUUUUCUGUGUUUUUGUAGUGGCCACAAUAGCCUAUUUUUGGUAACUAGGCCAAAAUUAUCAUGGCAACACACGGACUGUUCUAACCAUGGGCCUCCUGCAGGCCGUAUGAUCCAUGGGCCUUCUUCCGACCGUAGGUUCCAUCAGCCUUCUAUACGGGCCUUAGGGUCCAUGGGCCUUCUACGGGCCGUAGGGUCCAUGGGCCUUCUGCGGGCCGCAGGGUCCAUGGGCCUUCUACGGGCCGUACGUUCCAUGGGCCUCAUACGGGCCAUAGGAUCCAUGGGCCUUCUACGGGGCGUAUCAUCAUUUCACCAAUCCUGGGCCGUACUAUUCAUGGACCAUAACGGGCCGUUAAUAGGUCGUAUUUGAUAACUCUAUGAAAACAGCCCAACGGGUUUUUUUUGACAUGAAAACGACCCAACGUAUUAAUGGUCCGCAAAUGGGCCAACUGUAACGACGGGCUGAAUUUGGCCGACAAGCAGAAAAUCACAGUAACGGGCCGUAUGUAACCGAAUGCUGCAAAUGAGCCCAAGAAUCAAUGGGCCCUGAGAAGGCCGAAAGAUAACUUGGGCUGGAAAUGGCCCAAUGGAAUAACGGGUCGUUAAUGGGUAUAACGUGAUACACUGUUCAUUACAGGCCAGUUUCACCACGGGCUGUUAAUGGGCCAAGAUUUACAAAGGGCCUCAUAUGGGCCGAAAGAAGUCAUGGGCCACACAUGGGCCGGAAGUUAAAAUGGGCUGGAAUCAUAUUGGACGGCCCAGAUGAUGCUACUGGGCCUAAUUCGGAUAGGGCGUAACGGGCCCUGGGUUAGCGGGCUGUAAAUGGACUAUAUGCGAACAGGUCGUUAACAGGCUUUCCGUGGGCCGGCCCGCCACCUUUUGACCAAGUCAAACGGGCCGGCCUUUUCACAGGAAUGGGCCUCUGUUGGGCCGUGCCACGUGUUGCCGUAUCAUAGGUGCCUUCGGUCCAAUGAGCGGAUGACAUCUGUCCCAGCGGUGAGCCGACACGUGUUUCCUCCAGCCAAUGAUGAUUUUACACGUUGAAAAUCCCCAUUGGUCGGGGCUGUUAAUGGGUUAAAGGAUCCAAAACCCGACCCGAUAGCUUAACGGCGUUCCGUUACGGUGGAUGCCACAUGUCGGUCACCCUUGAUGAAAGCACUUCUGUGAUGCGCGAUUUAUCGUCAUGGGAGUGGACACUUCCGUGAUGAUAAUUUUGGUAAUGUCAUCGAACACUUCUAUGACAACACAGGUAUGACUAUCUUGAUCCUGUCAUAAAUUUGUCAUGGAUGUACAUGCAUGACAAAAAAUGCGACCUACUAUGACAAACACGUAUCAUCACGGAAGUGUAUUUUUUUGUAGUGGAUGCAGGCAGGAGUUGGUCUACUUGCAUCGAAUGUGAUGCCUAUAUGCAUGAUCAUUGCCAUGAAUCCAUCAUAAUUAUUUGCUUUUCUAUCAAUUGCCCAACAACAAUUUGUUUACCCACCGUAUGUUCUGCAAUCAAGAGAGAAGCAUCUAGUAAAAACUAUGGCCCCUUGGUGUACUUUUAUCAUAUAUAAAAACACAAAAAUACCUAGCUGCAAUUUAUUUACUUUUAUUUUAUUUUGUAUUUUACUUUAUCCAUCUAUCACUAUCAGAAUUAGUCAUUGCAAAUAACCGCUACGAGGAUUGACAAGCCUAUUAUUUGCGUUGGGUGCAAGUGUUUGGUUUUGUGUGUGCAGGUGCUGCUAACAAUGUUUUGUGUGGUUCACCUAAUGGAUUCAUAACCUUGAUUCUUAACUGAGUGAAAUACUUAUUUGUACUAUACUGCAUCAUCCUCUCCUCCUUGGGAAUUAACAACAUAGUCUACAAGUAGCACUCUCCGUUGAAAUGUUAAAUUGUAAUUAGUCCUUACUCCCGAAUUAAUAGUACUUCAAUUUGAAACAAGUUUCGGACAUGUUAAUUAUGUUAUGUUCAUAAUACUACAGUUCAUAUAUAAGUAAACGUCGCAUAACAUUGAGAUUGUAGUUAGGGAUGGAAAUCAAAAUAUGGCAUGAAUGUAACAAUUGCUAGCAAUGUGCUUCAGAAAAGAACUUAUUUGACUUUUAUUCCCAUGUUUGGACUAGUACAGGUCGGGGUUACACAUGAUGGUGCACAUCACUUUCUUUAUCACCGUUACAUUAUGCUCCAUUGACUAACAACGAUGAUUCACCCGUCUAGUAUUACAUCUAUUCAUUUCAUAGGCCACUGAUACUUAUAACGUCGCUCCCAGAUGGUUGUUGUUGUGGAUAUUGUUGGUAUGGGGAAGGUUCUUGUGAUUGCUGGGGUGGGUAUGGUAUUGGAAAUUGUUUUUGGGGGGAUUGUUGUGGUGGUUGCAGGGGGAAUUGUUGUUGGGGGAAUUGUUGUUGUUCAGGGGAUUGUUGUNNNNNNNNNNNNNNNNNNNNNNNNNNNNNNNNNNNNNNNNNNNNNNNNNNNNNNNNNNNNNNNNNNNNNNNNNNNNNNNNNNNNNNNNNNNNNNNNNNNNNNNNNNNNNNNNNNNNNNNNNNNNNNNNNNNNNNNNNNNNNNNNNNNNNNNNNNNNNNNNNNNNNNNNNNNNNNNNNNNNNNNNNNNNNNNNNNNNNNNNNNNNNNNNNNNNNNNNNNNNNNNNNNNNNNNNNNNNNNNNNNNNNNNNNNNNNNNNNNNNNNNNNNNNNNNNNNNNNNNNNNNNNNNNNNNNNNNNNNNNNNNNNNNNNNNNNNNNNNNNNNNNNNNNNNNNNNNNNNNNNNNNNNNNNNNNNNNNNNNNNNNNNNNNNNNNNNNNNNNNNNNNNNNNNNNNNNNNNNNNNNNNNNNNNNNNNNNNNNNNNNNNNNNNNNNNNNNNNNNNNNNNNNNNNNNNNNNNNNNNNNNNNNNNNNNNNNNNNNNNNNNNNNNNNNNNNNNNNNNNNNNNNNNNNNNNNNNNNNNNNNNNNNNNNNNNNNNNNNNNNNNNNNNNNNNNNNNNNNNNNNNNNNNNNNNNNNNNNNNNNNNNNNNNNNNNNNNNNNNNNNNNNNNNNNNNNNNNNNNNNNNNNNNNNNNNNNNNNNNNNNNNNNNNNNNNNNNNNNNNNNNNNNNNNNNNNNNNNNNNNNNNNNNNNNNNNNNNNNNNNNNNNNNNNNNNNNNNNNNNNNNNNNNNNNNNNNNNNNNNNNNNNNNNNNNNNNNNNNNNNNNNNNNNNNGGGGAGUUGUUCUGGUUGCUGGGGGAUUUGAUGUUGUUGGGGGAUUUGUUGUUGGGAGAAUUGUUGUGGUUGGGGGACUUGUUGUUGUUGGGGGAAUUGUUCUUGUGGAGUAUUGCACUACUAGGAAAAGGGCUACUAGUGGCGCACCAGAUUUGCCUACUAGUGGCGCAUCACUUGUGCGCCAUUAGUAUCACGCCACUAGAAUUUUUUUCUAAUGGCGCACCACUGGUGCGCCAUUAGUAUCUGGUAUACUAAUGGCGCACCAGGCAGUGCGCCAUUAGUUUUGCCCAUGGUGCGCCACUAGUGUCUGCUAUACUAAUGGCGCACCACACUGUAAUGCGCCAUUAGUAACAAUUUUUUUAAUUUUUUUUUCUUAAUCUCAGGUCACUAUUUCACCUAUGAGAUAUCCAACACAUAUAUAUAUACAACAAGCAUCCAUAUAUAAAUACAUAGCCAACACACAAGUUCCAUCAUAUAUACAUACAUAGCCAACACACAAGUUCCAUCGUUACAUAUUACAAAAGUUUCACAUUGUUCAUCCAACACCGUUAUCCAUCAAUUCACAAAAGUUUCACAUUGAUACAAAAUAAAAACACAAAUGGAAAAGAAGCACUCCAUCCAUGCAAGCUUCCGUGAAUUAAAUCAAAUAUGCAAAAUGAUAAACAAGAAGUUAGAAGAAGAAAAAGAAGAAGACUAGAAGAAUACUAGAAGAAGAAGAACACUAGAAGAAGAAUAAGAAGAAUUUUGGAAAAGAAAUAAGAAGAAGACUAUAAGCUUAUUAUGUAAACUUGAUCAUUUUGUGCUAACAUAAGUUAUUUUGGAGCUAACCUAUAGGAAACUAAGCAUAUAAGCUCUAAGUUAGUAUAUUAGAGCCAACUUAGGUAAAAUGAAGCUAACCUAUGUCAUUUUGGAAAAGAAGAAGAAUAAGAAAAAGACAAUAAGCUUAUUAUGUAAACUUGAUCAUUUUGUGCUAACAUAAGUUAUUUUGGAGCUAACCUAUAGGAAACUAAGCAUAUAAGCUCUAAGUUAGCAUAUUAGAGCCAAUUUAGGUAAAAUGAAGCUAACCUAUAGGAAACUAAGCAUAUUAGAGAUAACAUAGGUAACUAAGUAUAUAUAUAUAUAUCAUUUUGGAGAUCUGACAUGCCUGACAAAGUUCAGUUCUCAUGCAUUGUUCUUCUCCUUCUCCUUCCUCAGUCUGAUGUGCCAAGAGCGGCAAGGCGGUGGAGGCGGUGGAGGCAGUGGGAUGUAGUCUUCUACCUCAAUUGGCGUGGUCAUGUUGCCCAGCUGUGGGAUCGCCGGCGCCACCACCGGUGCGUGGUCAUUGUCAGGCACCACCACCAUCGCGAGGCCACCUUCAGGCAUGACCAUCACUAGGUCAUCCUCAGCCACCUCCAUCUCUUGCCCAUGGUCAGCCAGCACCAUCUCUUGCCCAUGGUCAGCCACCACCAUCUCUUGCCCAUGUUCAGCCACCACCAUCUCUUGUCCUUGGUCAGCCACCACCAGCGCUAGGUCAUCCUCAGCCUGAUGCCCAUCGUCAUCCUGCAGCUCCUCAUCCCCACUCUGCUCCUCUUCUCCCGCACUCCAGUCCGGAUCAUCCUUCUUGUUGUCUAUGCUGCUGCCAGAAUCGUUGCUGCUUUCGCUACAACCAGAAUCGCUGCUGCUUUCGCUACAGCCAUGGUCGCUGCUGCUUUCGCUAUAGCCAUGGUCGCUACUGCUUUAUCUGUAGCCAUUGUCGCUGCUGCUGCUCCCAUUACCUGUCCAAAUGCAACAAUGACCGUUAACAAUCGAUGUGAGACAAAGCCAAAUGUAGAGGAAUAAGAAGAGGCGGAACCUACCGGCAUCAUAAUCUUCAGCGUAGCGCAUGCGACACAUAGUCGUGUUGAACACCUUCACGAUGAGCAUGGUGGCGUCGUCGUCGUAACUGAAGAGAAGGAAGUACCCUAGCCGCAGGUCGUAGGCACGGUAGAACUUCUCCCACCCACGAGACAAGUACAUGUGGCCCUUCUUGAUCACCAACUCCGCAUCCCACAGCCUGUGAAACCCGCUGCCGGCCUGUCGCACCUUCACAUUAUUUGGCGGAUCUUCACCCAUCAGCAUGUUCUUAAAACUGUCAGGCAGCCUCUGUAGUUUGGGACAAUAAGUGAUGUAGGCAAACAACAGAUAUCAUAAUGAGAUGGGUGAAGCUAGGGGAGAUCUCUCAUUUUAUAUACCUGCGUCAUGGAUGAUACUGAAGUCCCAAGUAUGAUAGUGAAGAACUCGGAAGCAUCCAACUCGUACUGCGGUGUCGCAGAGCGGCGGUGGCUGCUUCCCGCCAUCUCUAAUAAUUAAGCAGCAGAAGAGACCAAUUAGUACCCUUACAACCGAACAAGGCAAGGCAAGGUAUUAAGACAGAUGUGAACACAUGAGAUAAAAUCUAGAGACGUGAACACAUGAGAACUACUCGUCAUCAUCACCAAUAUUGUGACCAGUGUGAUCUUCAUCAUCACUACCAUAUUGCAUUGUAGUUUCAUCGUGGUCAUCCUCCAAUAAUUCAAACUGAUUGUAUGAUAAGAUAGCAGAGAGAUACAUUCCAAACUGUGAAUGUGGUAUGGCAAUGGACUUGUAAUCAUAUCGUUGUUCAUAGCUAAAAUAACACCUUGUAUAAGACGAAAUCAUGAUCUGGCAAACAUAUAGAUUUACCAGCAAACUUGUGUGCCUAACUAUCUAUAUCUAGGAAAUCAAAGUUAUUUCAACUUUGAUGUUUGGAAUAUACCUAGAGAAACAUGAUUUAUUUAUUUUACUUCACACUCACAACUAAACAGCUUGAGCAAAAAGGACUCGAUAAAAGGUAUCACUAUGCAUAAUUAUUUGUAGCUACAAACAAUACAUGUAAUGAGCUAGAAAAGCCACCUUACCAUCAUUAACAGUACUCAUAAGUCAUAACCCACUUUCCAAAUUUAAUUGGGAACCCUUUCAUAACCAUCACCUUUUCUAAAAAUCCUAGCAGGACAAAGUUGACUACCUUGAAGAGACGUACUAUGUAUUAUUACCGAGGUAGAGUGUGAGGUAUGCCUUUCAAGUUUGUGUCCGUCGUAGUUGAGGUGACCAACUGUUUUUGUUUACUAGCAUAUGUGUGCACGCCUGACGACUUUGCUGGUUAGUGUCUGGUGUGCAAGCUUAAUAUACGGGCGUGCACGUGCAUGCAUAUGCGAUAUGCCGUGCCGGUUUUCAAAAUAAUUCAGUGCCACCGGCCAGAUUUGAACAGCCAAAAAGUAGUGCGGGUGGAGGCGCUGCCAGGUAUGCACAAAUAAACAAAGCAAAAGCAUACUGGACGGUAAUAAAUUUCUCUUAGGUUUUGCAAGUGGCCAACAGAGAUAAAAAUUCAACGACAACAGGGCGGCCCUGACGUGUAACAGGGCACCUCAGCCAGUAACUUAUCAGUUCAUCACACAAAAGAAUUGCACAAAGUGGUGCAACUUGCAAUCAUAUACCAUCGCGGGGUCGAAAGCAACAACAUAGAUUAUCAGAUGAGAUUAUCAGGAACAAAAGUGAAGUGGCACACCAAGAAUACCAAGAAAGCACCAGCAUUCUCAGGUGACAUCAUAACGACCGCAAGUGAAUUGACAUUGCAAGUUUGCAACAAACACACCAGCACUAUCCAGUGAGAUUUAUAUGAGCCCAUAUGGCAUAGCAACUGCAGCUUCAGAAACUACGGUUCGCCAGGUUAACCAUCUGCGAAUAUGCAAGGAGCAGAUGACGAAUAAUAAAUUUGCGCAAUGUCCAAACGCUGGAAAGAGGAAACGAAACCCCUGGACCAUUAGCCAUCAAGAAAACAAGGCAAUUCAUUUACGAAUGACUUCAGUAUCUUGUUAAAGCAGUUUAAAGGAACAUUGACCAAACAUAUAGGCCUAUAUCUUUGGAUCAUCGUUCCAAUAGGCAACAAAGUAAUAAUGCCAUAGUUAAGUCUUCCUACGUCCAACUUUCCAUUAAAAUAAAUCAUGAAACAGAGGCAUCAAAUCAUAGUUAAUGUUCCAUCCUUUCAACUUUUUUCUCACUACUCUAACUCUAUUUUGCCACUUUUUUCUCAUAGUUAUCCAACUUUCCAAAAUUUUCUUCUAUUUUCUAUAAAAACUUUCAUAGUUGUAUCAAAAUGAAAUGCAUUCCAAACUUUGCUGGCCACCUCACUUAGAUGCUCUCUAAGAAACUANNNNNNNNNNNNNNNNNNNNNNNNNNNNNNNNNNNNNNNNNNNNNNNNNNNNNNNNNNNNNNNNNNNNNNNNNNNNNNNNNNNNNNNNNNNNNNNNNNNNNNNNNNNNNNNNNNNNNNNNNNNNNNNNNNNNNNNNNNNNNNNNNNNNNNNNNNNNNNNNNNNNNNNNNNNNNNNNNNNNNNNNNNNNNNNNNNNNNNNNNNNNNNNNNNNNNNNNNNNNNNNNNNNNNNNNNNNNNNNNNNNNNNNNNNNNNNNNNNNNNNNNNNNNNNNNNNNNNNNNNNNNNNNNNNNNNNNNNNNNNNNNNNNNNNNNNNNNNNNNNNNNNNNNNNNNNNNNNNNNNNNNNNNNNNNNNNNNNNNNNNNNNNNNNNNNNNNNNNNNNNNNNNNNNNNNNNNNNNNNNNNNNNNNNNNNNNNNNNNNNNNNNNNNNNNNNNNNNNNNNNNNNNNNNNNNNNNNNNNNNNNNNNNNNNNNNNNNNNNNNNNNNNNNNNNNNNNNNNNNNNNNNNNNNNNNNNNNNNNNNNNNNNNNNNNNNNNNNNNNNNNNNNNNNNNNNNNNNNNNNNNNNNNNNNNNNNNNNNNNNNNNNNNNNNNNNGGGAAGAAGUGGGCGCGGGGGCGGGGGUCGGGGCGGUGGCGCCAGGGGACGGAGGGGGCGUGGGGGCGCGGGGGCGCGGCGGCGGCGUAUGGUUGGGGCGGAGGGGGCGUACUGAGUGGGGAGGAAGGGAGGGAGAGGGAAUAAGUUUUUUGCCAAAAAGUAAAAAAUAAAUAAAUUUACUGACGCACUCUGUCUCUAGUGCGCCAUUAGUAGUUCUAACUACUAAUGGCGCACUUUGCCCGGAUGCGCCAUUAGAAUGUUUGAAAAAAUGAAAAAAAAUUGUUUUACUAGUGGCGCACCUUCUGCCUGGUGCGCCAUUAGUGUAUUCCACACUAAUGGCGUAUCUCCACCAGGUGCGCCAUUAGUAUAUAGUAGUGGCGCACCACUUCUCUGGUGCGCCAUUAGUGUCAGUCCUAUCUUUAGCCCUUUUCCUAGUACUGUUGAAUUCCUUGCCUCUAGGGCUUAACUGCCUACUGGCACUGGCGAUGUUCAUCGCCAUGGCAAGGAGGACAAAUAUGAUGAAGGUCUUCAUGUUUGAUUUGUGUUUACUAUUGCUCACUUGGCUUUGAUGUUUCAGCUCUAGGUGCUUGAAGGUUAGAUGAUGGAAGAGACCCUCAUGGUGUAGUCAUAUUUAUAGCUGGCAUCGCACAUUUUUUUUGAUCUUCACACUCAUUUCUUGAAAAAGUGCUCUUAAGCUUAUCGACCUAAUAAUUAGGUAUGUUGUGUUUGAUGGCACUACUUACUAGGGUGACUUUGGAUUGUUCAUCAUAGUUGAUUCUUCUUUCUCAUAUCAUCUGGGUGUAUCAAAUGCUUGAUAACGAAUAAUGAAUCAUCGUAUUCACUUUACACUUCAAAUAUCGAUCUAGAUUUUGUCCGUCUUUCUGAUUUAGCUUGUGCUGUUCUGCAUGUUGUUGUUGGAAAUAUGCCCUAGAGGCAAUAAUAAAAUGGCUAUUAUUGUAUUUCCUUGUUCAUGAUAAUUGUCUAUUAUUCAUGCUAUAAUUGUAUUGACCGGAAACCGCAAUACAUGUGUGAAUACAUAGACCACAACAUGUCCCUAGUGAGACUCUAGUUGACUAGCUCGUUGAUCAACAGAUGGUCAUGGUUUCCUCACCAUGGACAUUGGAUGUCAUUGAUAACGGGAUCACAUCAUUAGGAGAAUGAUGUGAUGGACAAGACCCAAUCCUAAGCCUCGCACAAGAUCGUGUAGUUCGUAUGCUAAAGUUUUUCUAAAUGUCAAGUGUCUUUUCCUUAGACCAUGAGAUUAUGCAACUCCCGGAUACCAUAGGAAUGCUUUCGCUGUACCAAACGUCACAACGUAACUGGGUGGCUAUAAAGGUGCACUACGGGUAUCUCCGAAAGUGUCUGUUGGGUUGGCACGAAUCGAGACUGGGAUUUGUCACUCUGUGUGACGGAGAGGUAUCUCUGGGCCCACUCGGUAGGACAUCAUCAUAAUGUGCACAAUGUGAUCAAGGAGUUGAUCACGGGAUGAUGUGUUACGGAACGAGUAAAGAGACUUGCCGGUAACGAGAUUGCACAAGGUAUCGGCAUACCGACGAUCGAAUCUCGGGCAAGUACUAUACCGGUAUACAAAGGGAAUUGUAUACGGGAAUGAUUGAAUCCUUGACAUCAUGGUUCAUCUGAUGUGAUCAUCGUGGAACAUGUGGGAGCCAACAUGGGUAUCCAGAUCCCGCUGUUGGUUAUUGGCCGGAGAGUUGUCUCGGUCAUGUCUGCAUGGUUCCCGAACCCGUAGGGUCUACACAGUUAAGGUUCGAUGACGCUAGGGUUAUAGGGAAGGUAUGUAUGCGGUUACCGAAUGUUGUUCGGAGUCCCAGAUGAUAUCCCGGACAUCACGAGGAGUCCCAGAAUGGUCCGGAGGUGAAGAUUGAUAUAUUGGACGAAGGGUUUUGGAGUCCGGAAGUGUUCCGGAGGUACCGGGUGAUGACCAGCAUGACCGAAAGGUGUUUCGGGAGCCCCGGCAAGUGUUGGGGGGGAUUCAUGGGCCAAGGGGAGGGGGCAAACCAGCCCACUAAGGGGCUGUGCGCCCCCCCCCCCUCACCUAUUCCCACGUGACCGGGUGGUUUGGGGCGCCCCAUCUAGGGUUCCCACCUCCUGGCUUGGGGGCCAAGUCACCCAAAGGGGAGAUCCCAUCUGCCCUGGCCCCCCCCUAGGGAAACCCUAGGGCGCCUCCCCCUCUCCCUUCCCCCUAUAUAUAAUGGAGAUUUUGGGGCUGCCCAACACAUGAGUCUAUCUCUCCCAAGGUGCAGCCCUACCUCUCUCCCUCCUCGUCUCUCGUAGUGCUUGGUGAAGCCCUGCUGGAGUACCGCGCUCCUCCACCACCACCACGCCGUCGUGCUACUGCUGGACGGAGUCUUCCCCAACCUCUCCCUCUCUCCUUGCUGGAUCAAGGCAUGGGAGACGUCACCGGGUUGCACGUGUGUUGAGCGUGGAGGCGCCGUUGUUCGACACUUAGAUCGGAAUCGACCGCGAUCUGAAUCGCCACGAGUACGACUACCUCAUCCGCGUUCUUGUAACGCUUCGGCUUAGCGAUCUACAAGGGUAUAUAGAUGCACUCCCCUCUCUCUUUUGUUGCUAGAAUCUCCAUAGAUUGAUCUUGGUGAUGCGUAGAUAAUUUUGAAUUUCUGCUACGUUCCCCAACAGUGGCAUCAUGAGCAAGGUCUAUUGCGUAGAUUCUAUGCACGAGUAGAACACAAGUUGUUGUGGCGUUGAUUUUGUUCAAUAUGCUUACUGUUACUAGUCCUAUCUUGUUUCGACUGUAUUUUGGGAUGAAGCAGCCCGGACCGACCUUACAUGUACACUUACGUGAGACAGGUUCCACCGAAUGACAUGCACUUGUUGCAUAAGGUGGCUAGCGGGUGCCAGUCUCUCCCACUUUAGUCGGAUCGGAUUCAAUGAAAAGGGUCCUUAUGAAGGGUAAAUAGCAAUUGGCAUAUCACGUUGUGGCUUCUACGUAGGUAAGAAAUGUUCUUGCUAGAAACCCAUAGCAGCCACGUAAAACAUGCAAACAACAAUUAGAGGGCGUCUAACUUGUUUUAGCAGGGUAUGCUAUGUGAUGUGAUAUGGCCAAAAGAAUGUGAUCAAUGAUAUGUGAUGUAUGAGAUUGAUCAUGUUCUUGUAAUAGGAAUCACGACUUGCAUGUCGAUGAGUAUGACAACCGGCAGGAGCCAUAGGAGUUGUCUUUAUUUAUUGUAUGACCUGCGUGUCACUGAAUAACGCCAUGUAAUUACUUUACUUCAUUGCUAAACCGUUAGCCAUAGUAGUAGAAGUAAUAGUUGGCGAGACAACUUCAUGGAGACACGAUGAUGGAGAUCAUGAUGAUGGAGAUCAUGGUGUCAUGCCGGUGACGAUGAUGAUCAUGGAGCCCCGAAGAUGGAGAUCAGAAGGUGAAAAAUGAUAUUGGCCAUAUCAUGUCACCUUUUGAUUGCAUAUGAUGUUUAUCAUGUUUAUGCAUCUUAUUUUCUUAGAGCGAUGGUAGUAAAUUAGAUGAUCCCUCAUAAUAAUUUCAAGAAAGUGUUCCCCCUAACUAUGCACCGUUGCGAAAGUUCGUUGUUUCAAAGCACCACGUGAUGAUUGGUUGUGAUAGAUUCUAACGUUCAGAUACAACGGGUGUAAGCCAGAUUUACACACGCGAAACACUUAGGUUGACUUGCUGAGCCUAGCAUGUACAGACAUGGCCUCGGAACACAAGAGACUCAAAGGUCGAACAUGAGUCUUAUAGUGGAUACGAUCAACAUGAAGAUGUUCACCGAUGAUGACUAGUCUGUCUCCCGUGAUGAUCAGACACGGCCUAGUUGACUCAGAUCAUGUAUCACUUAGAUGACUAGAGGGAUGUCUAUCUGAGUGGGAGUUCAUAAGAUGAACUUAAUUAUGCUGAACAUAGUCAAAAGGUUUUUGAAAAUUAUGCCGUAGCUCGCGCUUUAAUUCUGUUGUUUUAGAUAUGUUCCUCGAGAAAAUUUAGUUGAAAAUUGAUAGUAGCAAUUAUGAGGACUCGGUCUGUAAACUGAGGAUUGUCCUCAUUGCUGCGUAGAAGGCUUAUGUCCUUAAUGCAUCACUCGGUGUGCUGAACCUCGAACGUCGUUUGUGGAUGUUGCGAACAUCUGACAUACACGUUUUGAUGGCUACGUGAUAGUUUAGUGGGUAAUGUUAAAUGGUUUAGAAUUGAGGCACCGAAGACAUUUUUGAAAUGUCGCAGAACAUAUGAGAUGUUCCAAGAGCUGAAAUUGGGAUUUCAGGCUCGUGCCCACGUCAAGAGGUAUAAGACCUCCGACGAGCUUCUUAGCCUACAAACUAAGGGAGAAAAGCUCAAUCGUUGAGCUUGUACUCAGAUUUUCUGGGUACAACAAUCACUUGAAUCGAGUGGGACUUAAUCUUCCAGAUGAGAUAGUGAUGUUUCUCCAAAGACAUUGCCACCAAGCUACUAGAGCUUCGUGAUGAACUAUAACAUAACGGGGAUAGAUAUGAUGAUCCUUGAGCUAUUCGCGAUGUUCGACACCGCGAAAGUAGAAAUCAAGUAGGAGCAUCAAUUGCUGAUGGUUAGUAAAACCACUAGUUUCAAGAAGGGCAAGGGCAAGAAGGGAUACUUCAUGAAACAGCAAAACAGUUGCUGCUCUAGUGAAAGACCCAAGGUUGAACCCAAACCCGAGACUAAGUGCUUCUGUAAUGAGAGGAACGGACACUAAAGCAGAACCACCCUAGAUACUUGGUAGAUAAGAAGGCAGGCAAGGUCGACGGAAGUAUAUUGGAUAUACAUCAUAUUAUUGUGUACUCUACUAGUACUCCUAGUAGCACCAUGAUAAUAGAUACCGGUUCAGUUGCUAAGUGCUAGUAACUCGAAAUAAAAGGCUACGGAAUAAACGGAGACUAGCUAAAGGUGAGAUAACGAUGUGUGUUGGAAGUGUUUCCAAGGUUGAUGUGAUCAAACAUCGCACGCUCUCUCUACCAUCGGGAUCGGUGUUAAACCUACAUAAUUGUUAUUUGGUGUUUGCGUUGAGCAUAGACAUGAUUGGAUUAUGUCUAUCGCAAUAAGGUUAUUCAUUUCAGGAGAAUAAUGGUUAAUCUAUUUAUUUGAAUAAUACCUUCAAUGGUCUUGCACCUAAAAUGAAUGGUUUAUUGAAUCUCGAUCGUAGUGAUACACAUGUUCAUGCCAAAAGAUAUAAGAUAGUAAUGAUAGUACCACCUAAUUGCGGCACUGCCAUGUAAGUCAUAUUGGUAUAAAACGCAUGAAGAAGCUCCAUGUUGAUGGAUCUUUGGACUCACUCGUUUCCGAAAACUUUGAGACAUGUGAACCAUGUCUAUUGGUAUGUGCGCAUGAAGAAACUCCAUGCAGAUGGAUCAUUUGGACUCACUUGAUUCUAAAUCACUUGAGACAUGCAAAUCAUACCACAUGGGCAAGAUGACUGAAAAGCCUUGUUUUCAGUAAGAUGGAACAACAGAGCAACUUGUUGGAAGUAAUACAUUUUGAUGUGUGAUGUCCAAUGAAUGCCGAGGCACGCAGUGGAUAUCGUUAUGUUCUUACUUCACAGAUGUUUUGAGUAGAUGCUAAGUAUAUUUACUUGAUGAAACACAAGUCUGAAUUAUUGAAAGGUUCAAGUAAUUUCAGAGUGAAGUUGAAGAUCGUCGUGACAAGUGGAUAAAAUGUCUAUGAUAUGAUCAUAGAGAUGAAUAUCUGAGUUGCGAGUUUGGUACACAAUUAAGACAUUGUGGAAAUUGUUUCACAACUAACACCGCCUGGAACACCAUAGUGUGAUGGUGUGUCCGAACAUCAUAACUGCACCCUAUUUGAUAUGGUGCAUGCCAUGAUGUCUCUUAUCGAAUUACCACUAUCGUUUAUGGGUCAAGCAUUAGAGACAACCACAUUCACUUUAAAUAGGGCACCACGUAAUUCCGUUGAGACGACAUCGUAUGAACUAUGGUUUAGAGAAACCUAAGCUGUCAUUUCUUAAAAGUUUGGGGCUGCGACGCUUAUGUGAAAAGGUUUCAGCCAGAUAAGCUCGAACCCAAAGCGGAUAAAUACAUCUUCAUAGGACACCCCAAAACAGUUGGGUAUAACUCCUAUUUCAGAUCCGGAAGCAAAAGUGAUUGUUUCUAGAAACGGGUCCUUUCUCGAGGAAAAGUUUCUCUCGAAAGAAUUGAGUGGGAGGAUGGUGGAGACUUGAUGAGGUUAUUGAACCGUCACUUCAACUAGUGUGUAGCAGGGCACGGGAAGUUGUUCCUGUGGCGCCUACACCAAUUGAAGUGGAAGCUGAUGAUAUUGAUCAUGAAACUUCGGAUCAAGUCACUACCAAAACUCAUAGGUUGACAAGGAUACAUACUACUUCGGAGUGGUACGUAAUCCUGUCUUGGAGGUCAUGUUGCUAGACAAAAAUGAACCUAUGAGCUAUGAAAGAAGCGAUGGUGGGCCCGGAUUCCGAUGAAUGGCUCGAGGCCAUAAAAUCCGAGAGAAGAUCCAUGUAUGAAAACAAAGUAUAGACUUUGUAAGAACUACUUGAUGGUCGUAAGGCUGUUGGGUACAGAUGGAUUUUAAAAGAAAGACGGACAAUGAUGGUAAGUAUCACCAUUAAGAAAGCUCGACUUGUCUUUAAGAUGUUUUCCGACAAGUUCAAGGAGUUGACUGCAAUGAGACUUUCUCAUUUGUAGCGAUGGUAAGAGUCUGUUGGAACUAUAUUAGCAAUUACUGCAUGAUUUAUGAAAUCUUGCAGAUAGGGUGUCAAAACAGUGUUUCCUCGACAAUAUUCUUGAGGAAAGGUUGUAUGUGAUACAACCAGAAGGUUUUGUCAAUCCUGAAAGAUGCUAACAAGUGUGCAAAGCUCCAGCAAUCCUUCUAGGGACUGGAGUAAGCAUCUCGGAGUUGGAAUAUACACUUUGAUGAGAUGAUCAAAGAUUUUGGGUUUAUACAAAGUUUAUGAGAAACUUGUAUUUCCAAAGAAGUGAGUGGGAGCACUAUAGCAUUUCUGAUGAGUAUAUGUUGUUGACAUAUUGUUGAUCGGAAAUGAUGUAGAAUUUCUGGAAAGCAUAUAGGGUUAUUUGAAAAGUGUUUUUCAAUGGAAAACCUAGAUUAAGCUACUUGAACAUUGAGCAUCAAGAUCUAUAAUGAUAGAUCAAAACGCUUAAUAGUACUUUCAAAUGAAUACAUACAGUGACAAGAUUUUGAAGGAGUUCAAAAUAGAUCAGCAAAGAAGGAGUUCUUGGCUGUGUUAUAUGGUGUGAGUAUUGAGUAAGACUCAAGACAUGACCAUGGCAGAAGAGAGAGAAAGGACGAAGGUCGUCCCCUAUGCUUCAGACGUAGGCUCUAUAGUAUGCUAUGCUGUGUACCGCACCGGAAGUGUGCCUUGCCAUGAGUCAGUCAACGGGUACAAGAGUGAUCCAGGAAUGGAUCACAGGACAGUGGUCAAACUUAUCCUUAGUAACUAGUGGACUAAGGAAUUUUCUUGAUUAUGGAGGUGGUAAAAGAGUUCAUCGUAAAGGGUUACGCCGAUGCAAACUUUGACACUAAUCCAUAUUAUUCUGAGUAGUACACCGGAUUCGUAUAGUAGAACAGUUAUUUGGAAUAGCUCCAAAUAGAGCGUGGUAGCUGCAUCUAGGAGAUGACAUAGAGAUUUGCAAAGCACACAUGGAUCUGAAAGGUUCAGAUCCGUUGACUAAUAACCUCUCUCACAAGCGAGAUAUGAUCAAACCCCAUGGGUGUCGAUGCAUUACAAUCACAUAGUGAUGUGAACUAGAUUAUUGACUCUAGUGCAAGUUGGAGACUGUUGGAAAUAUGCCCUAGAGGCAAUAAUAAAAUGGUUAUUAUUGUAUUUCCUUGUUCAUGAUAAUUGUCUAUUAUUCAUGCUAUAAUUGUAUUGACCGGAAACCGCAAUACAUGUGUGAAUACAUAGACCACAACAUGUCCCUAGUGAGCCUCUAGUUGACUAGCUUGUUGAUCAACAGAUGGUCAUGGUUUCCUGACCAUGGACAUUGGAUGUCAUUGAUAACGGGAUCACAUCAUUAGGAUAAUGAUGUGAUGGACAAGACCCAAUCCUAAGCCUAGCACAAGAUCGUGUAGUUCGUAUGCUAAAGCUUUUCUAAAUGUCAAGUAUCUUUUCCUUAGACCAUGAGAUUGUGCAACUCCCGGAUACCGUAGGAAUGCUUUGGGUGUACCAAACGUCACAACGUAACUGGGUGGCUAUAAAGGUGCACGACGGGUAUCUCCGAAAGUGUCUGUUGGGUUGGCACGAAUUGAGACUGGGAUUUGUCACUCCGAGUGACGGAGAGGUAUCUUUGGGCCCACUCGGUAGGACAUCAUCAUAUUGUGCACAAUGUGAUCAAGGAGUUGAUCAUGGGAUGAUGUGUUACGAAACGAGUAAAGAGACUUGCCGGUAACGAGAUUGCACAAGGUAUCGGCAUACCGACGAUCGAAUCUCGGGCAAGUACUAUACCGGUAUACAAAGGGAAUUGUAUACGGGAAUGAUUGAAUCCUUGACAUCAUGGUUCAUCUGAUGUGAUCAUCGUGGAACAUGUGGGAGCCAACAUGGGUAUCCAGAUCCCGAUGUUGGUUAUUGGCCGGAGAGUUGUCUCGGUCAUGUCUGCAUGGUUCCCGAACCCGUAGGGUCUACACAGUUAAGGUUCGAUGACGCUAGGGUUAUAGGGAAGGUAUGUAUGCGGUUACCGAAUGUUGUUCGGAGUCCCAGAUGAGAUCCCGGACGUCACGAGGUGUCCCGAAAUGGUACGGAGGUGAAGAUUGAUAUAUUGGACGAAGGGUUUUGGAGUCCGGAAGUGUUCCGGAGGUACCGGGUGAUGACCAGCAUGACCGAAAAGUGUUUCGGGAGCCCCGACAAGUGUUGGGGGGGCUUCAUGGGCCAAGGGGAGGGGGCAAACCAGCCCACUAAGGGGCUGUGCGCCCCCCUCACCUAUUCCCACGUGACCAGGGGGUUUGGGGCGCCCCAUCUAGGGUUCCCACCUCCUGGCUUGGGGGCCAAGUCACCCAAAGGGGAGAUCCCAUCUGCCCUGGCCGCCGCCCCACUAGGGAAACCCUAGGGCGCCUCCCCCUCUCCCUUCCCCCUAUAUAUAGUGGAGGUUUUGGGGCUGCCCAACACAUGAGUCUAUCUCUCCCAAGGCGCAGCCCUACCUCUCUACCUCCUCGUCUCUCGUAGUGCUUGGUGAAGCCCUGCUGGAGUACCGCGGUCCUCCACCACCACCACGCCAUCGUGCUGCUGCUGGAUGCAGUAUUCCCCAACCUCUCCCUCUCUCCUUGCUGGAUCAAGGCAUGGGAGACGUCACCAGGCUACACGUGUGUUGAACGCGGAGGCGCCGUUGUUCGGCGCUUAGAUCGGAAUCGACCGCGAUCUGAAUCGCCACGAGUAUGAUUACUUAAUCCGCGCUCUUGUAACGCUUUCGCUUAGAGAUCUACAAGGGUAUGUAGAUGCACUCCCCUCUCUCUCUUGUUGUUAGGUAUAUCCAGAUUGGCAUAACUUAAGGGAACUAAGUUUGUAAUCUUCACACUCACUUCUUGAAAAAGUGCGCUUAAGCUUAUCGAUUACCUAAUAAUUUGGUGUGUUGUGUUUCAUGGCACUACUUACUAGUGUGAUUUUGGAUUGUUCUUGCACAUAUCAUCUAGGUGUAUGGAAUGCUUGAUAAUGACAAAUGACUCAUCGUAUUCACUUUACACUUCAAACAUUGAUCUAGAUUUUGUCCCUUGCUCUGAGUUAGUUUGUCAUGUUCUACAUGUUGUUAGGCGUAUCCAGAUUGGCAUACUUGAGGGAACAAAGUUUUUAAUCUUGUGUGUGUCAUUGAGAUACAUCACACUAUUAAUGCGAAGAUUGUUCUAUACACAAUUUUUUCUGAACUAACUUUAUACUUUUUGCACAAUAUAUAUGUAAGAUGGAUAAGCAUACAUGACUCAUCGUAUUACCUUUUCAUAUGGAGCGGUUGUAUUGUCAUAUGAGUUACAAAUACAAAACAAAGUAUUAGGGCUUUGCGCGGCUUGAUUGAUUCACUCCACGUAGACAUGAACAUUUCUUUUGUAUUUCAUUCGUUAGUUAAUCUAAGUUUGUACAUAUUGUUUCAAGUUGUUCAUAUAGUUUCCAGGUUUCUUUUAUUGAAUUUAUUACCACCAGUAUAGGAAGCUAUUAGUACUAUGAUUGUUGAUACUAAUACAGAACAAAGAGGAAAGACAGAGCGAUAUAAAGUUGAUUUUGUCUGGUAAUUAUAUAAGUGUCUUUUUUUCUAUUUUCUUGUAAGCAAGGAACCUACAAAAAAGAAAUGAAAUUAGUUCUCCUUCUACACGAUACGUGAAUAAAUAAUUUAGGACAUAGCAUGCCUGACUGAAUGGGAACUGGCCUGUCGCCAUCAUGUAGCAAACACAAGCCAUAAUGCCGAUACACUUGGCUCAUGCAACAUGCACACGUGAAAAAAAGAAGAGCCUAUCAGUAUAUUUAUAUUUUUUUACUUCUCUUAUCCUUGGCCAUAUUAUUCAUACAUAUGGUUGCAUCAAAUUAAUUGACUUGUCAAUGCCAUGGACCAGCUAGCAUACUACUGUUUUUGUGUGUGUGGCUUUAGGUGUUGCAAAUCCUCUACAUAUGUUUUUUUCAUUCCUUUACCCUCUACCACUUAUUUUCAGAUUGAUGGAAAGCGAAGUUUCAGACAAGGAAACAAAACAUGAUUACAUCCUCCUCCAUGCAGCUUCGUGGUAAUUGAAACUCCUGUUAAUCGCACUGGAUGUCAUGCCAGAUUCGUGCAGAAUUUGCCGGAUCGAUUGACUAGGACUUGACCCUUGGAUUUUUAACCUUGUACGUCGUAAUUUUUGUUGUACAUGGAUUAGUAAAGGUAUAGUCGAUCCACCAUCAUCACUAUGAAUUAGUAUUACAGAUUCAGAACAGGUCUUUGUCAGAGAAGGAAGUAGGAGUAGCCAAUGAUACAGGAAAAAGCCAGAGAGACCUGCCUGCCUGGCUGUGAACAGUUCUUCUCCUUCUCCUUGCUAUUAAUGUUGUGUUGAAAUACCUAACUAGCUAGCUAGCAAAUCAUAGGUUGUCCUUCUCUAAAAGAACUGUAGAAAGUUCUUUGAAUCUAGUUAAUUAAACAAGUGAAAUUUUAAAAGAAAAGUUAUUUUGAAGUUGUUCGUUUGUUUGUUGUUGCUAUUGUUUUCGUUGUUCUCGAAACAGGCUUUCACACUUCUUUAUAAAUAAAGCAAUAUCCAAAGAUAUACAUGGCCAAACUAUAAAAUAUGGUGAGGUAGCCCCUACAAAGCCGAUCUUGACAUAUCAGGCACACGCGCACACGACUACGCUACCAGCAACAAGCACCGAAAGAACUAAACAUCCUCACGCUACAAACUAGCACACCAAAGCUCCACGAGAAUGCCCCCAAGAGGGAGAAUGGCAUAGGGCGUCGCCGCUGCUAAGUCCAUACCGGACAAAGGUCUACACCUGGAGACCUCACACGGAGAGAAGAAGCACAAAAACGUCUUCAAGAAGAGCGCGACACCCAUGAGUGUCGUCGAUGGUGGUGCCCAGGCACGGAGCUUUCGCUUGGCAACUCACCCAUGCCACCAUGAGGUCCUCAAGAGUAGUGCCGCGAUGUUUAAUCGCAAGAUCUUGAUUAGGACGUUGCCCCUCCGAGAGAGAGGGCAUGUCUGAGCUACUAACCGCAACACCUACCGUUGCCCACACAACCCGGGAGGGGAGACACCACAACCGGAAUAAUGCCCGCCAAAGAGCAACCAUGCGGCCCGCCAUCAGGGGCCGCCAACCCAGUAUCCCUGACGCGAGAUACCAUACACCACUCACAUCACAAUGCAACCAACCACGGUAGGAAGAGCGACAACACUCCACUACUCCUAGCCUAGCCUCUGUCCUAAUGUUUGGUUAGGCGCCUCCACCAUAGGACGCACCCACACCUGCAUCCCCAGCCAAUGCUCUAUGGACUAGGGGGGCCACCAGCGAGCCAACCUCCAGCCCUUGGUCAGGCGAGCUCACAUGAUGCCAUGUCCGUGUUCUCCGACACUGGUCCGCUCAUGAAUGCAACACUAACACAACUAUCACCACCGAGCACCACCCAAGCUGUCUCGCUUCGCAAUGCACAAAUCAUGGCAGAUAAAGCCCGUCAUCAGUCACCUAGCCAGUGACUGCUACCGGCCAUUGUCGAGGACAGCUCAGACGCCAAGUCUGCGAACUGAGGCACUGGUCCGCCAGCCGACACAACGUAGCCCUGGCCACCACAUCCAUGAACCAUCACCGACGCUACAAUGUGUGGAGGUGCCUCCCCCAACCUAGCUUCAAGCAUCCACCUUGGCUUGACCGGCAGCGACCCAGAGCCGAGAAACCUUAGGCCAAGGCGACUAAGCACCGAAGCUCAUGUGAUGAGCAACCAACCCCGACAAGGACGACCAUUUCAAAAUCCAUGUCCGGUGGCUAGUCUGCGUCACCAGCCCGCUACCUACAUACGCACUCAGACAAGGCGGGAGCCGCCCCAUCAAGAGGGGGGGGGCGCUUAGAGUAGCUGGCAACUCCGGUCGCUGAGCAGCUGCACCAAUGCUAACCCCACCUCUCCAUUGACACCCACCGCCUAUAUCCACCGCCACCAGCCAAAACCAUGGCCACCACCCACCGCCUCUUGUCAUGCCUCCACGCCCGUGAGAGAGACCGUCGAAACCCACAAUCACUAGCUGCCGCGCUCAGAAGAGGGAGAACUGCCACCACCUCCUUGUGCCGCUUGUCACAACUUGGCAGCCAGAUCCACACUGCCAUAGCUAUCACAUGCCUGCCUACACAGUAGGAUUUGCUAGGCUUUACCAUGUCUGCACAAUUCUUUUUUCCUGUUUUCUCCAAGAUGUUGUUUUUAAAAUUUGCUUGCAGGUUUAAGGAAAGGAGAAGUUCACUAUCACCACCACCUCGUGCAAGGGGAUGUCAGCAUCAGUCAUCUUUACCAUCAUCCACCUCCAUCCCAUUGUAAUACCAAACCCAUGUGGAUCCAUACAUGUAUUAUCGGUGUGUUUCAUCCAAUGUUUACCACCACUAUUUCCACUAUUCGCACGAUAUUUGUCGUCUCCAUGUGUGAUUUGUUUCCUCAGUUCUCAGGGAUAUGGACGAACCAUGGUAUGUAUAGGAGCUGAAAUGUUAAUUAGGGUAUGAGAUUCUCUACUGAAUGUUUGUUUUAAAAGCAUUCAUGAAUUUUGUGAAGGGGCCCCACUCACCAUUUCCAUCGCAAGGCCACGAGGCAUAUCAUCGAGGUUGUAAAGGUUAGGAUGUUCAGGUAACUUGAGGUGAGAGUAAAAGACUCUCUACCUCGCCUUUGCAACUGCUAGGGGAAUAAUAGAGAUCCCUCAAUAAGGCAGCUUCCACAGGGAAACCCUUAAUUACCGUAGUGAGAACUAGAGUGGGGAAGCUAAAGUGAUGGCCUGCGUGGUAUGGAGUACACCUUGAGUAGAACUUAUUUUGUACCCGGAUACGCCCAAUGACAAAUAUUAAGAGUGACUCAAGUAUCUAGCUUAGAAUUACAAAGUGGCAUAUGAUACCUUAGGCACACUUCAAUGGGAAUUAUGGUGUCCCUGAGAACGCCUCAAUCCUCCACUGUUUCACAUCUUUAUUCAUUCUGCUAUGCUCUUUUAGUUCUUUUGGGUUAUUUACUUUUGUUCGCACUAAACUUAGAAGUCAAUAUAAUCUUCGCCAUUCACUUGCUUUGUGUCGAAAACUAAGAUGCAGCCACAUUACAAUAAGUGUCUCUUAGGUACAAAGUCCAAUUCAUGUAUUCCCUAUGGGAUUUAUACUCAUACUUAAAUAGGUGAAAAAUAAACCAUGUGGACUUGCAGAUCAUCAAGCUUUUUCUGGCCCUAGGAGCGGAGUGCUUUUGGGCCUGUAUUGUGUUUUGUUUUAUUUCAUGUUUAUGGGUGAUAAUGUCUGCCUCCACAACUUGUUGUUUGACUCGGCAAUGGUGGACUCCCGGUGUAGGUGUGUAUCGAGUGGAGGGCUGAGGAAGCCCAUUAUGAUUUCAGUUGAUUGUAAGCAAAUUAUGAUUUUUGACUCAAGUUGAGGGGGUCAUUUUCCUUCAAAUUUAGAACCUUGUUUGAUGGGUCAUGAUUUGUGAGAGGAUACUUUUUGUCCCGCUAAGAUUGUUAUUGGAUAUAAUUGGUACUUAAACUCAUUUUGUGAAUGGAACAUCAAAGGCGAAAAGUGCAUAAGUUAUCAAUUAUUCUCACUAUAAAUGAACAAUGAAAUCUGGCAUGGAGUUCGUGGAAAGCAUAAACACCUAGUUUGAUGUAGAUCCAUGUCAGAUAAGAUGGUUACAAACUCAUGGGGCUCUCCACUGAAGUGUUAUAUAGCAAUUACUCCUUACUCCCUAACUAAUAGUACUUCAAUUUGGACCAAGUUUCACACACGUUAAGUAUGUUAUGUUCAUAAUACUACACUUCAAAAAUAAGUAGAUAGCGCAUAACAUUGAGAUUGUAGCUAGGGAUGAAAAUCGAAAUAUGGCAUGAAUGUAACAAUUGCCAGCAAUAUGCUUUAGAAAAGAACUUAUUUGCCUUUUAUUCCCAUGUUUGAACUAGUAUAGUUCGGGGUUACACAUGAUGGUCACAUCACUUUAUUUAUCAUUGUUACAUUAAAUACUCCAUUGACUUACAACGAUGAUUCCCCCGUCUAGUAUUACAUCUCUUCAUUUCAUCGUCCAGUGAUACUUAUAACAUCGCUCCCAGUUGGUUGUUGGUGUGGGGAAGGUUUUUAUGAUUGCUGGGGGAAUGGUUGCUGUUGUGGGUAUGGUAUGGGAAAUUGUUGUUCGGGGAAUUGUUUUUUGUUUUGCUAGGGAAAUUGUUGUUGUUGUGGCAAUUGUUGUUGCGGUAAUUAUAUGCUCUUCCAUGAUCUAGAAAAUAAAAGACCUCACUCUUACCGUCUCUGCAUGUUUGUCAUCAAACAUCCGUAAACUCAUUAAAAUUAAUGAAAUGGUUCAACUUUUGGAGUACAGUUCUUGUCGCCUUGAAGAGAAUUUGACGGGUUGUGUCACUCUAUCAAUUCCACUUCGUCUUAUCACUUCAGAAAACACAACAAAGUUGAUUCCAGAAAAAAUAAACUCCAUGUGUAAAGCUUUACUAAUUAUCUUGUACAAAGUUCACAUACUUAGCUCUACACAAACUGUAGAAAGUUCCAACCCUCUGCCGCAAAAAAGAAUGAAACCUUGAUAAGGAUUUGACAUGGAAAGUGAAAAAGGUGAGUCAGUUUUUUCUCAAAAUAAAAUACCAAGCACCAUGCUUUCGUGACAACCAUACGAUCUUUUGCACAACUAGCCAAAAAAAUUUUGAUGAUCAAUCCUAUAUUAAACUUGUGGCUAGUGCAACCUGACAGAAUAUACAAAAUGAUCCAUUUCAUAAGCAUGCAUGCAAAAAAAUUGGAAAAUGAAUGAAAAAAUUAAUCGCUAGCUGGAAUUUCAUUCAAUCAUCCCAUCCAAGCUGGUACAACCACACUGACUGCAAUCCGACAUCUACAUAACAAGAUGUCCACAACCCAACACGUCCAAAACAAAAAGAUAAAAAAAUGCAAAGACGGCAAGAGGUUAUGCCAUAAAUGGACUUCUGCCGCAAAGAUCAUCACAAGUACAAAACAUAAAUAGAAACAGCAAAGACAAGUAGGAGCAGUCAAGAGCAAUUCACCAUAAAGACACAUCCCCAACCUUUCCCUCACCACCAUUGCAUCGGCCAGCGCCAAUGAACAGCUCGAGGGCAGCAGGAUCAAUGCUAGUGAAAGCGUUUCACCGACAUCAUUUUGCUGAGGAAGUCCAUGCAAUGAAUCGACAUGAAAGAAAGUGUUUAGUUAGUUCAAAUACAGAUAUCCUGAGAGCAGCCUAAUGAAUGAGAAAUCCUAUUUCGGUCAUUCAUCAACAAAAUCCAUGUCAACGCACUUGGAUGGAUCAUGCAUUUAGGAACAAAAGUCCAAGGGGGCGACCUAUAUAUACAGUUUAUUUGCAUGGUAACUCUGGUUUAGCACUAUCUUUUUUCCUUAUCCUUGUCCAUUUUAUCCCUGCAGAAUAGAGCCAAAUGAGGAAGCAAAGGGAAGUGUUUGAUUAGUUCUCCAUGAAAUGAGAAUAAAUGAAUUUCGUACAAAGUAUGGCUGAACUACGAAAUCCAUAGAUUGGCCUAACUGAAUCGGGAAACUUGUCUCCAUCAUGCAGCCGACAAAAGCCAUACUGCUGAUACACUUGGCCCAUGCAACAUGCAUGCAUGAUUAUAAGGAGAACAUCCAUUAUUCUAUAAUUUAAAUGAGUAACAGUCUCGCAGUAAACAAGAUCCAGAUAUAGUGUUCAUGCUCGACGCAUGCACUAAAUAACAAUUAUUCAGGUUCAUCACUAAUCCCGAUGGUAAUCGAAAAGCGAGCGUGCCGACGGUGAUCACAUCAACCUUGGAACCAUUUCCCACACGCAUCAUCACUUCGUUCGUCACCAGCCUCCGUCUAUUUCGUAGUUCCUGCUUUGGGUUGCAAAUGUGAGCAACCAAACAGGUGUCAAAUACCGAGGCACUACAACAAGAGUUGGUAAGGAACACAUCAAUAAUAUAUAUAUAUAUCAUAUAUAUCUUGUUUGGCGUUGGCCCCUUCUUGUCGGCCAGGCUUGGGGAAAUUCCGCUUUCAGUGGCCAAUCUCGUUGCAAUAGAAGCACUCAUUUUCUGGCUUGGGCGCAGCCUUGGGUUUCUUCACGGGAUAGGAAACUACUUUGCCACUCUUCUUGGAGUUACCAUUCUUGCCCUAGCCAUUCUUCUUGAAACUAGUGGUUUUAUUGACCAUCAACACGUGAUACUCUUUCUGGAUGUCUAACUCAGCGACUUUCAGCAUCGCAAACAGCUCGGAGACUGACUUGUUCAUCCCUUGCAUGUUAUAGUUUAGCACAAAGCUCUUGUAGCUAGGUGGUACUGAUUGAAGAACUUUGUCAGUGAUCGCUUCUGAUGGGAGCACAACUCCCAACUUAGCCAGACGGUUGUAAGACCCAGACAUUCUAAGUAUGUGUUCACUGACAUACCCGUUCUCGUCCAUCUUGUAAGCAAAGAACUUAUCGGAGGUCUCAUACCUCUUGAUCCGGUCAUUCCUUUCAAAAAUGAACAUCAACUCCUCGAACAUCUCAUAUGCUCCAUGGCGUUCAAGAUGUCUUUGAAGUCCCAGUUCUAAGCCAUGCAACAUAGCACACUAAACUACUGAGUAGUGAUCCACAUGCGCUUGCCAGGUGUUCAUAACAUCCAUAGAUGCCGGAGGGGGUUGCACACCAAGCGAUGCAUGAAGGACAUAAGCCUUUUGUGCAGCCGUGAGGAUAAUUCUUAGAGUACAGGCCAAGUCUACAAAGUUACUUCCAUCAUCAUUCAGCUUGGCUUUCUCUAGGAACGCAUUGAAAUUCAGGGAAGCUAUUGUGCGAGCCAUUGAUCUACAACAUAAAUUUGCAAAGUCAACUUAGACUAUUGUUCAUGAUAAAUGAGUUCAAAUAAUCAUAUUACUUAAAACUCCCACUCAAAUUUACAUCCCUGCGGUCAUCCGUGUGUAACAUGAUGAAAAUUCACCAACCCAAGUCUGAUCAUAAUGUGAGAUGAAGUGGUUUCAAUGGUGAAGAUCUCCAUGUUGAUCAUAUCUACUAUAUGGCUCAUGUUCGACCUUUCUGUAUGUUGUGUUCCGAGGCCAUGUCUGUAGAUGCUAGGCUCGUCAAGUUUAACCCGAGUGUUUCACAUGUGCAAAAAUGGCUUGCACCCGUUGUAUGUGAAUGUAAAGUCUAUCACACCCGAUCAUAACGUGGUGCUUAGAAAUGACAAACUUCCGCAAUGGUUCACACUCAGGGAGAACACAAUUUUGUUUUGAAAUUUUAGUGAGGGAUAACUUAUAAUGCUACCAUCAUCCUAAGAAAAAUAAGAUGCAGAAAAGGAUUAACAUCACAUGCAAAUCAUAUGUGACAUGAUAUGACCACCAACUUGUGCUUUUGAUCUCCAUCUCCAAAGCAUCGGCAUGAUCUCCAUCGUCACCGGCAUCACACCAUGAUUUCCAUCAUCAUGAUCUCCAUCAUCGUGUUGCCAUCAAGGUUGUCACGCCAACCAUGCUUCUACUACUAUUGCUAUUGUUUAGUGAUAAAAUAAAGCAUUACAUAGCGCUUAAUGAUUGACACGCAGGUCAUACAAUAAUUCAAGACAACCCUAUGGCUCCUUCCGGUUGUCGUAUUCAUCGACAUGCAAGUCAACACAAACUAUUACAAACAUGAUCAUCUCAUACAUCAAAUAUAUUUCAACAUGUCUUUGGCCAUAUCACAUCACAACAUACCCUGCAAAAACAAGUUAGACGUCGUCUAAUUUGUUGUUGCAUAUUUUACAUGGCUGCUAUGUGUAUCCAACAAGAAUGGUUCUUACCUAUGCAAAACCACAACUGUGAUAUGGAAGUUUCUAUUUAACCUUCUACAAGGAAUGCCUUCAUCGAAUUCGAUUCAACUAAGGUGCAAGAGACAGACACCAGCCAACCAUCUUAUGCAAUAAAGUCACAUCUCUAUUGAAUGAACCGGUCUCAUGUACGUGGACAUGUAAAGUUGGUCCAGGCCGCUUCAUCCCACAAUUCCGCUAAAUCAAGAAAAGACCAAGGAAGGAAGCAAUUUGAAUAUCAAUUCUGAUAAACUCCUUUGUGUUCUACUCAUGAUGUCAUCUGCGCAUAGCCCUAGCUCUGGUACCACUGUUGUUGGAAGUUGCAUGGGAAAGAAAAAAGAUCCUACACUCACCAAGAUCAAUCUAGGAGAUGAACAUCUAUGAGAGGAGAGACUGCAUCUACAUACCGUUGUAGAUCACUAAGAGGAGGCGCUAAGAAAUAUGGUUGAUGUAGUCAAACGUCUUCGCGAUCCAAUCAUGAUACGUCCCACAAACUCCCGAUCUAGUGCCAAAAGGACGGCACCUAUGCAUUCAACACGCGCACGGCUUGAUGAUGCCUUCACCUCCUUGAUCCAGCAAGAAAUGGAGAAGUAGUAGUUCAAGACCUCCAACAACACGAUAUCAUGGCGGCGGUGGUGGUGGAGGAAUUUCAGCAGAGCUGCGCUAAGCACUACGCAGAAGGAGAAGGACUACGAGGGAGAGGAAAGGCAGCGACACAACACAGAUGUGUCUGUCUGCCCUCCUUCUACCCCUAUAUAUAUAGGGGGAAGGGAGGAGGUGGGGAUGCCCUAUGGGUUCCCUUAGGGGGCGGCGGCCACCAUAGAUGAGGGCGCCCCUAGGGAAACCCUAGGGUGGCUUUCCCCCCAAGCUAGGUGGAGGCAGCCCUAGGGGGUUGCCCCAACCCUUCUGUCAUGGUGGGAUUGAGUGUGGGGGGCGCACAACCCCUUAGUGGGCCGGUGUGCUCCCUCCCCUUGUCCCAUGAAGCGCCCAACACUUACCUGGCCCCCCAGAAACCCCUUUUCGUACUCCGUCGAUUCCCGCGGUACCCCUGGAACAAUUCCGGACUCCUAUACCCUUCGUCCUAUAUAUCAAUCUUCACCUCCAGACCAUUCUGGAGUUCCUCGUCAUGUCGGGGAUCUCAUCCGGGAAUCCGAACAACCUUCGGUAACCACCAUAUGACCCAACUAUACUUAUAUCGUCAACAAACGUUAAGUGUGUAGACCUUGCGGGUUCGAGAACUAUGCACACAUGACCGAUACACCUCUACGGUCAAUGACCAAUAGCAUGACCUGGAUGCCCAUGUUGGUUCCUACAUAUUCUACGAAUAUCUUUAUCAGUCGAACCUCGAUGUCAAGGUUUCAGGCAAUCCCGUAUGAAGUUCCCUUUUUCCAUUGGUAUGUUACUUGCCUGAGAUUUGAUCAUUGGUAUCUCCAUACCUAGUGCAAUCUCGUUACCGGCAAGUCUCUCUAUUUCGUAAUACAAGAUCCCGUGGCUGACUUCUUAGUCACAUUGAUUGCAAGCUUAUUGUGAUGUUGUAUUACCGAGUGGGCCCUGAGAUACCUCUCCAUCAUACGGAGUGACAAAUCCCAGUCUCGAUCCAUGCCAACUCAAUAGACACCCUUGGAGACACCUGUAGAGCAUCUUUAUAGUCACCCAGUUACGUUGUGAUGUUUGAUACACACAAGGCACUCCUCCGGUGUCAGUGACUUGCAUGAUCUCAUGGUCAUAGGAACAUAUAAUUGACAUGUAGAAAACGAUAGCAAUAAACUUGACAAGAUCAUAUGCGACAUUCAUAGUUUGGGUCUUGUAAAUCACAUCAUUCUCCUAAUGAUGUGAUCACGUUAUCAAAUGACAACUCAUGUCCAUGACCCGGAAACCAUGGCCAUCUUUGAUCAACGAGCUAGUCUGGUAGAGGCUCACUAUGGACACGUUGUUUGUCUAUGUACCCACACAGGUAUUUUAAUUUCCAAUCAAUACAAUUAUAGCAUGGAUAAUAAACGAUUAUCAUGAACAAGGAAACAAAAUAAUGACCAUUUUAUUAUUGCCUCCAGGGCGUAUUUCCAACACUUCCGAUGAUUUUGUGAGUAGUUUACGACAGCCCUUCGGGUCUAUAGCUAGAAUCUAGAUGGCUUCUUCUCUCUCUUUGAUCUUCAAUCCAAAGUUCUUCUCAAUGUUCUUGGAGUUCUAUCCAAUGUAAUCUCCUUUUGCGGUGUGUUUGCUGGGACCUGAUAAAUUAUGAGUUUAUGAUCAGAUGAUUCAUGAGAAUAUUUGAUUCUUCUUUGGACUCUUUUAUGUGUGAUUAUUUUAGCUUUGUAUUUCUCUCCAAUCUAUCGAUUUGGUUUGGCCAACUAGAUUGGUUUAUCUUGCAGUGGGAGAGGUGCUUUGUGAUGGGUUCAAUCCUGUGUUGCUCAAUCCUAGUGACAGAAACAGACAUGGCACAUAUUUGUAUUGUUGACAUUAAGGAUAAAAAUAUGGGGGUUAAUCAUAUUGCUUGAAUUUACUUUGUCUACAUCAUGUCAUCUUGCUUAAGGCGUAACUCUAUUUUAUACCUAAAACUCUAGAUGCAUGCUGGAUAGCGGUCGAUGGGUGAAGAAUAGAUGCAGGCAGGAGUCGGUCUACUUGCAUCGAAUGUGAUGCCUAUAUACAUGAUCAUUGCCAUGAAUCCUUCAUAAUUAUUUGCUUUUCUAUCAAUUGCCCAACAGCAAUUUGUUUACCCACCGUAUGUUCUACGAUCAAGAGAGAAGCAUCUAGUAAAAACUAUGGCCCCUGGGUGUACUUUUAUCAUAUAUAAAAAAAACACAAAAAUACCUAGCUGCAAUUUAUUUACUUUUAUUUUAUUUUGUAUUUUACUUUAUCCAUCUAUCACUACCAGAAUUAAUCAUUGCAAAUAACGUCUACGAGGAUUGACAAGCCUCUUAUUUGCGUUAGGUGUCAGUGUUUGCUUUUGUGUGUGCAGGUGCUGUUAACAAGGUUUUGUGUGGUUCACCUACUGGAUUGAUAACCUUGAUUCUUAACUUAGUGAAAUACUUAUUUGUACUAUACUUCAUCAUCCUCUCCUCCUUGGGGAAUUAACAACACAGUCUACAAGUAGCACUCUCCAUUGAAAUGUUAAAUUGUAAUUAGUACUUACUCCCGAAUUAAUAGUACUUCAAUUUGAAACAAGUUUCGUACAUGUUAAUUAUGUUAUGUUCAUAUAAUACUACACUUCCUAAAUAAGUAGACGUCACAUAACAUUGAGAUUGUAGUUAGGGAUGGAAAUCAAAAUAGGGCAUGAAUGUAACAAUUGCGAGCAAUGUGCUUCAGAAAAGAACUUAUUUGUCUUUUAUUCCCAUGUUUGGACUAGUACAGGUCGGGGUUACACAUGAUGGUGCACAUCACUUUAUUUAUCAUCGUUACAUUAUGCUCCAUUGACUAACAACGAUGAUUCACCCGUCUAGUAUUACAUCUCUUCAUUUCAUAGGCCACUGAUACUUAUAACGUCGCUCCCAGAUGGUUGUUGUUGUGGAUAUUGUUGAUAUGGGGAAGGUUCUUGUGAUUGCUGGGGUGGGUAUGGUAUUGGAAAUUGUUGUUGGGGGAAUUGUUGUGGUGGUUGCUGGGGGAAUUGUUGUUGGGGGAAUUGUUGUUGUUCAGGGUAUUGUUGUGGCNNNNNNNNNNNNNNNNNNNNNNNNNNNNNNNNNNNNNNNNNNNNNNNNNNNNNNNNNNNNNNNNNNNNNNNNNNNNNNNNNNNNNNNNNNNNNNNNNNNNNNNNNNNNNNNNNNNNNNNNNNNNNNNNNNNNNNNNNNNNNNNNNNNNNNNNNNNNNNNNNNNNNNNNNNNNNNNNNNNNNNNNNNNNNNNNNNNNNNNNNNNNNNNNNNNNNNNNNNNNNNNNNNNNNNNNNNNNNNNNNNNNNNNNNNNNNNNNNNNNNNNNNNNNNNNNNNNNNNNNNNNNNNNNNNNNNNNNNNNNNNNNNNNNNNNNNNNNNNNNNNNNNNNNNNNNNNNNNNNNNNNNNNNNNNNNNNNNNNNNNNNNNNNNNNNNNNNNNNNNNNNNNNNNNNNNNNNNNNNNNNNNNNNNNNNNNNNNNNNNNNNNNNNNNNNNNNNNNNNNNNNNNNNNNNNNNNNNNNNNNNNNNNNNNNNNNNNNNNNNNNNNNNNNNNNNNNNNNNNNNNNNNNNNNNNNNNNNNNNNNNNNNNNNNNNNNNNNNNNNNNNNNNNNNNNNNNNNNNNNNNNNNNNNNNNNNNNNNNNNNNNNNNNNNNNNNNNNNNNNNNNNNNNNNNNNNNNNNNNNNNNNNNNNNNNNNNNNNNNNNNNNNNNNNNNNNNNNNNNNNNNNNNNNNNNNNNNNNNNNNNNNNNNNNNNNNNNNNNNNNNNNNNNNNNNNNNNNNNNNNNNNNNNNNNNNNNNNNNNNNNNNNNNNNNNNNNNNNNNNNNNNNNNNNNNNNNNNNNNNNNNNNNNNNNNNNNNNNNNNNNNNNNNNNNNNNNNNNNNNNNNNNNNNNNNNNNNNNNNNNNNNNNNNNNNNNNNNNNNNNNNNNNNNNNNNNNNNNNNNNNNNNNNNNNNNNNNNNNNNNNNNNNNNNNNNNNNNNNNNNNNNNNNNNNNNNNNNNNNNNNNNNNNNNNNNNNNNNNNNNNNNNNNNNNNNNNNNNNNNNNNNNNNNNNNNNNNNNNNNNNNNNNNNNNNNNNNNNNNNNNNNNNNNNNNNNNNNNNNNNNNNNNNNNNNNNNNNNNNNNNNNNNNNNNNNNNNNNNNNNNNNNNNNNNNNNNNNNNNNNNNNNNNNNNNNNNNNNNNNNNNNNNNNNNNNNNNNNNNNNNNNNNNNNNNNNNNNNNNNNNNNNNNNNNNNNNNNNNNNNNNNNNNNNNNNNNNNNNNNNNNNNNNNNNNNNNNNNNNNNNNNNNNNNNNNNNNNNNNNNNNNNNNNNNNNNNNNNNNNNNNNNAUUUGUUGUUGGGGGAAUUGUUGUGGUUGGGGGAAUUGUUGUUGUUGGGGGAAUUGUUCUUGUGGAGUAUGCAAUUCCUUGCCUCUAGGGCUUAGCAGCCUACUGGCACUGGCGAUGUUCAUCGCCAUGGCAAGGAGGACAAAUAUGAUGAAGGUCUUCAUGUUUGAUUUGUGUUUACUAUUGCUCACUUGGCUUUGGUGUUUCAACUCUAGGUCCUUGAAGGUUAGAUGAUGGAAGAGACCCUCAUGGUGUAGUCGUAUUUAUAGCUGGCAUCGCACAUUUGUUUUUGAUCUUCACACUCGUUUCUUGAAAAAGUGCUCUUAAGCUUAUCGACCUAAUAAUUUUGUAUGUUGUGUUUGAUGGCACUACUUACUAGCGUGACUUUGGAUUGUUCAUCAUAGUUGAUUGUUCUUUCUCAUAUCAUCUGGGUGUAUCAAAUGCUUGAUAACGCAUAAUGACUCAUCGUAUUCACUUUAUACUUCAAAUAUUGAUCUAGAUUUUGUCCGUCUUUCUGAUUUAGCUUGUGCUGUUCUGCAUGUUGUUAGGUAUAUCCAGAUUGGCAUAACUUAAGGGAACUAAGUUUGUAAUCUUCACACUCGCUUCUUGAAAAAGUGCUCUUAAGCUUAUCGAUUACCUAAUAAUUUGGUAUGUUGUGUUUCAUGGCACUACUUACUAGUGUGAUUUUGGAUUGUUCUUCAUAGUUGAUUGUUCUUGCACAUAUCAUCUAGGUGUAUGGAAUGCUUGAUAACGACAAAUGACUCAUCGUAUUCACUUUACACUUCAAACAUUGAUCUAGAUUUUGCCCCUUGCUCCGAGUUAGUUUGUCAUGUUCUAUAUGUUGUUAGGCGUAUCCAGAUUGGCAUACUUAAGGGAACAAAGUUUGUAAUCUUGUGUGUGUCAUUGAGAUAGAUCACACUAUUAAUGCGAAGAUUGUUCUAUACACAAUUUUUUCUGAACUAACUUUAUAUUUUUUGUACAAUAUAUAUGUAAGAUGGAUAAGCGUAGAUGACUCAUCGUAUUACCUUUUCAUAUGGAGCGGUUGUAUUGUCAUAUGAGUUACUAAUAGAAAACAAAGUAUUAGGGCUUUGCGUGGCUUGAUUGAUUCACUCCACGUAGACAUGAACAUUUCUUUUGUAUUUCAUUCGUUGGUUAAUCUAAGUUUGUACAUAUUGUUUCAAGUUGUUCAUAUAGUUUCUAGGUUUCUUUUAUUGAAUUUAUUACCACCAGUAUAGGAAGCUAUUAGUACUAUGAUUGUUGAUACUGAUAUAGAACAAAGAGGAAAGAUAGAGCAAUAUACAGUUGAUUUUGUCUGGUAAUUAUAUAAGUGUAUUUUUUUCUAUUUUCUUGUAAGGAAGGAACCUACAAAAAAGAAAUGAAAUAAGUUCUCCUUCUACACGAUAUGUGAAUAAAUGAAUUUAGGACAUAUCAUGCCUGACUGAAUGGGAACUGGCCUAUCGCCGUCAUGUAGCAAACACAAGCCAUAAUGCCGAUACACUUGGCUCAUGCAACAUGCACACGUGAACAAAAGAAGAGCCUAUCAGUAUAUUUAUAUUUUUUACUUCUCUUAUCCUUGGCCAUAUUAUUCAUACAUAUGGUUGCAUCGAAUCAAUUGACUUGUCAAUGCCAUGGACCAGCUAGCAUACUAAUGUUUAUGUGUGUGUGGCUUUAGCUGUUGCAAAACCUCUACAUAUGUUUUUUUCAUUCCUUUACCCUCUACCACUUAUUUUCAGAUUGAUGGAAAGUGAAGUUUCAGACAAGGAAACAAAACACGAUUACAUCCUCCUCCAUGCAGCUUCGUGGAGGCUAAUUAUAAUUGAAACUCCUGUUAAUCGCACUGGAUGUCAUGCCAGAUUCGUGUAGAAUUUGCCGGAUCGAUUGACUAGGGUUUGACCCUUGGAUUUUUAACCUUGUACGUCGUAAUUUUUGUUGUACAUGGAUUAGUAAAGGUCUAUAGUCGAUCCACCAUCAUCACUAUGAAUCAGUAUUACAGAUUCAGAACAGGUCUUUGUCAGAGAAGGAAGUAGGAGUAGCCACUGAUACAGGAAAAAGCCAGCGAGACCUGCCUGCCUGGCUGUGAACAGUUCAUCUCCUUCUCCUUGCUAUUAAUGUUGUGUUAAAAUACCUAACUAGCUAGCUAGCAAAUCAUAGGUUGUCCUUCUCUAAAAAAACUGUAGAAAGUUCUUUGAAUGUAGUUAAUUAAACAAGUGAAAUUUUAAAAGAAAAAUUAUUUUGAAGUUGUUGGUUUGUUUGUUGUUGCUAUUGUUUUCGUUGUUCUCGAAACAGGCUUUCACACUGCUUUAUAAAUAAAGCAAUAUCCAAAGAUGUACACGGCCGAACGAUACAAUAUGGUGAGGUAGCCCCUACAAAGCCGAUCUUGAGAUAUCACGCACACGCGCACACGACUACGCUACCAGCAACAAGCACCGAAAGAACUAAACAUCCUCACGCUACGAACUAGCACACCAAAGCUCCAGGAGAACGCCCCCAAGAGGGAGAAUGGCAUAGAGCAUCGCCGCUGCCAAGUCCAUACCGGACAAAGGUCUACACCUGGAGACCUGACACGGAGAGAAGAAGCACAACAACGUCUUCAAGAAGAGCGCGACACCCAUGAGUGUCGUCGGUGGCGGUGCCGAGGCAUGGAGCUUUCACUUGGCAACUCACCCGUGCCACCAUGAGGUCCUCAAGAGUAGCGCCGCGAUGUUCAAUCCCAUGAUCUUGAUUAGGACGCUGCCCCUCCGAAAGAGAAGGCACGUCUGAGCUUAUGACCGCAACACCUACCGUUGCCCACACAACCCGGGAGGGGAGCCACCACAACCGGAAUAAUGCCCGCCAAAGAGCAACCAUGUGGCCCGCCAUCAGGGGACGCCAACCCAGUAUCGCUGUCGCGAGAUACCAUACACCACUCACAUCACAAUGCGACCAACCAUGGUAGGAAGAGAGACAACACUCCAUCUACUCCUACCCUAGCCUAUGUCCCAAUGUUUGGUUAGGCGCCUCCACCAUAGGACGCACCCACACCUGCAUCCCCAGCCAAUGCUCCAUGGACUAGGGGGGCCACCGGCGAGCCAACCUCGAGCCCUUGGUCAGGCGAGCUCACACGACGCCAUGUCCGUGUUCUCUGACACUGAUCCGCUCAUGAAUGCAAUGCUAACACAACUAUCACCACCGAGCAGCACCCAAGCUGGCUCGCUUCGCAAUGCACAAAUCAUGGCAGGUAAAGCCCGGCAUCAGUCACCAGCCAGUGACUGCCGACGGCCAUUGUCGAGGCCAGCUCAGACGCCAAGUCUGUGAACUGAGGCACUGGUCCGCCAGCCGACACAAUGUAUGCCUGACCACCACAUCCAUGAACCAUCACCGACGCUACAACGUGUGGAGGUGCCUCCCCCAACCUAGCUUCAAGCAUCCACCUUGGCUUGACUGGCAGCGACCCAGAGCCGAGAAAUCCUACUCCAAGGCGACUACGCACCGAACCUCAUGUGAUGAGAAACCAACCCCGACAAGGACAACCAUAUCAAAAUCCAUGCCCGGUGGCUAGUCUGCGUCACCAGCCCGCUGCCUACAUACGCACCCAGACAAGGCGGGCGCCGCCCCAUCAAGAGGGGGGCCGCUUAGAGCAGCUGGCAACUCCGGUCGCUGAGCAGCUGCACCAAUGCUAACCCCACCUCUCCAUUGACACCCCCCGACUAGAUCCAUCGCCGCCAGCCAAAACCAUGGCCACCACCCAUCGCCUCUUGUCAUGCCUCCACGCCCGUGAGAGAGACUGCCGAAACCCACCAUCACCAGCUGUCGCGCUCAGAAGAGGGAGAACUGCCACCAUCGCCUUGUGCCGCUUGUCACAAGUUGGCAGCAGAUCCACACUGCCAUAGCUAUCACAUGCCUGCCUACACAGUAGGAUUUGCUAGGUUUUACCAUGUCUGCACAAUUCUUUUUUCCUAUUUUCUCCAAGAUGUUGUUUUUAAAAUUUUCUUGCAGGUUUAAGGAAAGGAGGAGUUCACUAUCACCACCACCUCGUGCAAGGAGAUGUCAGCAUCAGUCAUCUUUACCAUCAUCCACCUCCAUCCCAUUGUAAUACCAAACCCAUGUGGAUCCAUACAUGUAUUAUCCGUGUGUUUCAUCCAUGUUUACCACCACUAUUUCCACUGCAAAUUAUGAUUUUUGACUCAAGUUGAGGGGGUCAUUUUCCUUCAAAUUUAGAACCUUGUUUGAUGGGUCAUGAUUUGUGAGAGGAUACUUUUUGUCCCGCUAAGAUUGUUAUUGGAGAUAAUUGGUACUUAAACUCAUUUUGUGAAUGGAACAUCAAAGGCGAAAAGUGCAUAAGUAAUCAAUUAUUCUCACUAUAAAUGAACAAUGAAAUCUGGCAUGGAGUUCGUGGAAAACAUAAACACCUAGUUUGAUGUAGAUGCAUGUCAGAUAAGAUGGUUACAAACUCAUGGAGCUCUACAUUGAAGUGUUAUAUUGCAAUUACUCCUUACUCCCUAAUUAAUAGUACUUUAAUUCGGACCAAGUUUCACACACGUUUAGUAUGUUAUGUACAAAAUGAAUGAAACCUUGAUAAGGAUUUGACAUGGAAAGUGAAUAAGGUGAGUCAGUUUUUUCUCAAAAUAGAAUACCAAGCACCAUGCUUUCGUGACAACCAUACGAUCUUUUGCACAACUAGCCAAACAAAUUUUGAUGAUCAAUCCUAUAUUAAACCUGUGGCUAGUGCAACCUGACAGAAUAUACAAAAUGAUCCAUUUCAUAAGCAUGCAUGCAAAAAAAUUGGAAAAUGAAUGAAAAAAUUAAUCGCUAGCUGGAAUUUCAUUCAAUCAUCCCAUCCAAGCUGGUAGAACCACACUGACUGCAAUCCGACAUCUACAUAACAAGAUGUCCACAACCCAACACGUCCAAAACAAAAAGAUAAAAAAAUGCAAAGACGGCAAGAGGUUAUGCCAUAAAUGGACUUGUGCCGCAAAGAUCAUCACAAGUACAAAACACAAAUAGAAACAACAAAGACAAGUAGCAGCAGUCAAGAGCAAUUCACCACAAAGACACAUCCCCAUCCUUUCCCUCACCACCAUUGCAUUGGCUAGCGCCAAUGAACAGCUCGAGGGCAGCAGGAUCAAUGCUAGUGAAAGCAUUUCACCGACUUCAUUUUGCUGAGAAAGUCCAUGCAAUGAGUCGACAUGAAAGAAAGUGUUUAGUUAGUUCAAAUACAGAUAUCCUGAGAGCAGCCUUAUAAAUGAGAAAACCUGUGUCGGUCAUUCAUCACCAAAAUCCAUGUAAACGCACUUGGAUGGAUCGUGCAGUCAGGAACAAAAGUCCAAGGGGGCGACCUAUAUAUACAGUUUAUUUGCUUGGUAACUCUGGUUUAGCACUAUCUUUUUUCCUUAUCCUUGUCCAUUUUAUCCCUGCAGAAAAUAGCCAAAUGAGGAAGCAAAGGGAAGUGUUUGAUUAGUUCUCCAUGAAACGAGAAUAAAUGAAUUUCGGACAAAGUAUGGCUGAACUGCGAAAUCCAUAGAUUGGCCUAACUGAAUUGGGAAACUUGUCUCCAUCAUGCAGCUGACAAGAGCCAUACUGCUGAUACACUUGGCCCAUGCAACAUGCAUGCAUGAUUAUAAGGAGAACAUCCAUUAUUCUCUAAUUUAAAUGAGUAACAGUCUCGUAGUAAACAAGAUCCAGAUAUAAUGUUCAUGCUCGACGCAGGCACUAAAUAACAAUUAUUCAGGUCCAUCACUAAUCCCGAUGGUAAUCGAAGAGCGAGCGUGCCGACGGUGAUCACAUCAACCUUGGAACCAUUUCCCACACGCAUCAUCACUUCGUUUUUCACCAGCCUCCGUCUAUUUCGUAGUUCCUGCUUUGGGUUGCAAAUGUGAGCAACUGAACCGGUAUCAGAUACCCAGGCACUACAACAAGAGUUGGUAAGGAACACAUCUAUAACAUAUAUAUAUAUAUAUAUCAUAUAUAUCUUGUUUGGCGUUGGCCCCUUCUUGUCGGCCAGGCUUGGGGAAAUUCCGCUUCCAGUGGCCAGUCUCGUUGAAAUAGAAGCACUCAGUUUCCGGCUUGGGCCCAGCCUUGGGUUUCUUCACGGGAGAGGCAACUACUUUGCCACUCUUCUUGGAGUUACCAUUCUUGCCCUAGCCAUUCUUCUUGAAACUAGUGGUUUUAUUGACCAUCAACACUUGAUGCUCUUUCUGGAUGUCUAACUCAGUGACUUUCAGCAUCGCAAAUAGCUCGGAGACUGACUUGUUCAUCCCUUGCAUGUUAUAGUUUAGCAAAAAGCACUUGUAGCUAGGUGGUACUGAUUGAAGAACUUUGUCAGUGAUCGCUUCUGGUGGGAGCACAACUCCCAACUUAGCCAGACGGUUGUAAUACCCAGACAUUCUAAGUAUGUGUUCACUGACAUACCCGUUCUCGUCCAUCUUGUAAGCAAAGAACUUAUCGGAGGUCUCAUACCUCUCGAUCCGGGCAUUCCUUUCAAAAAUAAACAUCAACUCCUCGAACAUCUCAUAUGCUCCAUGGCAUUCAAGAUGUCUUUGAAGUCCCAGUUCUAAGCCAUGCAACAUAGCACACUAAACUAUUGAGUAGUGAUCCACAUGCGCUUGCUAGGUGUUCAUAACAUCCAUAGACGUCGGAGGGGGUUGCACACCAAGCGAUGCAUGAAGGACAUAAGCCUUUUGUGCAGCCAUGAGGAUAAUUCUCAGAGUACAGGCCCAGUCUACAAAGUUACUUCCAUCAUCUUUCAGCUUGGCUUUCUCUAGGAACGCAUUGAAAUUCAGGGAAGCUAUUGUGCGAGCCAUUGAUCUACAACAUAAAUUUGCAAAGUCAACUUAGACUAUUGUUCAUGAUAAAUGAGUUCAAAUAAUCAUAUUACUUAAAACUCCCACUCAAAUUGACAUCCCUCCGGUCAUCCGAGUAUAACAUGAUGAAAAUUCACCAACCCAAGUCCGAUCAUAAUGUGAGAUGAGGUGGUUUCAAUGGUGAACAUCUCCAUGUUGAUCAUAUCUACUAUAUGACUCAUGUUCGACCUUUCGGUCUGUUGUGUUCCGAGGCCGUAUCUGUACAUGCUAGGUUCGUCAAGUUUAACCCGAGUGUUUCGCAUGUGCAAAACUGGCUUGCACCCUUUGUAUGUGAAUGUAAAGUCUAUCACACCCGAUCAUAACGUGGUGCUUAGAAAUGACAAACUUCCGCAAUGGUGCACCCUCAGGGAGAACACAAUUUUGUCUUGAAAUUUUAGUGAGGGAUAACUUGUAAUGCUACCAUCGUCCUAAGAAAAAUAAGAUGCAUAAAAGGAUUAACAUCACAUGCAAAUCAUAAGUGACAUGAUAUGACCACCAACUUGUGCUUUUGAUCUCCAUCUCCAAAGCAUCGGCAUGAUCUCCAUCGUCACCGGCAUCACACCAUGAUUUCCAUCAUCAUGAUCUCCAUCAUCGUGUUGCCAUCGAGGUUGUCACGCCAACCAUGCUUCUAUUACUAUUGCUAUCGUUUAGUGAUAAAGUAAAGCAUUACAUAGCGCUUAAUGAUUGACACGCAGGUCAUACAAUAAUUUAAGACAACCCUAUGGCUCCUGCCGGUUGUCGUAUUCAUCGACAUGCAAGUCAACACAAACUAUUACAAACAUGAUCGUCUCAUACAUCAAAUAUAUUUCAACAUGCCUUUGGCCAUAUCCCAUCACAACAUACCCUGCAAAAACAAGUUAGACGUCGUCUAACUUGUUGUUGCAUGUUUUACAUGGCUGCUAUGUGUAUCCAACAAGAACGGUUCUUACCUAUGCAAAACAACAACUGUGAUAUGGAAGUUGCUAUUUAACCUUCUACAAGGACUGCCUUCAUCGAAUUCGAUUCAACUAAGGUGCGAGCGACAGACACCAGCCAACCAUCUUAUGCAACAAAGUCACAUGUCUAUCGAAUGAACCGGUCUCAUGUAUGUGGACAGGUAAAGUUGGUCUGGGCCGCUUCAUCCCACAAUUCUGCUAAAUCAAGAAAAGACCAAGGAAGGAAGCAAUCUGAAUAACAAUACCGAUAAACUCCUUUGUGUUCUACUCAUGAUGUCAUCUGCGCAUAGCCCUAGCUCUGGUACCACUGUUGUUGGAAGUUGCAUGGGAAAGAAAAAAAUUCCUACACUCACCAAGAUCAAUUUAGGAGAUGAACAUCUACGAGAGGAGAGAUUUACUCUACAUAAACUUGUAGAUCACUAAGAGGAAGCGCUAAGAAACAUGGUUGAUGUAGUCAAACAUCUUCGCGAUCCAAUCAUGAUACGUCUCGCAAACUCCUGAUCUAGUGCCAAACGGACGGCACCUAUGCGUUCAACACGCGCACGGCUAAUUGAUGCCUUCACCUCCUUGAUCCAACAAGAAAUGGAGAAGUAGUAUUUCAAGUCCUCCAACAACACGAUAUCGUGGCGGCGGUGGUGGUGGAGGAAUUUCAGCAGAGCUUUGCUAAGCACUACGCGGAAGGAGAAGGACUACGAGGGAGAAGACAGGCAGCGACACGACACAGAUGUGUCUGUCUGCCCUCCUUCUACCCCCAUAUAUAUAGGGGGAAGGGAGGAGGUGGGGAUGCCCUAUGGGUUCCCUUAGGAGGCGGCGGCCACCAUAGAUGGGGGCGCCCCUAGGGAAACCCUAGGGUGUCUUUCCCCCCAAGCUAGGUGGAGGCAGCCCUAGGGGAUUGCCCCAACCCUUCCGUCAUGGUGGGAUUGGGUGUGGGGGCGCACAACCCCUUAGUGGGCCGGUGUGCUCCCUCCCCUUGUCCCAUGAAGCGCCCAACACUUACCUGGCCCCCCAGAAACCCCUUUCUGUACUCCGUCGAUUCCCGCGGUACCCCUGGAACAAUUCCGGACUCCGAUACCCUUCGUCCUAUAUAUCAAUCUUCACCUCCAAACCAUUCUGGAGUUCCUCGUCAUGUCAGGGAUCUCAUUCGGGAAUCCGAACAAUCUUCGGUAACCACCAUAUGACCCAACUAUACUUAUAUCGUCAACAAACGUUAAGUGUGUAGACCCUGCGGGUUCGAGAACUAUGCACACAUGACCGAUACACCUCUACGGUCAAUGACCAAUAACAUGACCUGGAUGCCCAUGUUGGUUCCUACAUAUUCUACGAAGAUCUUUAUCAGUCGAACCUCGAUGUCAAGGUUUCAGGCAAUCCCGUAUGAAGUUCCCUUUUUCCAUUGGUAUGUUACUUGCCUGAGAUUCGAUCAUUGGUAUCUCCAUACCUAGUGCAAUCUCGUUACCGGCAAGUCUCUCUAUUUUGUAAUACAAGAUCCCGUGGCUAACUUCUUAGUCACAUUGAUUGCAAGCUUAUUGUGAUGUUGUAUUACCGAGUGGGCCCUGAGAUACCUCUCCAUCAUACGGAGUGACAAAUCCCAGUCUCGAUCCAUGCCAAUUCAAUAGACACCCUUGGAGACACCUGUAGAGCAUCUUUAUAGUCACCCAGUUACGUUGUGAUGUUUGAUACACACAAGGCACUCCUCCGGUGUUAGUGACUUGCAUGAUCUCAUGGUCAUAGGAACAUAUAAUUGACAUGCAGAAAACGAUAGCAAUAAACUUGACAAGAUCAUAUGCUACAUUCAUAGUUUGGGUCUUGUAAAUCACAUCAUUCUCCUAAUGAUGUGAUCACGUUAUCAAAUGACAACUCAUGUCCAUGACCCGGAAACCAUGGCCAUCUUUGAUCAACGAGCUAGUCUGGUAGAGGCUCACUAUGGACACGUUGUUUGUCUAUGUACCCACACAUGUAUUUUAAUUUCCAAUCAAUACAAUUAUAGCAUGGAUAAUAAACGAUUAUCAUGAACAAGGAAACAAAAUAAUGACCAUUUUAUUAUUGCCUCCAGGGCGUAUUUCCAACACUUCCGAUGAUUUUGUGAGUAGUUUACGAUAGCCCUUCGGGUCUAUAGCUAGAAUCUAGAUGGCUUCUUCUCUCUCUUUGAUCUUCAAUCCAAAGUUCUUCUCAAUGUUCUUGGAGUUCUAUCCAAUGUAAUCUCCUUUUGCGGUGUGUUUGCUGGGACCUGAUAAAUUAUGAGUUUAUGAUCAGAUGAUUCAUGAGAAUAUUUGAUUCUUCUUUGAACUCUUUUAUGUGUGAUUAUUUUAGCUUUGUAUUUCUCUCCAAUCUAUCGAUUUGGUUUGGCCAACUAGAUUGGUUUAUCUUGCAGUGGGAGAGGUGCUUUGUGAUGGGUUCAAUCCUGUGUUGCUCAAUCCUAGUGACAGAAACAGACAUGGCACAUAUUUGUAUUGUUGACAUUAAGGAUAAAAAUAUGGGGGUUAAUCAUAUUGCUUGAAUUUACUUUGUCUACAUCAUGUCAUCUUGCUUAAGGCGUAACUCUAUUUUAUACCUAAAACUCUAGAUGCAUGCUGGAUAGCAGUCGAUGGGUGAAGUAUAGUAAUAGAUGCAGGCAGGAGUCGGUCUACUUGCAUCGAAUGUGAUGCCUAUAUACAUGAUCAUUGCCAUGAAUCCUUCAUAAUUAUUUGCUUUUCUAUCAAUUGCCCAACAGCAAUUUGUUUACCCACCGUAUGUUCUACGAUCAAGAGAGAAGCAUCUAGUAAAAACUAUGGCCCCUGGGUGUACUUUUAUCAUAUAUAAAAAAACACAAAAAUACCUAGCUGCAAUUUAUUUACUUUUAUUUUAUUUUGUAUUUUACUUUAUCCAUCUAUCACUACCAGAAUUAAUCAUUGAAAAUAACGUCUACGAGGAUUGACAAGCCUCUUAUUUGCGUUAGGUGUCGGUGUUUGCUUUUGUGUGUGCAGGUGCUGUUAACAAGGUUUUGUGUGGUUCACCUACUGGAUUGAUAACCUUGAUUCUUAACUUAGUGAAAUACUUAUUUGUACUAUACUUCAUCAUCCUCUCCUCCUUGGGGAAUUAACAACACAGUCUACAAGUAGCACUCUCCAUUGAAAUGUUAAAUUGUAAUUAGUCCUUACUCCCGAAUUAAUAGUACUUCAAUUUGAAACAAGUUUCGUACAUGUUAAUUAUGUUAUGUUCAUAUAAUACUACACUUCCUAAAUAAGUAGACGUCACAUAACAUUGAGAUUGUAGUUAGGGAUGGAAAUCAAAAUAGGGCAUGAAUGUAACAAUUGCGAGCAAUGUGCUUCAGAAAAGAACUUAUUUGUCUUUUAUUCCCAUGUUUGGACUAGUACAGGUCGGGGUUACACAUGAUGGUGCACAUCACUUUAUUUAUCAUUGUUACAUUAUGCUCCAUUAACUAACAACGAUGAUUCACCCUUCUAGUAUUACAUCUCUUCAUUUCAUAGGCCACUGAUACUUAUAACGUCGCUCCCAGAUGGUUGUUGUUGUGGAUAUUGUUGGUAUGGGGAAGGUUCUUGUGAUUGCUGGGGUGGGUAUGGUAUUGGAAAUUGUUGUUGGGGGAAUUGUUGUGGUGGUUGCUGGGGGAAUUGUUGUUGGGGGAAUUGUUGUUGUUCAGGGGAUUGUUGUGACCGGGGGAAUUGUUGNNNNNNNNNNNNNNNNNNNNNNNNNNNNNNNNNNNNNNNNNNNNNNNNNNNNNNNNNNNNNNNNNNNNNNNNNNNNNNNNNNNNNNNNNNNNNNNNNNNNNNNNNNNNNNNNNNNNNNNNNNNNNNNNNNNNNNNNNNNNNNNNNNNNNNNNNNNNNNNNNNNNNNNNNNNNNNNNNNNNNNNNNNNNNNNNNNNNNNNNNNNNNNNNNNNNNNNNNNNNNNNNNNNNNNNNNNNNNNNNNNNNNNNNNNNNNNNNNNNNNNNNNNNNNNNNNNNNNNNNNNNNNNNNNNNNNNNNNNNNNNNNNNNNNNNNNNNNNNNNNNNNNNNNNNNNNNNNNNNNNNNNNNNNNNNNNNNNNNNNNNNNNNNNNNNNNNNNNNNNNNNNNNNNNNNNNNNNNNNNNNNNNNNNNNNNNNNNNNNNNNNNNNNNNNNNNNNNNNNNNNNNNNNNNNNNNNNNNNNNNNNNNNNNNNNNNNNNNNNNNNNNNNNNNNNNNNNNNNNNNNNNNNNNNNNNNNNNNNNNNNNNNNNNNNNNNNNNNNNNNNNNNNNNNNNNNNNNNNNNNNNNNNNNNNNNNNNNNNNNNNNNNNNNNNNNNNNNNNNNNNNNNNNNNNNNNNNNNNNNNNNNNNNNNNNNNNNNNNNNNNNNNNNNNNNNNNNNNNNNNNNNNNNNNNNNNNNNNNNNNNNNNNNNNNNNNNNNNNNNNNNNNNNNNNNNNNNNNNNNNNNNNNUUGUUGUUGCGGGGAUUGGUGUUGUUGGGGGAAUUGCUGUUGCUGGGGGAAUUGUUGUGGUUGCUGGGGGAUUUGAUGUUGUUGGGGGAUUUGUUGUUGCGGGAUUUGUUGUUGUUGGAGGAAUUGUUGUUGUUGGGGGAAUUGUUGUGGUUGCUGGGGGAUUUGAUGUUGUUGGGGGAUUUGUUGUUGGGGGAAUUGUUGUUGUUGGAGGAAUUGUUCUUGUGGAGUAUGCAAUUCCUUGCCUCUAGUGCUUAGCAGCCUACUGGCACUGGCGAUGUUCAUCGCCAUGGCAAGGAGGACAAAUAUGAUGAAGGUCUUCAUGUUUGAUUUGUGUUUACUAUUGCUCACUUGGCUUUGGUGUUUCAACUCUAGGUCCUUGAAGGUUAGAUGAUGGAAGAGACCCUCAUGGUGUAGUCGUAUUUAUAGCUGGCAUCGCACAUUUGUUUUUGAUCUUCACACUCGUUUCUUGAAAAAGUGCUCUUAAGCUUAUCGACCUAAUAAUUUUCUAUGUUGUGUUUGAUGGCACUACUUACUAGCGUGACUUUGGAUUGUUCAUCAUAGUUGAUUGUUCUUUCUCAUAUCAUCUGGGCGUAUCAAAUGCUUGAUAACGCAUAAUGACUCAUCGUAUUCACUUUACACUUCAAAUAUUGAUCUAGAUUGUGUCCGUCUUUCUGAUUUAGCUUGUGCUGUUCUGCAUGUUGUUAGGUAUAUCCAGAUUGGCAUAACUUAAGGGAACUAAGUUUGUAAUCUUCACACUCGCUUCUUGAAAAAGUGCUCUUAAGCUUAUCAAUUACCUAAUAAUUUGGUAUGUUGUGUUUCAUGGCACUACUUACUAGUGUGAUUUUGGAUUGUUCUUCAUAGUUGAUUGUUCUUGCACAUAUCAUCUAGGUGUAUGGAAUGCUUGAUAAUGACAAAUGACUCAUCGUAUUCACUUUACACUUCAAACAUUGAUCUAGAUUUUGUCCCUUGCUCCGAGUUAGUUUGUCAUGUUCUAUAUGUUGUUAGGCGUAUCCAGAUUGGCAAACUUAAGGGAACAAAGUUUGUAAUCUUGUGUGUGUCAUUGAGAUAGAUCACACUAUUAAUGCGAAGAUUGUUCUAUACACAAUUUUUUCUGAACUAACUUUAUAUUUUUUGUACAAUAUAUAUGUAAGAUGGAUAAGCAUAGAUGACUCAUCGUAUUACCUUUUCAUAUGGAGCGGUUGUAUUGUUAUAUGAGUUACUAAUAGAAAACAAAGUAUUAGGGCUUUGCGUGGCUUGAUUGAUUCACUCCACGUAGACAUGAACAUUUCUUUUGUAUUUCAUUCGUUGGUUAAUCUAAGUUUGUACAUAUUGUUUCAAGUUGUUCAUAUAGUUUCUAGGUUUCUUUUAUUGAAUUUAUUACCACCAGUAUAGGAAGCUAUUAGUACUAUGAUUGUUGAUACUGAUACAGAACAAAGAGGAAAGAUAGAGCAAUAUACAGUUGAUUUUGUCUGGUAAUUAUAUAAGUGUCUUUUUUUCUAUUUUCUUGUAAGCAAGGAACCUACAAAAAAGAAAUGAAAUAAGUUCUCCUUCUACACGAUACGUGAAUAAAUGAAUUUAGGACAUAUCAUGCCUGACUGAAUGGGAACUGGCCUAUCGCCGUCAUGUAGCAAACACAAGCCAUAAUGCCGAUACACUUGGCUCAUGCAACAUGCACACGUGAACAAAAGAAGAGCCUAUCAGUAUAUUUAUAUUUUUUACUUCUUUUAUCCUUGGCCAUAUUAUUCAUACAUAUGGUUGCAUCGAAUCAAUUGACUUGUCAAUGCCAUGGACCAGCUAGCAUACUAAUGUUUUUGUGUGUGUGGCUUUAGCUGUUGCAAAACCUCUACAUAUGUUUUUUUUCAUUCCUUUACCCUCUACCACUUAUUUUCAGAUUGAUGGAAAGUGAAGUUUGAGACAAGGAAACAAAACACGAUUACAUCCUCCUCCAUGCAGCUUCGUGGAGGCUAAUUAUAAUUGAAACUCCUGUUAAUCGCACUGGAUGUCAUGCCAGAUUCGUGUAGAAUUUGCCGGAUCGAUUGACUAGGGUUUGACCCUUGGAUUUUUAACCUUGUACGUCGUAAUUUUUGUUGUACAUGGAUUAGUAAAGGUCUAUAGUCGAUCCACCAUCAUCACUAUGAAUCAGUAUUACAGAUUCAGAACAGGUCUUUGUCAGAGAAGGAAGUAGGAGUAGCCAAUGAUACAGGAAAAAGCCAGCGAGACCUGCCUGCCUGGCUGUGAACAGUUCAUCUCCUUCUUGCUAUUAAUGUUGUGUUAAAAUACCUAACUAGCUAGCUAGCAAAUCAUAGGUUGUCCUUCUCUAAAAAAAACUGUAGAAAGUUCUUUAAAUGUAGUUAAUUAAACAAGUGAAAUUUUAAAAGAAAAAUUAUUUUGAAGUUGUUGGCUUGUUUGUUGUUGCUAUUGUUUUCGUUGUUCUCGAAACAGGCUUUCACACUGCUUUAUAAAUAAAGCAAUAUCCAAAGAUGUACACGGCCGAAUGAUACAAUAUGGUGAGGUAGCCCCUACAAAGCCGAUCUUGAGAUAUCACGCACACGCGCACACGACUACGCUACCAGCAACAAGCACCGAAAGAACUAAACAUCCUCACGCUACGAACUAGCACACCAAAGCUCCACGAGAACGCCCCCAAGAGGGAGAAUGGCAUAGAGCGUCGCCGCUGCCAAGUCCAUACCGGACAAAGGUCUACACUUGGAGACCUGACACGGAGAGAAGAAGCACAACAACGUCUUCAAGAAGAGCGCGACACCCAUGAGUGUCGUCGGUGGCGGUGCCCAGGCAUGGAGCUUUCGCUUGGCAACUCACCCGUGCCACCAUGAGGUCCUCAAGAGUAGCGCCGCGAUGUUCAAUCCCAUGAUCUUGAUUAGGACGCUGCCCCUCCGAAAGAGAAGGCACGUCUGAGCUUAUAACCGCAACACCUACCGUUGCCCACACAACCCGGGAGGGGAGCCACCACAACCGGAAUAAUGCCCGCCAAAGAGCAACCAUGUGGCCCGCCAUCAGGGGACGCCAACCCAGUAUCACUGUCGCGAGAUACCAUACACCACUCACAUUACAAUGCAACCAACCAUGGUAGGAAGAGAGACAACACUCCGUCUACUCCUACCCUAGCCUAUGUCCCAAUGUUUGGUUAGGCGCCUCCACCAUAGGACGCACCCACACCUGCAUCCCCAGCCAAUGCUCCAUGGACUAGGGGGGCCACCGGCGAGCCAACCUCGAGCCCUUGGUCAGGCGAGCUCACACGACGCCAUGUCCGUGUUCUCUGACACUGAUCCUCUCAUGAAUGCAAUGCUAACACAACUAUCACCACCGAGCAGCACCCAAGCUGGCUCGCUUCGCAAUGCACAAAUCAUGGCAGGUAAAGCCCGGCAUCAGUCACCAGCCAGUGACUGCCGACGGCCAUUGUUGAGGCCAGCUCAGACGCCAAGUCUGUGAACUGAGGCACUGGUCCGCCAGCCGACACAAUGUAUGCCUGACCACCACAUCCAUGAACCAUCACCGAUGCUACAACGUGUGGAGGUGCCUCCCCCAACCUAGCUUCAAGCAUCCACCUUGGCUUGACUGGCAGCGACCCAGUGCCGAGAAAUCCUACUACAAGGCGACUACGCACCGAACCUCAUGUGAUGAGAAACCAACCCCGACAAGGACGACCAUAUCAAAAUCCAUGCCCGGUGGCUAGUCUGCGUCACCAGCCCGCUGCCUACAUAUGCACCCAGACAAGGCGGGCGCCGCCCCAUCAAGAGGGGGGCCGCUUAGAGCAGCUGGCAACUCCGGUCGCUGAGCAGCUACACCAAUGCUAACCCCACCUCUCCAUUGACACCCCCCGCCUAGAUCCAUCGCCGCCAGCCAAAACCAUGGCCACCACCCAUCGCCUCUUGUCAUGCCUCCACGCCUGUGAGAGAGACUGCCGAAACCCACCAUCACCAGCUGUCGUGCUCAGAAGAGGGAGAACUGCCACCAUCGCCUUGUGCCGCUUGUCACAAGUUGGCAGCAGAUCCACACUGCCAUAGCUAUCACAUGCCUGCCUACACAGUAGGAUUUGCUAGGUUUUACCAUGUCUGUACAAUUCUUUUUUCCUAUUUUCUCCAAGAUGUUGUUUUUAAAAUUUGCUUGCAGGUUUAAGGAAAGGAGGAGUUCACUAUCACCACCACCUCGUGCAAGGGGAUGUCAGCAUCAGUCAUCUUUACCAUCAUCCACCUCCAUCCCAUUGUAAUACCAAACCCAUGUGGAUCCAUACAUGUAUUAUCCGUGUGUUUCAUCCAUGUUUACCACCACUAUUUCCACUGCAAAUUAUGAUUUUUGACUCAAGUUGAGGGGGUCAUUUUCCUUCAAAUUUAGAACCUUGUUUGAUGGGUCAUGAUUUGUGAGAGGAUACUUUUUGUCCCGCUAAGAUUGUUAUUGGAGAUAAUUGGUACUUAAACUCAUUUUGUGAAUGGAACAUCAAAGGCGAAAAGUGCAUAAGUAAUCAAUUAUUCUCACUAUAAAUGAACAAUGAAAUCUGGCAUGGAGUUCGUGGAAAACAUAAACACCUAGUUUGAUGUAGAUGCAUGUCAGAUAAGAUGGUUACAAACUCAUGGAGCUCUACAUUGAAGUGUUAUAUUUCAAUUACUCCUUACUCCCUAAUUAAUAGUACUUUAAUUUGGACCAAGUUUCACACACGUUAAGUAUGUUAUGUACAAAAUGAAUGAAACCUUGAUAAGGAUUUGACAUGGAAAGUGAAUAAGGUGCGUCAGUUUUUUCUCAAAAUAAAAUACCAAGCACCAUGCUUUCGUGACAACCAUACGAUCUUUUGCACAACUAGCCAAACAAAUUUUGAUGAUCAAUCCUAUAUUAAACUUGUGGCUAGUGCAACCUGACAGAAUAUACAAAAUGAUCCAUUUCAUAAGCAUGCAUGCAAAAAAAUUGGAAAAUGAAUGAAAAAAUUAAUCGCUAGCUGGAAUUUCAUUCAAUCAUCCCAUCCAAGCUGGUAGAACCACACUGACUGCAAUCCGACAUCUACAUAACAAGAUGUCCACAACCCAACACGUCCAAAACAAAAAGAUAAAAAAAUGCAAAGACGGCAAGAGGUUAUGCCAUAAAUGGACUUGUGCCGCAAAUAUCAUCACAAGUACAAAACACAAAUAGAAACAACAAAGACAAGUAGCAGCAGUCAAGAGCAAUUCACCACAAAGACACAUCCCCAUCCUUUCCCUCACCACCAUUGCAUCGGCUAGCGCCAAUGAACAGCUCGAGGGCAGCAGGAUCAAUGCUAGUGAAAGCAUUUCACCGACUUCAUUUUGCUAAGAAAGUCCAUGCAAUGAGUCGACAUGAAAGAAAGUGUUUAGUUAGUUCAAAUACAGAUAUCCUGAGAGCAGCCUAAUAAAUGAGAAAACCUGUGUCGGUCAUUCAUCACCAAAAUCCAUGUAAACGCACUUGGAUGGAUCGUGCAGUCAGGAACAAAAGUCCAAGGGGGCGACCUAUAUAUACAGUUUAUUUGCUUGGUAACUCUGGUUUAGCACUAUCUUUUUUCCUUAUCCUUGUCCAUUUUAUCCCUGCAGAAAAUAGCCAAAUGAGGAAGCAAAGGGAAGUGUUUGAUUAGUUCUCCAUGAAACGAGAAUAAAUGAAUUUCGGACAAAGUAUGGCUGAACUGCGAAAUCCAUAGAUUGGCCUAACUGAAUUGGGAAACUUGUCUCCAUCAUGCAGCUGACAAGAGCCAUACUGCUGAUACACUUGGCCCAUGCAACAUGCAUGCAUGAUUAUAAGGAGAACAUCCAUUAUUCUCUAAUUUAAAUGAGUAACAGUCUCGUAGUAAACAAGAUCCAGAUAUAAUGUUCAUGCUCGACGCAGGCACUAAAUAACAAAUAUUCUGGUUCAUCACUAAUCCCGAUUGUAAUCGAAGAGCGAGCGUGCCGACGGUGAUCACAUCAACCUUGGAACCAUUUCCCACACGCAUCAUCACUUCGUUUUUCACCAGCCUCCGUCUAUUUCGUAGUUCCUGCUUUGGGUUGCAAAUGUGAGCAACUGAACCGGUAUCAGAUACCCAGGCACUACAACAAGAGUUGGUAAGGAACACAUCUAUAACAUAUAUAUAUAUAUAUAUAUAUAUAUAUAUAUAUCAUAUAUAUCAUAUAUAUCUUGUUUGGCGUUGGCCCCUUCUUGUCGGCCAGGCUUGGGGAAAUUCCGCUUCCAGUGGCCAGUCUCGUUGAAAUAGAAGCACUCAGUUUCCGGCUUGGGCCCAGCCUUGGGUUUCUUCACGGGAGAGGCAACUACUUUGCCACUCUUCUUGGAGUUACCAUUCUUGCCCUAGCCAUUCUUCUUGAAACUAGUGGUUUUAUUGACCAUCAACACUUGAUGCUCUUUCUGGAUGUCUAACUCAGCGACUUUCAGCAUCGCAAACAGCUCGGAGACUGACUUGUUAAUCCCUUGCAUGUUAUAGUUUAGCAAAAAGCACUUGUAGCUAGGUGGUACUGAUUGAAGAACUUUGUCAGUGAUCGCUUCUGGUGGGAGCACAACUCCCAACUUAGCCAGACGGUUGUAAUACCCAGACAUUCUAAGUAUGUGUUCACUGACAUACCCGUUCUCGUCCAUCUUGUAAGCAAAGAACUUAUCGGAGGUCUCAUACCUCUCGAUCCGGGCAUUCCUUUCAAAAAUGAACAUCAACUCCUCGAACAUCUCAUAUGCUCCAUGGCAUUCAAGAUGUCUUUGAAGUCCCAGUUCUAAGCCAUGCAACAUAGCACACUAAACUAUUGAGUAGUGAUCCACAUGCGCUUGCUAGGUGUUCAUAACAUCCAUAGACGUCGGAGGGGGUUGCACACCAAGCGAUGCAUGAAGGACAUAAGCCUUUUGUGCAGCCAUGAGGAUAAUUCUCAGAGUACAGGCCCAGUCUACAAAGUUACUUCCAUCAUCUUUCAGCUUGGCUUUCUCUAGGAACGCAUUGAAAUUCAGGGAAGCUAUUGUGCGAGCCAUUGAUCUACAACAUAAAUUUGCAAAGUCAACUUAGACUAUUGUUCAUGAUAAAUGAGUUCAAAUAAUCAUAUUACUUAAAACUCCCACUCAAAUUGACAUCCCUCCGGUCAUCCGAGUAUAACAUGAUGAAAAUUCACCAACCCAAGUCCGAUCAUAAUGUGAGAUGAGGUGGUUUCAAUGGUGAACAUCUCCAUGUUGAUCAUAUCUACUAUAUGACUCAUGUUCGACCUUUCGGUCUGUUGUGUUCCGAGGCCGUAUCUGUACAUGCUAGGUUCGUCAAGUUUAACCCGAGUGUUUCGCAUGUGCAAAACUGGCUUGCACCCUUUGUAUGUGAAUGUAAAGUCUAUCACACCCGAUCAUAAUGUGGUGCUUAGAAAUGACAAACUUCCGCAAUGGUGCACACUCAGGGAGAACACAAUUUUGUCUUGAAAUUUUAGUGAGGGAUAACUUGUAAUGCUACCAUCGUCCUAAGAAAAAUAAGAUGCAUAAAAGGAUUAACAUCACAUGCAAAUCAUAAGUGGCAUGAUAUGACCACCAACUUGUGCUUUUGAUCUCCAUCUCCAAAGCAUCGGCAUGAUCUCCAUCGUCACCGGCUUCACACCAUGAUUUCCAUCAUCAUGAUCUCCAUCAUCGUGUUGCCAUCGAGGUUGUCACGCCAACCAUGCUUCUAUUACUAUUGCUAUCGUUUAGUGAUAAAGUAAAGCAUUACAUAGCGCUUAAUGAUUGACACGCAGGUCAUACUAUAAUUUAAGACAACCCUAUGGCUCCUACCGGUUGUCGUAUUCAUCGACAUGCAAGUCAACACAAACUAUUACAAACAUGAUCGUCUCAUACAUCAAAUAUAUUUCAACAUGUCUUUGGCCAUAUCACAUCACAACAUACCCUGCAAAAACAAGUUAGACGUCGUCUAACUUGUUGUUGCAUGUUUUACAUGGCUGCUAUGUGUAUCCAACAAGAACGGUUCUUACCUAUGCAAAACAACAACUGUGAUAUGGAAGUUGCUAUUUAACCUUCUACAAGGACAGCCUUCAUCGAAUUCGAUUCAACUAAGGUGCGAGCGACAGACACCAGCCAACCAUCUUAUGCAACAAAGUCACAUGUCUAUCGAAUGAACCGGUCUCAUGUAUGUGGACAGGUAAAGUUGGUCUGGGCCGCUUCAUCCCACAAUUCUGCUAAAUCAAGAAAAGACCAAGGAAGGAAGCAAUCUGAAUAACAAUACCGAUAAACUCCUUUGUGUUCUACUCAUGAUGUCAUCUGCGCAUAGCCCUAGCUCUGGUACCACUACUGUUGGAAGUUGCAUGGGAAAGAAAAAAAUUCCUACACUCACCAAGAUCAAUUUAGGAGAUGAACAUCUACGAGAGGAGAGAUUUCCUCUACAUAAACUUGUAGAUCACUAAGAGGAAGCGCUAAGAAACAUGGUUGAUGUAGUCAAACAUCUUCGCGAUCCAAUCAUGAUACGUCUCGCAAACUCCUGAUCUAGUGCCAAACGGACGACACCUAUGCGUUCAACACGCGCACGGCUAAUUGAUGCCUUCACCUCCUUGAUCCAACAAGAAAUGGAGAAGUAGUAGUUCAAGUCCUCCAACAACACGAUAUCGUGGCGGCGGUGGUGGUGGAGGAAUUUCAGCAGAGCUUUGCUAAGCACUACGCGGAAGGAGAAGGACUACGAGGGAGAGGACAGGCAGCGACACGACACAGAUGUGUCUGUCUGCCCUCCUUCUACCCCCAUAUAUAUAGGGGGAAGGGAGGAGGUGGGGAUGCCCUAUGGGUUCCCUUAGGACGCGGCGGCCACCAUAGAUGGGGGCGCCCCUAGGGAAACCCUAGGGUGGCUUUCCCCCCAAGCUAGGUGGAGGCAGCCCUAGGGGGUUGCCCCGACCCUUCCGUCAUGGUGGGAUUGGGUGUGGGGGGCGCACAACCCCUUAGUGGGCCGGUGUGCUCCCUCCCCUUGUCCCAUGAAGCGCCCAACACUUACCUGGCCCCCCAGAAACCCCUUUCCGUACUCCUUCGAUUCCCGCGGUACCCCUGGAACAGUUCCGGACUCCGAUACCCUUCGUCCUAUAUAUUAAUAUUCACCUCCAGACCAUUCUGGAGUUCCUCGUCAUGUCGGGAAUCUCAUUCGGGAAUCCGAACAACCUUCGAUAACCACCAUAUGACCCAACUAUACUUAUAUCGUCAACAAAAGUUAAGUGUGUAGACCCUGAGUGUUCGAGAACUAUGCACACGUGACCGAUACACCUCUACGGUCAAUGACCAAUAACAUGACCUGGAUGCCCAUGUUGGUUCCUACAUAUUCUACGAAGAUCUUUAUCAGUCGAACCUCGAUGUCAAGGUUUCAGGCAAUCCCGUAUGAAGUUCCCUUUUUCCAUUGGUAUGUUACUUGCCUGAGAUUCGAUCAUUGGUAUCUCCAUACCUAGUGCAAUCUCGUUACCGGCAAGUCUCUCUAUUUUGUAAUACAAGAUCCCGUGGCUAACUUCUUAGUCACAUUGAUUGCAAGCUUAUUGUGAUGUUGUAUUACCGAGUGGGCCCUGAGAUACCUCUCCAUCAUACGGAGUGACAAAUCCCAGUCUCGAUCCAUGCCAAUUCAAUAGACACCCUUGGAGACACCUGUAGAGCAUCUUUAUAGUCACCCAGUUACGUUGUGAUGUUUGAUACACACAAGGCACUCCUCCGGUGUCAGUGACUUGCAUGAUCUCAUGGUCAUAGGAACAUAUAAUUGACAUGCAGAAAACGAUAGCAAUAAACUUGACAAGAUCAUAUGCUACAUUCAUAGUUUGGGUCUUGUAAAUCACAUCAUUCUCCUAAUGAUGUGAUCACGUUAUCAAAUGACAACUCAUGUCCAUGACCCGGAAACCAUGGCCAUCUUUGAUCAACGAGCUAGUCUGGUAGAGGCUCACUAUGGACACGUUGUUUGUCUAUGUACCCACACAGGUAUUUUAAUUUCCAAUCAAUACAAUUAUAGCAUGGAUAAUAAACGAUUAUCAUGAACAAGGAAACAAAAUAAUGACCAUUUUAUUAUUGCCUCCAGGGCGUAUUUCCAACACUUCCGAUGAUUUUGUGAGUAGUUUACGACAGCCCUUCGGGUCUAUAGCUAGAAUCUAGAUGGCUUCUUCUCUCUCUUUGAUCUUCAAUCCAAAGUUCUUCUCAAUGUUCUUGGAGUUCUAUCCAAUGUAAUCUCCUUUUGCGGUGUGUUUGCUGGGACCUGAUAAAUUAUGAGUUUAUGAUCAGAUGAUUCAUGAGAAUAUUUGAUUCUUCUUUGGACUCUUUUAUGUGUGAUUAUUUUAGCUUUGUAUUUCUCUCCAAUCUAUCGAUUUGGUUUGGCUAACUAGAUUGGUUUAUCUUGUAGUGGGAGAGGUGCUUUGUGAUGGGUUCAAUCCUGUGUUGCUCAAUCCUAGUGACAGAAACAGACAUGGCACAUAUUUGUAUUGUUAACAUUAAGGAUAAAAAUAUGGGGGUUAAUCAUAUUGCUUGAAUUUACUUUGUCUACAUCAUGUCAUCUUGCUUAAGGCGUAACUCUAUUUUAUACCUAAAACUCUAGAUGCAUGCUGGAUAGCGGUCGAUGGGUGAAGAAUAGAUGCAGGCAGGAGUCGGUCUACUUGCAUCGAAUGUGAUGCCUAUAUACAUGAUCAUUGCCAUGAAUCCUUCAUAAUUAUUUGCUUUUCUAUCAAUUGCCCAACAGCAAUUUGUUUACCCACCGUAUGUUCUACGAUCAAGAGAGAAGCAUCUAGUAAAAACUAUGGCCCCUGGGUGUACUUUUAUCAUAUAUAAAAAAACACAAAAAUACCUAGCUGCAAUUUAUUUACUUUUAUUUUAUUUUGUAUUUUACUUUAUCCAUCUAUCACUACCAGAAUUAAUCAUUGCAAAUAACGUCUACGAGGAUUGACAAGCCUCUUAUUUGCGUUAGGUGUCAGUGUUUGCUUUUGUGUGUGCAGGUGCUGUUAACAAGGUUUUGUGUGGUUCACCUACUGGAUUGAUAACCUUGAUUCUUAACUUAGUGAAAUACUUAUUUGUACUAUACUUCAUCAUCCUCUCCUCCUUGGGGAAUUAACAACACAGUCUACAAGUAGCACUCUCCAUUGAAAUGUUAAAUUGUAAUUAGUACUUACUCACGAAUUAAUAGUACUUCAAUUUGAAACAAGUUUCGUACAUGUUAAUUAUGUUAUGUUCAUAUAAUACUACACUUCCUAAAUAAGUAGACGUCACAUAACAUUGAGAUUGUAGUUAGGGAUGGAAAUCAAAAUAGGGCAUGAAUGUAACAAUUGCGAGCAAUGUGCUUCAGAAAAGAACUUAUUUGUCUUUUAUUCCCAUGUUUGGACUAGUACAGGUCGGGGUUACACAUGAUGGUGCACAUCACUUUAUUUAUCAUCGUUACAUUAUGCUCCAUUGACUAACAACGAUGAUUCACCCGUCUAGUAUUACAUCUCUUCAUUUCAUAGGCCACUGAUACUUAUAACGUCGCUCCCAGAUGGUUGUUGUUGUGGAUAUUGUUGGUAUGGGGAAGGUUCUUGUGAUUGCUGGGGUGGGUAUGGUAUUGGAAAUUGUUGUUGGGGGAAUUNNNNNN
This 95100-nucleotide long non-coding RNA is filed under the name Triticum aestivum (bread wheat). RNAcentral's name for it is "long non-coding RNA (TAES_LNC028382)". The stretch from base 3263 to 3397 matches the Rfam family "MIR1120/MIR1122 microRNA precursor family". The record is from RNAcentral. Lineage: Eukaryota; Viridiplantae; Streptophyta; Magnoliopsida; Poales; Poaceae.